This 95201-nucleotide long non-coding RNA is filed under the name Gossypium raimondii (Peruvian cotton). RNAcentral describes it as "long non-coding RNA (GRAI_LNC000906)". The stretch from base 61979 to 62102 matches the Rfam family "MIR7504 microRNA precursor family". Lineage: Eukaryota; Viridiplantae; Streptophyta; Magnoliopsida; Malvales; Malvaceae. The record is from RNAcentral.
CAAAGCCUAAAUAUUUCAGCCGUCGCAAAUUGGAUAACUGGACAGGUAAUCCCCCAUAGAACCUAUUGCUUCUGACACAAAAAAGGGAAAGGAGUGACAAAUUUCCCAAGUGAGGUGGAAGGGUGCCUACGAGUCCCAACCCAGUAAGGUUUAGAGCUGUGACUCUACGGUGCUUGGAUCCACAACUUACACCAAACCAAUUGCAAACAGGGGCAGAGGCUGACCAGUUAGUUGUCAAGACAUUUUCAGGAUCAUGAGUAACAUGAUCUUUUAGUGCUAGAAGAGCUGAUUGAUCUGUAAGAAUGGUUGUUAAUUUCAUAGAGAAAGUAGGCAUAGAAAAAUGGAAGAUGAUAAGAAGAGCUAAGUUGAGGAAAGUAUUCCCCAUUUGAAUUUGGGUGUUUAUGAAGCUACCAACAAAGGCAGAACGGAGAUUGCUAGACAGGAUAAUUAAAUGAUCACUAACCGUAUGACCACACAACCUUUACAUAAUAUGUGUGUGUAUAUAUAAAGCGAGUUUAUGUUGUAAUUUCUUGCAAAUUCUUUUAAUAUGAUUUACGUAGAAACUACGGAAUUUAUUAUAGGAUGUGAUAAUAUAAUUCUGUAAUUAUUGUUUAAAAUUUUUUUUUCUAAAUUUCAUAUUUCUUAAGAAAUUACAGUAAUAAAUUUUACAUAGUAAUAAUAUAUAGUAAUGUAAUUUAAUUGCACUUGUACAAAGGUUACAACUUUUUUAUUAAAUUAUUUUAGAUUAUUGAAAUUAUUAGAGAACAUGAUGAUAAAAUUAUAGGACAACUUUUUUAUUAAAUACAAAGUAUAUAUAGUCACAACUGAGCAGUCACUUCGAAGAAUAUAAACAACCCUCUUAUAUAAGUGUUAACAUUAACAUUAACACAUUUAUCUUCUUAUAUAAGUACUAACAAAAAAAUUUAUGGAUAAUUCUAGAUAUUUUAUAAAAAGAAUUUGAUAUAACAAGAUUUUAAAAAUAAUUUGCAUUAUUUAUUUUAGGAAAUUAUUGAAUAAAGAGAUCAAGAAUUUUCAAUUAAAAAAAUUUUAAAUUUAAAUCAUAACAGGAGGAGGAGUUUAGUUACUUUACAAUUAUCCAAGAUGGAUUAAAUUUGGUUUUAUAUCUAAGAUAUCAAAACUGUAAUUAGGUUAAUGAUAAGCAUUAAACUAAAUUAUUGGAAUGAAAAUAUAGCAAUUUUACAAUAUUCGUGCUGGGAACAUAUCCCAUUUUUUUAAAAAUGUCUAUAGAUUAAGUACUGGCUCUUCAAUUUUCUAAGUAUUCAUUGUCGUACCCCUUUCUUGGGUUUGGUUUGGGAAGGUUGCUUGACUUCGUUGUGCAAUCUAAAGUCUUUCCAAUUUGUCGUUUUAGAAGUGAUUGGAAAAUUUGCACUUCUUCAUGUGCUGGAAGAAAAGUGAUUGGGUUCAAAGAGUAAAAAUAGGGAUAGUGUAUUUACGUAGUUUAGUUUUUCUAUCCCUGCAGAGUUUACGUUAGUGAAGAAUAGUUUAGUUUAUGUUGUAAUUUCUUCCUACAAGAUUACAAAUUAUUUUAAUGUGAUUUACGUAGAAACUACUGAAUUUAUUAUAGGAUAUGAUAAUAUAAUUCUGUAAUUAUUGCUUAAAAUUUUUCUUUCUAAAUUUCAUAUUUCUUAAGAAAUUACAGUCAUAAAUUUUACAUAGAAAUAAUAAAUAGUAUUGAAAUUAAAUUGCACUUGUACAAAGGUUACAACUUUUUUAUUAAAUUAUUAAAAUUAUUAGAGAGCAUGAUAAAAUGAUAUGAGAACCUUUUUAUCAAAGUGACAAGUGAGCAGUCCCUUCCAAGAAUAUAAAUAACCCUAUUGACUAAAAAAAUUUUGAACAAAAAGGAUAUUGACUAAAAAUCAAAAUAACCAUGAACUCUUUUACAACAUUCAAUGAGGUUGAAAGAUUUUUUUUUUAAAUAAUAACUUAUUUGGCUUCUAAUUUUAUACCAACGUUUCAUAACUUUUUGACCAUUUUUAAAAUCUCUAUAGAUUCCGUAAUGGCUCUUCAAUUUUCUAAGUAUUCAUUGGCUUACCCCUUCGUUGGGUUUGGUUUGGGAAGGUUGCUUGACUUCGUUGUGCAAUCUAAAGUCUUUCCACUUUGUCGUUUUAAAAGUAUGAGUGCGGGAAGAAGUGAUUGCGAAGUUUACACUUUUUCAAGUUAUUACAAAACAAAAAAAUAAAAAUAGGAGAUACAAAUUGUUUACAUAGUUCGAUUUUCUUACGCUUGCAGAUUUUAAUUUAGUGAGAAAUAUCUACUAUCUCCAACAUUUAUAAUAAGUGAUCUUAAAUCUAUCACAACCUAAUGACAAUUUUCUCACUUUUGUACCUUUGAAUACCGGUACUCUCACCACUAAAUUCACCAUUGUGAACUUAAUUUAUAAAAUCACAACACACAAGUUUUACAAUCAAAUGCACUCUUACAAAUAAUAUUCUUUGCUUAAACAGACUAAGUGCUCUCAAUUCUUUAUACAAUCACCUAUACAAGUUUCUCAAUUAUAUAUAGAUUUUGAGAUUUACGUACAUAAUGAAAAUCUAUAUCAAUCUCUAUUAAACAACACCUAAACUAGUUGAAUAAAUUAUAAAAAUAAAUAAGGUAAACAAGGAUUGUUGGCAGCUAAGUCUUCAAUGUUCCAAUCCGAUUCAACUUCCUCGAUCCAAGCGAUUAGAUAGACAUGGUCCGAUCCAAUCCGAUCCCUUAAACAUGUUUCUUGAAGUGAUAUGAUCUGUAACUCCCCAAACCCGACCUAGACGUUAUGGUCAAACAUAUAAUAAAAUUUAUUAUUUAUAAAAUAAACUAAAAAAAAAGAGAGAAAAGUUUGAAUAUGGUUUAAGUAUUGUUUGAGGUUUUUUUUUAAUAUUUUAUUUAUAAAAAUAUUAUUUUAAUAAAUAAAUUUUAUGUUAGAAAAAAGAGAAAAUGGGUAUUCAUUUAUUUAUAAUUGUGUUAUGUAUUUUUAUAGAACUUUAUGUAUUUUUAUAUAUAAAAAAAGAACUUUUAAAUAUUUUGAAUUUUUAUUUUUGAAUUUUUAAGAAGUAAAACUACAUUGACAAAAUGUAUAAAGCUGAAAGCUAAACUUGUUGAUUUUUUAGAGUUAAAGCUAAAUUGAUAGAAUCUGUCAACAUUGGAGGGUUAAAUUUGUUAUUAUAUCAAUAAAAAAAUGUCACCGUUAGUGAUUUAAUAGAGGAGCAACUAAAAUAGUAAAUUUCAAUAAUCUUAGUGAAUGAAAUAGAAAAUUUUAAACUUAAAUAAACAAAAUAAAAACAAACUAAUAAUUAGAUAAGCUAUUUUUGUAUUUUGCCCUAGAUUUAAUAAUGGUUACCCAAUUUUCCAUGAUUCUUCCAUUUUCUUACCCCCUUUCUUGGGGUUGGGACCCGGCUUGACUUUAUUUGUGUAAUCUAAUUAAAUGAUUAUUUAUAUCUUUUUGAAGUUUAAUGGCGAAAGUGUAAACCUACUUGAGAGAAAUUUCAGUUUAAAAACCUCAAAUUUAAAUCAAACCAGCAGGAGUUUAAUCAUAGAACUUGAGAGAAAUUUGGUGUAAUAUCUAAGAGACUAAAAUUAUAAUUAGGUUGUUUGUCCUGAUUUGUAUAAAAAUAUUGUAAUUAGCUUAAUAACUACAAACAUUAAGAACAUCUCAACUUAAUUAUUAGAAUUAAUUUUAAACUAAUAAGCAAUAGUACAACAGACACAGGUCCACUUUCCAUUUUCAAGAGUAAAUAAGAUGGGUCCUAAUGAAAACAUUUCCAUUCACUAGCUUUUCUUGACUUUAUGCCGAUUUCUUAAUCUCUAGGCUCAAAAUUGGCCGAUCAUCUCUCCAAUAAUACGCUUCUCCUUCUUAUACAUUUAUUGGAUGUGGGUGCAGCUUGACUUUGCUAUAUUCUUACUACUUUAGUUUAAUUUCAAUGUCUAAACUGAAUGUGUAAGACGUAUUAUUCUAAUAAAAAAUAUAAAUAUUUCAUUAGGAUAUAAAUAUUCUAAUAAAAGCCUUUCAACUAUGUCAACAAUUGCUUAUGAACUUAUAAUGUGAAACCUUAUAAGCCAUUGGACAACGAAGCUAUCACUUUUCUUCUUCAACGAUAAUGCCGGACUAAAUUUCCAUCACUUUUUGGACAUUUUCUUUUCAAUGUUUUGCCCAUUUUUUGAAUCUCUAUACAUUCAAUAAUGCUCCAAUGAUUAUUCUUUUUCUAACCCUUUAUUUUUCUUGGACUUUGUUGCGCAAUUUAAAGUCUUUCUUUGGAUAAUUAUAAAAAUAGUCACUCAAUUUUGGUUAAAUUUAUCUUUUUGUCAUUGAAUUAUGAAAAUAUUACAGUUUGGUCACUAACAGUAUCGAGUUAUAACAUUUUGGUCACCCGUCCAUUAAUAGUCGUUACAUCUUUAUAGCAGAAAAGUGACAUGGCAUGUUAACUCAAGGGUUAAUAUCUAAAUUGACUCCAAAUUAUAGUUAAAAUAUUCUAUCUGGUCUUUUUACAAUUUUUUAAAUAAUAAUUCUAAAAAUAUUUCAUUUUUACAGAAAAUGAUAAUUAUGUAAUUUUUUAAACUAUAAAAAUAUAUUUUUAAAAAAGGAUAAUUAUGUAAUUUCAUCCUAGCAAUUGGACAUCCAAGUUGGCAUUUAAAAUCGAUUUGGACUACAACAUAGGACUGUCGUUAGGAAGAUAAUAAAGCUUAACGGUAGAGUGACCACUUCUUAACAAAACGAUAACGUAAGUGACUAAAACAUAACAUUUUAAACAUAAGUGACUAAAAUGUAAUCUAAGACAAACAAAAUUAAUUAUUUUUAUAGUUUACCCUUAUAAAUAAGUAGAUAUAGAUAUAGAUUAUAUUUAUGUCAGGUGAAAAAUAAUAUUUUUCAAAAUAAUUAAAAAUUAAAAAUAAUUUUAACGCUGAAAGAAAAUUAUAAAUAUGAAAAAUUGAAGGUGGAAAAAUAAAAAGAUGAAAAAUAUGAUUUUUAUUUCCAUAGGUGUGCUUCGCAGGAAAUAUGAAAAAAUUUAACGAAAUUUAAUUUUCUUUCCAUCUAUUGCUUGGGAGUAUUGAAAAAUGCAUAACUUUAAAUUACCAUACAAAUCUCUUUCAUUUUCUUUCGGUUUAUCAUUCCACUUUUCCAUUUCUCCCCUGAUUCCUUCAAUUUUCCAGCCAACCAAAUAAAUACUAAAAUCUUGUGAUUCAAGUCCAUCAUCACCCUUCCACACCCUACUGGACCUGAAUACCCUGUAAUACCCCAAAAAUUAAUACAGUAAGAAAGUAGGUAUCCUUGAUAUAGUAAAAUAAGGAAAUAAAGUGACAAAAAGGAAAAUUUUGAGUUAUGGCAACAUUAGGAAGUAUAUUAUGACAUAUUAAUUCAAGAAAUGAUUAAAUCGCAAAAGUGAGAAAAGUUUUGUUGACCAAGAGUAAAUACUCAAAAUUUGAGAGGGUAAACUGUAAAUAUGAAAAGUUGAAGGACCAAUAAUGUAAAUAUUUUAAGGGUGGAAUAAUCUAGAAACUAAGGAAAAUGGAUGAAUUAGGACCAAAUUGAAAAGGUGAAGAAUUUUGAGGGACUAAAUCAUAAUUUUGUCAAAUUAAGUGAUGACUCAAUGAUGAAAUUUUAAAAGAUUAUGAAAGGCAAAAUGGUCAAUUAGAAGAGAGAGAAAUCUAAAAGGCAAUGAUGACGUUGGUGAUAUUUUAGAUUAAUUAAUUAAUUAAAUAUUAGCUUAUUAGUAUUUUAAUGAGAUAUUUUAUUAUUUUAUUAUUGUAUUUAAUAUAUAAGGAGAGAAAGAUGAAGAAUUAUCAUCAUCUUUCCCAUGCACCAACGUAAGAAGAAGAAGAAAGAAAGAAAGUUUUUCUUUUCAUUACAAAUUGGUCUUUUCACCAAAUAUUCACCAUUUUCACUUAGAAAUCAAAAGAAUUUUCAUAUCCAUCAAGAGAGAAAGAUAACAAUGAGACUAUGGGGAGCUAGAAUAUCAAGUUAGAUUCAAGAAAUAGAAGCUGGAGGAGAGAGAAAAUCAAGUUAAAGGUUGAAACUAAUAGGACAAGGUAAGAACAUCAAGAUUUCAAUAUAUUUUUAAGUUUGAUAUUAUUGACAAAGCAUGGAAAUGAUGUUAUAGUAGAGUUUUCUUAUAUAAGGUCUUAUGUUCUUGAUAUAUUAGUGAAGAGAAAUAAGUGAAAGUGAUGGGAAAUAUUAUAGAGAAAGGGAAUAAGGGAGUUAUAAACUUAGUAAUCAACAUCUUGCACCAAAACAGUUUUGGACAGCAGCAGUAGGUUAACUUUGAAAAAUCACCAUAAAUUGUGGAAAUCGAAUUAGAGGAUGAACAAAAUAUGGAAUUAAAUCUUAUUGAGUCUAGUUUCUCAUAAAAGAAACAGUGUAAGUAAUGGAAUUGUAAAUCAUUAGAUAUAAUAAAUUUUGUGAGACAAGUUCAGAAUGAAUUCGGGUUCCCCUGUUCUGACUUUGGAAAAUCAUAAAAAAUUGGAUAAAAAUGAUUAGGGGUUAAAAUUUACAUGUUUAAAUUAUUAAUGAGUCUAUUUUCAAUAGAAACAAAGAGAAAUAUCAUCCAAAUUUGUACUAAGAGAUAAUUAAUUUUUAGUGAAGAAGGGUUAAAACUGUCAGAUAGAAGAAUAGGGAUGACUUUAAAGAAUAAACUGUACUUAUUUGCUAAACCAAAAAUUAUGAAAAUUUUAUGGUAAGAAGAUAUGUGAGCGUAAUUUCAGAGAAAAUUAGCGGAUCUUAAUUCGGAAUUCUGUAGCUUAAGAUAUAAUUAAUUUAGUGACUAUGACUCAAGUGAACAGCUUGUUAUGAAUAAACAAGUAAAUAGUAUUAUUAUGUAUAUAUCAAGGAUGUGGAAUGGAGAGGAGGAAAAUACAUGAAUAUUUUGCUAGUAUGGGUUUGCAUUAAAAAUGGUUAAUUUGCAUGAUUUGGACUCAUGGACUAAAUAGAAUAAAAGUAAAAUUUUAGGGGCAAUUUUGUAAAAAUAUCAAAAAUGUCAAAUUGCAUAAAAUGAAUUGUUUUAUUAUUUAAAUUAAUAAAUUGAAUGAAAUAUUAAUUUUAAUCAAGAUCGGGUAGAAAAUCUAGGAAAAUAGAAUGUAAUCACUGAAUUUUGUCCGGGACAAAUUUGCGUUUUUAAAAAAAAAUGCAUUUUAGCCCCCAAAUUUUUCAAAAAUUAUAUUUUAACCCUUAAGUUUUUCUAAAUUUACAUCUUGACCCCUAAUAUUUUAUAAAUUACAUUUAGACCCCUAAUAUUUCUAAAAAUUAUAUUUUGGCCCCAUAUUUUUCUAAAAUUGCACUUUUACCCCAGAAAUUUUGCAACUUCUGCGGUUUGGUCCUUCUGGACAUGUCAAAUCAGCCAAUCGGCAGUUGAGCGUCUACGGGACCUCUGUGCGGACGUCUACGGGAGCAACUCCUUUCUCCUUGGUCUACAGGAUGGAAGCCGUUUUGCCUAUUGAAGUAGAGAUCCCAUCUUUGUGAGCUUUAUGGAGACAAAACUAGAAUAAUCGGAAUGGGUUCGAGCUCGAUAUGACCAGUUAAACCUUAUUGAAGGAAAGCGCUUGAAGGCAAUUUGUCACGGACAGAUGUACCAGAAGAGAAUGAUCACGGCCCAUGAUAAAAAGGUGCGACCAAGAGAAUUUCGCGAAGGAGAGCUAGUACUAAGAAAGAUCCUCCCGAUACAGAAAGACUUUCGAGGAAAAUGGUCGCCAAAUUGGGAAGGGCCAUACGUUGUUAAAAAGGCAUUCUCAGGGGGGCUCUGAUUCUCACUGAGAUGGAUGGGAAAGAAUUACCUAAUCCAGUAAACACAGAUGCUGUGAAGAAAUAUUAUGCCUAAAAAAAACAAAAACAAAAACAAAAACAAAAACAAAAACAAAAAAAAAGAAAAAGAAAAAUCAAGAUGAAAACCCGAAAAGGGCGUCUUGAUAAACAAAAAGGAUUAGGAUGAAAACCCAAAAGGGCGUCCUAAUGAAAUGGGUUCGGGCUUAAAGGAGCAAAGUGAUUUGAACGGGGAGUUGAAUGACGAAGUCGCAAUAUUUGAAGCAUUCUCAGAAGCUCGAAAUCUUCUACACAGAAAGCCAUGCUCGAAAAGAUCCUUGACGAAGAAACGUGGAAAAGUUCAUGUGUUGGAUAUCCAGAGCAUUCGUGACCAUUGAAUUCACUUUCCGUUCUUUUUGAUACUUUCUUUCUUUGAACUAUUCCUUGUCAAUAUUCUUCGUUUGUUGCUUUUGAAAAAAACUAAAUGUGAGGUAUUUCUUGUAUGCCUACUUUGCCAUUUCUUCAUGCAUAUCGUGUUUGAAUCAUUUAAAUGAUAAAUAGUAAGAUGACAUAUUCUAAACAAAAGGAAUGUUGAACAUUACCUGGAUGAGAAUUUGACAAGUACAAGGGCCCCAAAACAGGAACAAAGUUCAAUAAGGGGGCAAGAGGGUGAUAUACGAAAAAAUGUGGGUUACUCACCAAACUUGAAGAUGAGUACAAAACUUGAGAGAAAAGUCAAAGAUUGAAGCAAUGAAUGCAAUCUCUCACGAAAAAGGGGGCAUGUGAGAAACAGCCCAGGGGGUAUGGCAUGAUCAUGUAGGCAUAAAAGUAUUUAGGACAAACACGUGCAUAUCAUGAUAACAUUGUACAUGACAUAUACAGGUAUCCCAGUAGAGUAAGGAAUACUAGGAGAAAGCUGCACAGAAUCAGUGAAGAAAAAGACUUUUAGUUUCAACUGAUGUUUUUUGAAACCCUGUUUCUUUCAAGAAAUAGUUUUCAAUUUCUGCUUUUUUAAUAAAAUCAACUCAUAAUGCGAGAAGUGAGUUGAGCCUCAGGCACACGCUGAGGUAUUUUUUAAAUUUCUAUUUUUUCAAAAAUCAACUCAUAUUGCGAGAGGUGAGUUGAGCCUCGGGUCAAAUGCCGAGGUAUUUCUUUUAAAUUUCUGUUUUUCAAAAAAUCAACUCAUAUUGCGAGAUGUGAGUUGAGCCUCGGACACACGCCGAGGUAUUUUUUAAUUUCUAUUUUUCGAAAAGUCAACUCAUAUUGCGAGAGGUGAGUUGAGCCUCGGGUCACAUCCUGAGGUAUUUUUCAAUUUCUAUUUUUUUCAAAAAAAAUCAACUCAUAUUGCGAGAGAUGAGUUGAGCCUCGAGGCGCAUGCCGAUGUAUUUCUUUUAAAUUUCUAUUUUUUAAAAAUCAACUCAUAUUGUGAGAGGUGAGUUGAGCAUCGGGUCACACAUCGAGGUAUUUUCCAAUUUCUGUUUUUCAAAAAAAAAAACUCAUAAUGCGAGAGGUGAGUUGAGCUUCGGGUCGCACGUUGAGCUUUUCUCGAUUUUUAUUUUUCAAAUAAAAAGAAAAUUUUGGACAGUCGAACAAAAUUCAGUGCUUUUAAGUCUUUGCUCUAUCUCUGUUUCACAGUGAUGAGCAAAGAGGGGCAGCUGUAAUCACUGAAUUUUGUCCGGGACGAAUUUGCGUUUUUUAAAAAAAUUACAUUUUAGCCCCUAGUUUUUUCAAAAAUUACAUUUUGACCCCUAGAUUUUUCUAAAUUUACACCUUGACCCCUAAUAUUUUAUAAAUUACAUUUAGACCCCUAAAAUUUCUAAAAAUUAUAUUUUGGCCCCAUAUUUUUCUAAAAUUGCACUUUUACCCUAGAAAUUUUACAACUUCUACAAUUUGGUCCUUCUGGACAUGUCAAAUUAGCCAAUCGGCAGCCGAGCGUGCUCCACCCACCUCCAGCUACUCCAGCAGCCUCCCUAGGCCAUGAUUGCUCCACUACCACCUGAAAACAAAGAAGAAGAAGACAAAUCAAUGAGAUUAAAAAGAAGCAAAUGAGAGAAAGAGGGGGAUUCGGUUUUGGGCAGCCAAAAAAGAAAAAAAUAGCAGAGAAAUUUCAAGAAAACAACACUCAAAUUCGGCCGCUCCUUCACCAUCACUGUGCCCACCGCCGCACCAUUUCUUUCCCUCCACCACCAUUACCUACAACCCAAUUCGGCAGCCAAGCAAACAAGCAAAAAAGAAAAAAAAAAUUUGAGAAAAAAAAAGAGAGCAAAAACAGUAACAAAAAAGGGGCACCGCCGCCGUCGUGCUCGCGCCACUGUACCCACCAUCGCACUCGCACUGCCCCGAUACCUAGCAAGACAACCAAGAGGCAAGAAAAAAGAAAAAAAACAAGCAAAAAGAAAAAAAAAGAAGAAAAAAAAGAGCAAAGAAGAAAAAAAGAAAAAGGGGGAAAGGGAAGACCACCGUGCGCGCCACCGUCGGCCGCCGGUGGGAAGUAGGUCGCCGUCGACGAGAGCAACAAGAGGGGGUUGAUCGGGGAAGAAAGAAAGGAAGAAAAAGAAGAAAGAAAGAAGAAAAAAGAAAGGAGAAAGAAAGAAGAAAAUGGGAAGAAGAAAGAAGAAAAAAGAAAAAGGAAAAAGAAAACAAUUUUUUUAAAAUCGGGCCGACCCGACCCGAAUCUGGCUCGACCCGACUGACCCGUGACCAGACCCGGAAGUAGUUAGCAGGCCCAACAGUAGCAGAUCAGCCCCCCAAAAAAACAAAACAAAAUAGCAGCAGCAAAAAAACAGCAGUAAAAAAAUAGCAGGCCUUUCCAGCAGCCCAAGCGCAGGCCCAAUUGCAGCAGCCAACCAGCAGGCCUCCAGGCCAGCACGCACCAGCCCAGCAGGCCCAAGAGAAGCAGGCCAGAAAAAGAGAAAAAAAAAGAGAAGGAAAAAAGAGAAAAAAAAAAGAGAAAAAGGAAAAAAGAAAAAAGGUUCAAUUUGUGUAACCCGUUCGACGUAGCUCGUGUUUCGGGAUCUUUUCGGUAAUUUCGUUUAUUUCACUUUUAAUUUCAUGCUCGUAUUUUUAUGUUAUUUAGUUUUAAUAUUAUUAGCAUUUUAUGCAUUUUAUGCAUUUUUAAUUUAAUUUAAUUCCAUUCUAUUUUAAUUUUAUUUUAAAUAAUUUUAAUAAAUAAGGCAACGAAUCAGUUUAACAUAAAAUCGUUGAUUUCAUCGCUACGUUGGGUGAAUAUCACUGGUUUGCGUUAAACUCGAUACGUCCUUUUAAAAACCAAAAGUAUUCAAAAAAUUUCAUGUUUUCGAAAAAAUUCCUGUGUUUCGAAAUUUUCGUGUCUUCAAAUAUUUUUCUCGUGUUUCAAAAAAUAUUCGUGUUUUCAAAAAUAAGGCAACGAUUCGAUUUGACACUAAUUCGUUGAUUUCAUUGCUAUGUUGAGUGAAUAUCACCGGUUCGUGUUAAUACGAUACAUGCUUAAUAAAAAUAAAAAAAUUUGUGUAAUAAAAAAAAAUCUUUCCGUGGUUUCAAAAAUAAUCGUGUUUUCACAAAAUAAAAAUAAAAAAGAUUCCGUUCUUCAAAAUUCUAAUGUUUUCAAAAAAUUCUAUUUUUAAAAAAUUUUCGUGUUUUCAAAAAAAAUAAAUAUAAUUGUUUCAAAAAUCUUUGUGUUUAAAAAGAAAAAUCUCGUAUUUCAAUCGGAUCACGAUUAAAUAUUAAAUUGAACUCGUAUUUUUGAAAAUUAAGACAACAUGCGUUUAACGAGAUACCAAUUUUGGGCGUCGCGAGGGUGCUAAUACCUUCCUUGCGCGUAACCGACUCCCGAACUCGAAUUUUCUCUGGAUUUUUAGACCUAAAAUUACCUCUUUUUUAGAAAAGUUUAAAAAUAAUUUUUUCUUCUAAAAAGAGAAUUUUGUAGGUGUCCGAUCACACCUAAAGAAAAGAUCGAUGGCGACUCCUUUUUUAAAAAAAUCGAGAUUCUGUUUUCAAAUUUGCAAUAAUUACUUCGACUAGCGCACGUGCCCAAAUUUUUUGGUCGCUACAUAGAAAAUUACCAAAAUGCCCCUAUAUUUUUGUAUUUCUGUAAAUUUAGCCUGGUAAGUUCGUGUAACCUGAAUUAUAUUCUUAAAUGCUUGAAAUAUAUGUUAUUGAUGUGAAUAUGAUUUAAUUGUUCAUUGUAUGAAAAUUGAUGAAACAUUGAUAUAUUUGAUAAAAAAGGGAAGAAAUCCCGGUUGAAUGAAAGGAAAAUUCGAUGGAUCUUUAAAAAGGAAUUGAGUGUAAAAAGGAUCUAGCCCGGACGGGUGAUCUUAUCCUGAUAUAGCCCUCCUGAAGAAUAUGUGUAAAAUGGAUUUAGCCCGGAUGGGUAAUCCGAAUUAGGGUCUCAAUUUAGCCUGGACCUGUAAUUCAGAUCCAAGCUCAUUAGAGUAAAUUGUCGUUGUAGGGGAUUUAGCCUGGACUGGUAAUCCCAACAAUACUCUUUGAGUUUAUAUUACAAGGAAUUUAGCCUGGACUGGUAAUCCCGUUUUAAGGAUGAGGUUCGCAGGAGUGUGCUCUCUGAAAUAGAAAUGUACGCACAUGAAGAAUAUGAAUUGACGAAUAAGACCAUAAUUAGGUUAUGGCACUAUGAACGUAAGACCAUGGUUGGACCAUAGCAGUGUUUAUAUGUAAGACCAUAGGUGGGCUAUGGCAUUCUGACGAUAAGACCAUAACUGGGUUAUGGCACUACGAAUUGUAAAGGAUGAAUUGACGGCAAAUUACCCAAGUAAACCGAGGUUCAGCAUUCGUUGCGAACUUUCGUGUUUACUAUCUGUUUAGAUCAAUCUUUUGCAACGAAGAUAUAUUAAAGAUGGAGGAGGGUAUUGAACCUGAAAUCCGGUUUUUAGACAAGACCAAGAUCUGUAGCUUUGACAAAUAGGCUAAAGAGAAUGGAAUAACACCUUUGAAGUUGUUUUGGUCCAAAAACAACCUUCGAAGUUCAGUUAAUGAUCCCAACCAUGAUGGGAUUUCUCCACUGAAGGAGUUGUUACCAAAGCUUAAAUAUUUUAGCAGAUGCAAAUUGGAUAACUGGACAGGUAAUCUGCCGUAGAAACUAUAUUACCUGUCCAGUUAUCCAAUUUGCAUCGGCUGGAAUAUUUAAGCUUUGGUAACAACUCCAAUUUCCCAAGUGAGGUGGAAGGGUGCCUACGAGUCCCAACCCAGUAAGGUUUAGAGCUGUGACUCUACGGUGCUUGGAUCCACAACUUACACCAAACCAAUUGCAAACAGGGGCAGAGGUUGACCAAUUAGUUGUCAAGACAUUUUUAGGAUCAUGAAUAACAUGAUCUUUUAAUGCUAGAAGAGCUGAUUGAUCUGUAAGUAUGGUGGUUAAUAAAAAAAAUGGAAGAUGAUAAGAAGAGCUAAGUUGAGGAAAGUAUUCCCCAUUUGAAUUUGGGUGUUUAUCAAGCUACCAACAAAGAGUACAGAACUGAGAUUGGUAGACAGAUAAUUGAAUGACCACACAACUUCUUUUACAUAAUAUGUGUGUAUAUAUAAAGGGAGUUUAUAUUGCAAUUUCUUCUUGCAAGAAUGCAAAUGCUUUUAAUGUGAUUUACGUAUAAACUAUGGAAUUUAUUAUAGGAUGUGAUAAUAUAAUUAUGUAAUUAUUGCUUAAGAAACUUAAUUUCUAAAUUUCUUUUUAUUCUUAAGAAAAUUACAGUAUUAAACUUUACAUAGAAAAACUAAAUAGUAUUGUAAUUAAAUUGCACUUGUACAAAUGUUACAACUUUUUUAUUAAAUUAUUUUAGAUUAUUGAAAUUAUUAGAGAACAUGAUAAAAUGAUAUAUCAAAUACUAAAGUAUAUAUAGAGUGACAACUUAACAGUCACUUCGAAGAAUAUACACAACCCUACCGCUUGCUUAACUAGCGGCAUCUAAACACUAAUAAAUUUUUGUUUCUAUUGAAUAAAAAAAAAUUGAAUAAAAAAGAUAUAGGUAAACUACCAAAAUAGUCACUUUUGUUUGGCUCAGGUUACAUUUUAGUCACUUAUGUUUGAAAUGUUACGUUUUAGUCACUUAUGUUAUCACGUUGUAACAUUUUAGUCACUGAGCCGUUAGUUUCUGUUACCGGUGUAACAGUAAACUGAUGUGGCACGUUAAAUCAUCAUUUCAAACAAAAAUUCUAGGUUAAUUUAUACAAUCGAUCUCCAUAUUUUUUUCGUUUGGAGCAAUUUAAUUUUUUUCUUUUAUGUUUUUAUAACUUUCUUUCUUUUUCAUUCUCUUAUGCUUCUCCUUUUGUUUUCCUCCCUUCUCCAUUUCUUUCAACGUAGUUUUUCUAUGUUUUAUUUUUUUGAACAAUUUAAUUUUUUCGAGUGAGGCGAGCUUGUGUACUAGUUACAAAUGGAAAGCAUAGAAAAACUAUGUUAAAAGAAAUGAAGAAUGAGGAAAAUAGAGGGCGAAGCAUAAGAGAAUGGAAAAAAAAAGUUAAAAGAACAUAAAAGAAAAUUUAUAAAUUGUUGAAAAUAAAAAAAUAUAGGGACCAAUUGUAGAAUUUAACCUAAAAUUUUUGUUUGAAAUGAUAAUUUAACGUGCCACAUCAACUUACCGUUACACCAUUGUCGACAAUUAACGACUCAGUGACUAAAAUGUUACAACACGAUAACGUAAGUGACUAAAACGUAACAUUUCAAACAUAAGUGACUAAAAUGUAACAUAAGGCAAACAAAAGUGACUAUUUUGGUAGUUUACCCAAAAGAUAUUGACUAAAAAUUAAAACAAACCAUGAAAUUUCUUUAAGGUUGAAAGAUUUUAUUUAAUUUUUUUUUUGGAAUAAUAUUUUUUUUGGUCUUUUAUUUAUUUUUUAUUAUUUUAAUCCUUAAAUUUACGUUAUUUGUUAAAUUACCCCAAAAUGGAUGGAAAAGUUAACUUUUAUUAAUUUUGCUGAUGUGGCAUACAUAUGGAUUGUCACGCGAAUGCCAAGUUAGCAAUUAAUUAUUUUUUUAAAUUUAAAAAAUAAAAAUUAUUAAAUUAUUUUAAAAAUUAUUAAAUUUUUUAGAAUAUGUAAAAGUAUAAUUAAUUGCUAACGUGACAAUCCACAUGUAUGUCACAUCAGCAAAAUUAACAAAUACUAACUUUUUCAUCUAUUUUAAGUGAUUUGAUAAAUAAUACAAGUUCAAGAGUUAAAAAGAGAUGAAUAAUUAAAUAGAGAGCUAAAAUAUAAAGUCUUUCCACUUUGUCGAUUUAGAAGUGAUUGUAAAAUUUAUAUUAUUUAAAUAGAAAAUAAUCUUCUAGUUAUUAAUUAAAAUAUAAUUUAUUUAAUUCAUUUAAUUAAUUAAAUUAAUUUUCAAUUAAAUAUUUUUCUCAAUCCAAUUUUAAUUUCGUUACAGUAAUGACUAAUUAAUUUUAAUUAAAUAUUUAAUUUUUUUAUACCGGAUAAGUAAUGACUAAUUAAUUUAAUCUCAAUUUUAAACUUUAAUUAUUUAAUUAUAAUUAAUUAAAUAAUAAUUUUAAAAAUCUUAAAGUAAUUCUGAAGUCAUUUCCAUUCAUUUUUGUUCAUUUCUAUCCAUUUAAUUUUACAUACAAUUUAUUUUUUAUUUCAACGAGCUAACUAUUUAGUAACUGUAAAAUACAAUGUAGAGAUCAAUAUGGAAAUAUAAAUUUUAAAUUUUAAAUAUUUUUUGUUAUAUAAAUUUUUAUUUGAAGUAUGAAACGUUAUUUUCUUAGCAAAGAGACUAGUGUUGGGAACAUAUCCACGCACUAAUUUUUCAUGACGGUUCUAUAAAAAUAGUCACUCAAUUAUUAUCAUAUUUCUAUUUUGGUCACUCGAGUUUAAAAUUUUUUAUUUUAGUCACUAAUGUUAUCAAAAUUUAAUAUUUUGGUCAUUCUUCCAUUAAAUCACUAAUAGUGGUCCUUUUUUAUUGGAAUCAUAACAAAUUUAACCCUCCAAUAUUUAUAGAUUCCAUCAAUUUAGCCCUAAAUCUAAAAAAUUCAACAUUUAUAUUAAUAUUGAUAGAUUCUAUAAAUAUUAAUAAAUCAUUUUUAAUGAAUUUUAUAUUUUUGAAAUUAUUGUAAUUUUAAUCUAGUUUAGCUAACUCGAGUGUUAAUUUUUGAAACUGAUAAAAUUUCUAAAUGUUACUAUUGAUGAAUAAUUGAUGAAAUUAGUAUUACUUGAUUAGAAUUUUCUACUUAGAUAUGAAAAAGGAUUAAUUAUCAAUUAUCAAUUCCAAAUAAAAAAAUUAUUGAUAUUUUCUAUUAUGAAAACCCAUUCUCAAUGUGUUGCAUCGUUGAACAAGUAAUUUUUACUUCUAUUGUGGCAAAUUCAACGGAGGGAGUUAUCUUCUUAUUUCUACCAUAAAAAGUUUCUCAAUAUAUUUCAUUGGGUGAAAAUUUUGAGUUAGAUAAUUAGAGUGCUUCAAAAUCUCAUGGCAAUCAACAAAUUAUGUGAACGUGUGUGAAAAUAGGAAGGAUAUUAGUCUUAAGCAAACAAAAGUUUAGAUGACAAUUCCCAUGAUACUCGUUGGAUAAUUUGGUCAUCUUUUUUAUGGAAUGUAAACUUUUCUAAAUGAUAAGGAAAGGAAAGGAAAGGAAAGCUUGGGCAAUUCAAUUUAAGUAGUUCACCUCUAAUUACCUAUCUCCACUACUUUAGUAUACUUCAAUCAAUAAUUUCCCAAAUUACUAUAAGAAUUAAUACCUUUCAAGGAGAAGGUAUAACAUUUACAACAACACUGUCUUUUUCUUAAAGGCUUAGAUAUAACCUUUCCCUCUAGCUUUUAUAGUUGUUAUAUAGUCGUUGGGAAGUCAUGUCUCAAGACAAUUUAUCAAUUGUCUCUAGACACACUGCACAAUAUCUCAAGACAAGCAGCUCUUAUCAAUCGAUACAAGCCAGUAUGAACUUGUAUAAGUUAGUAUUGACUGAAACGAGCUGAAACAUACUGGAAUGGUCGAAACGCAUCAAAAUCUUAACCAUAAUGGAAUCUAUACUACUUCAGAUUGGUUGAAGACCAGAAAGAUACAUAUCGAGUGUGUUAAAUGUUGAUGUCCCUUUUAUGUACUGUUUUAUAUUUUUGUUCUUUUAAUAAGAUUUGUUUGGCUUAUAAAAAUUAUUUUUAUUAAAAUAAAAUAACUGAAAACCUUAUGCAAAGACUGAAAAAAGAGAUCAAAAUUUGGUAUGUUUUGAUAUUGGACAUUUAAUAAUUUGUACCUAUAUUCUUAAAAAAAAAAUUGUACCAAUACAAUUUCAUAAAAUUAGUACAAAUGAUCAUCAAAAUUCAGCAUAACUUUUUUGAACCUAAAUAUAUUGCUAAUUGAUAUAAUUGGGAACGGUUAUGCAGUUGAUAAUAAUCUUUUUGGACUUCGUUUAAUAUAUGAUUUAUGCAAGUAAUAUUGGCAACUCAAGUUUCGGCAUGUCCUACGAGAACAUAAUACACUGACAGAUUGCAUGAACAAAGAUGUUCUUAGUAAUUUUAAUAGGUUAACAACUUUUGAAGACCCAGCUGGUCAUGCUCAAUCUUUGUUAGAAAAAGAUGUUCAUCGAGCAAUGAUUAAUAUAGAUUCCCAUUAACCUAAUUGUAGCUAAUUCCUUGAACUUGUUUCUUUUUUUAAAAAAAUGCACAAAAUGCAGAAAUAACUAUUAAUAAACUUUAUAGGAAAACAGAGCAUCUGUAUAAAUAUUUAUCAAAGAUAUUGCUAGAAAGCAAAGCUUAUGUUUAUUUUAGUCAAUUUAACAAUGGCCUCUUCAUCGAACGCGUUGCAUAUCCCUUGAUAACUUUACUUUGAUCUUCUUUAACUUUGUAACAACCUCUUUCAUAUGAAGCCUCUCAUUUGGUAACUCUGCAGAACAUUCUAAGCCAACUUGCAAAAUGGAUAAGGCACAAUUCUUGACUUUUAAAUGUUCCCUUCCAAUGGUGCUCAACAACUUGGGAUCUACAACUUGAUUUAGCGAAGAUGAUAUCGACUCUAUCACCCAACUCUUCAAGCUUCUUUCUCCUUCAAACAUUUCAUCUGUGGGCUAUUUUCUUGUGAUAAUUUCCAUCAAAAGAAUACCAAAGCUAUACACAUCACCUUUUGUCGAAACAAUUCCUUCCAUUCCAUAUUCUGUGUAUGAAUAUAAAGACAACAUUAUUAAUAUUCAAAGAUAUCUUGAUAAUGAAAAAUUCGUAUAAAAUAUCCGAAACAUUAUAUGCUUGCAUGUUAUAAUUGAACUGGGAUUUAAUCUAGUUGCUUCCUUAAAAAGUCACAUUUAAUAUGUUUGAAACUCAAAUCUUAACAUAUAUGAUCCCUUUUGCUAUGCACAUGCUACGCUUAUAUUGAAAAUGGAAAAAUAAACAUGGAGUUUGAUUAGAAGGAUCACCUGGUGCCAUAUAUCCAAAUGUUGCCAUUGUCAUGGUUUGUAUCAUUGAAACCUCUUCACGUAAGAGUUUCGCGAUGCCAAAAUCACUCAAAUGCGCAACCAUAUCUUCAUCUAAUAGAACAUUGUUGGGUUUCAAAUCACAGUGAACCACGGGUGUUGCAUUACCUUGGUGGAGAUAUUCCAAUGCAGAUGCAACAUCUAUCAUUAUGUUCAACCUUUGUAGGAUAUCCAAAUAUUGGUUGUUGGAAUACAACCAUUUAUCAAGACUCCCACUAGGCAUGAACUCAAGCACCAACGCUUUGAAAUUAAGAUCAUUAGAGCAACUGCUUAUUACUUUGACUAAAUUUCUGUGACGAGUGUUGCGGAGAACAUCACAUUCAACAUCAAAGCUCUUAAAAGCUCCUUCUAACUCUAACUUGAAGACCUUCACCGAAAUUACCGUCCCAUCCUGGAGAGUCCCUUGGAAUACUGAACCAUAACUUCCAUUACCAAGCAACCUAUUAUCACUGAAUCCAUCAGUAGCUUGACGAAGCUCGUGGUAUGAAAACCGUCUCCACGUUCCUAAAGGUAUCAUGUCUUCUUGAGUUGGCAAUUUGUCUUUCCUCCUGUAUUGCAAGAUAAUGAUUAUCAGAGCCACAAUCAAAAUUGUGGAGGCAAUUGGCAGAGCUACAUAUAUUAUGAGCUUAGUUUUUGCCUUGGAAUUUCUAAGAGAUCUAGUUUUGCAGUUUGGAACAUGAAGUCGAGCUGCACCACACAAGGCUUCAUUCCCCUUAAAUGAUUCGAUUGUGUAGUUUCCAAAUGAUCCUCCAUCAGGAAUUUCUCCUUCAAGUCUAUUAAAAGAGACAUUGAAAUAUUUGAGAUAACGGAGUUUCACUAAGGAUUUGGGAAUCUCUCCAGAUAGAUUAUUUCUUGACAACUCCAAGAAUUCCAAACUCAACAAUUCAUCAAAAGACUCAGGAAUAGAACCCAUGAUUCUAUUAUUGGAUAAGGAAAAAUGAGUGAGGUCCUUGAGAUCUGCAACUCCAGUUGGGAUAUCACUUGAGAACUGAUUGUUCGACAAAUCCAAACUAGUCAAAACUUUCCAUUUUCCAAUGUCAAUUGGCAGUGAACCACUCAGAGAAUUUGAAGACGAGUAUAGGAUGAGGAGAUAGUUAAGCCUUGUCAACGUUGAAGGUAUUGAAGAGGAAAACAUAUUGGAGUCUAGAAAUAGUUGCCUUUAUGAAUUGAGAUCACCUAAGCAAGUAGGUAUUGGCCCAGACAUUUUGUUAUUGGUCAAGAACAAGAAAGCCAAUUUGUUUAGAUGACAUAACUCAGAUGGGAUGGAUCCCUCUAACUUAUUGUCCUUAAGAGAAAGUCAUUGCAACUCUUCCAAUCCUCCAACUGUAGUAGGAAUCUGUCCUAUCAAUUUAUUGCCUCCUAGCUCAAGGUUUAUCAAGUGACUUAAGUUUCCAAUUUCACUGGGGAUGCUACCCCUGAUGUUGCAUGCAGAAGCAGAGAACUCUUCAAGAGAACUUGAGAGAUUUCCUACCACUCUUGGAAGUUCACCACUAAUAAAUGAGUUGAUGUCGAAAAAAAGGUUCUUCAAGACUCUACAGUUUGUCAAAGAAAAGAGAAAGCUCAUUCCUGAGGAAGUUAAAUUAUUACUCGCCAGGUUGAGAAUAUUUAAAUUUCUUAGAUUGCCCAGAUUAUCCGGAAUGGACCCUGAAAAGUAAUUACUAGACAUGUCAAGAAGAGUAAGCUGAGAGGCAUUGGAAAUAUACAUUGGGAUCGAGCGGGCAAGGUGAUUGAAAUCAAGAUACAAUUACUCCAUGUUUGGAAGGAAAAGGCCCAUGUUUGAUGGAAGAUGGCCAGAGAGCUGAUUUGUAUCCAAAGAAAUCAUCCUUAGAGUUGAAAUAUUGAACAGUUGUGGAGGAAUAGAACCAGCAAUAUUGUUAAAUGCUAAAUUCAACCAAUUUAGAUUGUUUAGGUUGCCAAUCUCAUGUGGUAUUAUACCUGCCAUAAAUUUUAUCAAACAAAAAUAUUAGACAAAUAUGGAACAUUUGCUUGUAUUUUGUUCUUCUAAGAACAUAAAAAUAACUCAAUUAUGAUUUUAUUAGAGUUUUGUGUGGCCUCAACUGGGAAAGAAUGGACUUAAAAGAAAAGAAAUAUACUAUUUGCAAUGACACGAAAAAAAAUUAUAACUAUUGUAACAUAAUCAAAAUACAGAAAGCCGUUGAACAAAAUUAAACCUAUCAUUAAAAGUUGGAAAUAAUUGACCUGUAAAAUUGCCAUGGGAACAAUCAAACAGCCUGAGAAGAGUUAAAUUCACAAUUUGUUUAGGAAUUUCACCUGCAAUUAUAAAAUUCACUUGUCAAAUUCAAAAUUCAUCUCUUAGUAAAGAUUAUAAGAUAAUAAAUGCUUAAUAACUUACUUAGCUUUCCAAUUUUAUAUAAUAAAGUCAUUUUAAUUCUCUAUUUAAUUUUUCACCUUUAAACUUGUAAUAUUUGUCAAAUAUACCUCCAAAAUGGAUCAAAAAAUCCAUGUGCAUGUCACGUACUUAGUUUCUUGUUUGUUUAUCUUAUUUCUUCUCUAUCAAAGACCAAUAUUUAUUUUUAUUUGGUCCAAUCAAAAAAUAUUUUAUCAUUUCUGUAUUCGCAAGUCAAUAUAGAUGGAUAUUUCAAAACAUAUAUAUGUCUCUCUUAUUCUCGAUUUUCUCAAGCAAUUUGGUGGAAUACUCGAACGUUCGAUUCUUUUUUUUGGUCUUAACUUCAAUCUUUAUGAAUGAAAACAAAAGAAAAGAGUUUCUCAUUAUGAUCUAGGUUUCAUUUCUAUGGGUUAAAAAAAUUAAAAUAGUUAGUUGAAAGACCCAACAAAAAGUUGGUUAUAGAGGAGUUCAAGGAUAGAAAUAACCAAAACUCAUCUCAGCUACUGUACAAAUAGGUGUCGUAACCAUUUUUUUGUAAAAAGGUCGUUGACUUGGAUUUUGAAAAACGAAAACGAACAUGGGAGUCGCCACCAAUCCUUUUUAUUUAAGUGUGAUCGGAUCACCUUAUAAUUUAAUCAUUUUAAUAAAAGUUUUAAAUUUACUAAAACGAUAAUUUUUUUGUCUACAAAAUCCAAGAAAAGGGUUCGGGAGUUGGUUAUGCAUGAGGAAGGAUUAGCACCCUCGAUGCACCCAAAAUUGGCAUCUAGUUGAUUAAUUAGUUUCUUAGUGUCGAAGAUUGAAAACUUUAAAGAGAUUUAAAAUUUGAUCCUUUAUUGAAAUGCUAAAAAAAAUUGAGGAAAAGGGCAUACUUUACGUUAAUCGAGAAAAGAGAAUUACGUCCCGUAAGUUAAGACACAAUACCACGUACUUUUGAGAAUAAGCUCCCUUUUGUUUUUUUUUCUCAAAACAUGUUUAUUUUAGUUUUUAAAAGGAUAUUCGGUUAUUUGGGUUCAACGCGAGAAGAAUCAAGACCCAGUAAGUUAGGAUACGACUUCUCGGAUUUCCAAUUACAGAAUAUUGCCUUUAUUAUUUUUUAGAAAAGAACCUCAUCUUGAGAAAAAUAACAUGUCAUAUCCAAUGCGUUAGGACACAACAUAUCGAAUUCUCGAGAUAAGCUUUAAUUUUGGAAUUUCUACGUUUAAAUUGAAAAAGGGAUAUUCAGUUACUUACAUUCAACAAGGAGAAUUGAAGCCCAGUAAGUUAGGGCACAAUCCCCUCGAGAAUCUUGGAUACCGAGUAGUUGAAAACUUAUGGAUAAAAUGAUUUCAAUAUUUUUCUAAACGGAUGUAACGCGAUUGAAUGGUAACGUAUUACGCAAAAGUAUAAUUUAAAAAUAAAAUACACGUUAACGAAUCAUGAAUAAUAAAUAAACACAAACUAACAUAGCGAUAAUAAUCUCAAUCAUACAUGUCGAAUAUCGAUAUCAAUAUUUGAAAUAAAAACGAGCUAAUUAAUGCAAACACAAGCCAAGUGUAUAAGUUUUGAAAUGACUAGAAAAAUAAAUGGUAUGAAAAGAAUGGAAAUUGUGAAUCAAUAAAGCAUAUACAUAGAAAUUUUAACAUAAGUAUAUACAAAAAAUUUGAAAUAGAUUAAAAUGGAGUUUAAAAUAAAAUAAAAUAAAAUAAAUAGUAUGCGAAGUAAAUUUUAGAGUAAAGGUUCAAAAUAUUAAUAUAUACAUAUAUUAAAAUUUUAAAAAAAGUAAUACGUAUGGGGUGGAUAUAAUAUGUGGUACUAUACGUAAAAGUUGGAGUUAGUGAAGUAUAUUAAAAUAGGAUUUUUUUUUUUUUAGAACUACAUAUUUAUAGAUAAAAAAUAGAUGUUAGCAAAUAUAUAUACAACUAUAGUAAAGAAAGGACUGAAAAUUAAUAUGUAAUUUGAUAAAAACUAUGUAUCAUAAAAUAAAACCAUUUUAAAGAAAUAAAUCCCAUUGGAUUGAUAUAAUAAUAUGAAAUAAUGAUAAUGAUAUAAAACGUUAAAAAAUAUAAAUACGUAAUAAUAAAAGAGUAAAUAAAUAUAAAUAAGUGUAAUAAUAGUACCAAUAAUAAUAAUAGUAACAGUACUAAUAACAAUAAUAAUAUAAAUAAAAUAAUAUUAAACAGUUAAUUUUACAAGAAAAAAUAAAAAUAGAUAAAAUAGCACUGACAACAGAGAAGGACUAAAUUAAGCUUGAAAAUAAAAGUUUGAGGCAAAUCUAGAAAUAAAUGAAAAAGGGAUCGCGCUGAACACGCGAACAACGGGGAAAGACCAAAAUGGGAAAUAAUCCCAGCUUUCCAGAAUGUUGAGUUUUGCGCGGACCAGAUUGGAACAAAAAAUAAAAUGCAUGGCCAUAUUUAAAGGGAACAAAAGAUCGAUUUGAACUCAAUAUGGAAUACAGGGGACCAUUUGCGUAAAUUUCCCACGCGUUAUAAAACACGCAGAUCUGGGACCGGAUCGGGGCGGGUCGCGUGCUGGUCGUGCAAAACAGAGCCGUUUCGGCACUGAAACUCCCAGGUGAAACGACGUCAUUUCAAUAGCACUAUAAAAGUUAAAAUUUUCCAAAAUAGACUCAUUUUCUCCUUGUUUCAGAAAAAAAACAUUGGGGGUUCUCUCAAGUCCCCUUUCUCCAGCCCUAAACUUCGGCCAAAGUCUGGCCACUAUCCACCGUACCGGUCGUCGAUCGUCGGCAUUAGCGCCGCCGAGCACGGUGGUCGGCGAGGGAAAAAAGUUUUUUUUAAUUUUUCAGCCCCCUAGACUCAAAUCCAACCACAAAACACCCAAAAACGUAAUAAAAAGGGGCUAACAACCCUCUCAACGACGAGUUUUGCCACUAAAGAAGGGACCUUCUGACGAUCAAGGCGCGGCGUAACUCCGGUGAGUCCCUUCCCCUUUUUCUUAUUUUCGAACAACAAAAAGAAAGAAAGAAUAAAAAAAAGGAUUGAAAUCGAAAAUAAUCACCUUAAAAAAAACUUUCUAUUUUUGAUUAAUUUUUAUAUAUUUCGAAUCAAUGUGUGCGUAAAAAAUUGUUACAACGAGAAUACUUUGGCUUUUAUAGCCAAAUUACAACCGUUUGAUCUUCAUCUUUUUGUUUUUUUUUUGCUCUUUAUUUUGCUGGAUUCUUCUGUUGCUUUGCAUUGAUUUCUCUCUGCAGGUGUCAGAGGCGUGCGAUGCGCGUGGAGGUGACGGGCGGCGAUGGCAGUGUCAGAGGUGGCAGAGGCUUGUGGCGCACCUAGGGUUUCUGCCUCUCCCUCUUGCUGAAAAUUAGUUUAGGUUUUGGGCCAUUUGGGCUUUAAGGUUUUGAUUUAUUUGGGCUGUAAUUGGGUUUGUAAUUUAGCUGAUAAUUUGGAUUGUUUGGAUUAUUUAUUUUUUUGGUUUUAUUUCUGUUUAUUUUUGGGUUUUGGGCUUGGGAAAAAAUUGAUUAUUACAGAGAUAUUGAAGAUGGUAGAGGGAAUUGAACCUGAAAUCUGGUUUUCAAACAAAUACAAGACCUCUAGCUUUGACAAAUAGGCUAAAGAGAAUGGAAUAACACCUUUGAAGUUGUUUUGGUACAAAAACAACCUUCGAAGUUCAGUUAAUGAUCCCAACCAUGAUGGGAUUUCUCCACUGAAGGUGUUGUUACCAAAGCUUAAAUAUUUCAGCCGUCGCAAAUUGGAUAACUAGACAGGUAAUCUGCCAUAGAAACUAUUGUUUGUGACAUAAAGAAGAGAAAGGAAUGACAAAUUUCCCAAGUGAGGUUGAAGGGUGCCUACGAGUCCCAACUGUUAGAGUUAUUAAUAAAAUAGUCAAAGCUAUUACUAAGUCAGUUAGCAGUUAAGCUAUUACUAAGUCAGUUAGCAGUUAGAAAGUUAGCUGUAAUGUCAGUAAGCUUUAGCUUACGUGCUUGUAUAAAUACAUGUGAGGUCUGCAUGUUUUAAGUGACCUAAUGAAAAUAAUUCUCUUCUUGAUUCUUUCAUUUUCUUAGUUUCUUGUAGUUUUACAUGGUAUCAGAUGUAAGUUUUUCCUGGCAUUUUUUCUUCUUCUUUCGUUAAUCCGCUGUGCAGUCUGCAUAGUCAAUAUGGCCUUCAAUUCUUCUGACGGAGCUAUUGACAGUCGGUUCUUUUCUACAAAGAGGAUUAGUGUUCUUCUUGACGAUAAUACCUAUUUACUGUGGCGUCAGCAGGUUCUCUUGGCUAUAAAAGCGCAUAAACUUCAAAACUUCUUGGACCCUCAACAAGAUCCUCCCACUCAGUUUCUUGCCGAUGGUAGUGGUGGUUUUCAUGAGAAUCCAGAGUUUGCACAUUUUGAGCAACAAGAUAGUGCAUUUGCAUUGUGGUUGUUAUCUUCUAUUAGCCAAACGGUGCUUCCUCAUCUUAUUGGUAUGGAUACCAGUGCCAAGAUUUGGAAUGCAGUUGUUACCUUGUUUGGUAGUAAAACCACCUCUAAACUGAUGUCCUAUCGAAGAGCUUUGCAUUCUCAACGCAAUGGCAACUUGAGCAUGAAUGAGUUCUUGAUGAAUGUUAAAAGUUGCUGUGAUAAUCUCGCUAGUUGCGGUGAAGUCAUCAGCGAGCAUGAGCAUGUUACUGCAAUACUCAAUGGUCUUCUUCCAGAAUAUAAACCUGUCAUCACCAUUGUUACAGCAAGUCAAGUGCCCUACACAGUACAAGGUGUAACUUCCAUGCUUCUCGAUACUGAAGCUCGACAGCAGGUGAUGAGUUGUAAAGUCUCCAGUUCUGCAAACUUGGUGUCUUACCAGUCUUCUGAGUCUUCCGAUACUACUGGUUCAAUACCUGCUUAUCGACAGUCAUCUGCAACUCGGGGACAUCGGUGAGGGCGUUCGUCCAACACGAGGAUUCAAUGUCAGCUAUGUGGGAAAGCUGGUCACCUUGUUGACCGUUGUUACUAUCGGCUCACUUGUCCAUACACGUCAGCUUAAAAUGGACUUGUUGAAUUAAAACACCGACAGGUAGUUGAAACCGGCCUGUCCAUGUUAGCUCAUCCAACCAUGCCUUUGAUGUUCUGGAAUGAAGCCUUUUGCAGUGCCGUGUUUCUGAUUAACAGAUUACCCUCCCAUCCCUUGGGUGAUAUAUCACUAUAUGAAAAAUUGUUUAAAACAAAACCAAAUUACUCUUUCCUUCGAACUUUUGGCUGCUUAUGCUUUCCUAAUCUUAUACCUUUCAAUAAAACAAAGCUACAGUUUAUAUCUAUUCCUUGUGUCUUUCUCGGCUAUUACCCAUUGUACAAAGGUUACAAAUGUAGAGACCCUAUUGGUAGAAUCUAUAUUACUCGUCAUGUCACAUUUAAUGAGGCCAUUUUUUCCUACAAAAUGCAUAGUUCAACAGUCAUCCCAUCUACUGCUGUUCCACAGGUCAAUACAAAACUUCUUGUCCUACAUCCUAGCACUGUAUCUUGUAAUAGCAUCCCACCUAAUGUUAUUUCUACUAAUCCCUCUUCAACACCCACUUCACAGUCCACCUAUCCUAUUUUAGCUCAAACAUCACCUGCUUCACCUACGUUAUCUAGAUCCUCUUCACCUCCACAAUUGCAACCCUCCCAAUCCGCCCCGAUCAACACUCAUUCCAUGAUCACCAGGAGUAAGGUUGGAAUUUUCAAGCCAAAGGCUUAUUUGAGCACGACAUCUUCUUCUCCUAGUGAUGUUUCCUCUAACAUACAUGCAACGAUGGCGUUUGAAUGCUGGCGAAUAGCGGUUCACAGUGAAUUGCAAGCUUUGGUUCGUAAUAAUAUGUGGACUCUUUGUUCUCUCCUUGAAAAUCGACGAGCAGUCGGGUACAAGUGGCUCUUUAAAAUUAAAAGGAAGGCUGAUGGGUCCAUCGACAGGUACAAAGCAAGAUUAGUUGCGAAAGGGUUCUCUCAACAUACAGGGCUUGACUUUCAUGACACAUUUAGUCCACUAGUUCGAGCUUCCACCAUUCGCACUAUUCUUGCGUUAGCUGUUAUGUAGGGGUAGGCAAUGCGUCAAGUUGACAUCAAUAACACCUUUCGUAAUGGUGAGCUUACUGAAGAAAUAUACAUAGAGCAACCCUCUGGUUUUGAAGUCUCAGGUGCCUCUGGUCAGCCACUUGUGUGCAAAUUGAAUACAGCACUCUAUGGCUUGCGACAAGCCCCUCGUGCAUUCGAGUGUCUACAGGGAAUUACCUGCUUCUCAUGGUUUAUUUCGAUGACAUUGUGCUCACUGGUAGUAGUGUUCAAGAUAUAGAUGCUGUGGUACAUCAUCUUCAUAACAAAUUUGCUCUUAAGGAUAUGGGAACUCUCAGUUUUUUUUUGAGAAUUGAUGUCCAACGUACGUCCCAAGGAAUGUUGCUCAAUCAGAAGAAGUAUGUCACUGAGCUUCUUCUCAAAACUGGUAUGAUCGGGGCAGCUUCUACACCGACACCCAUAGUAAGCACUCCCAAGUUAGUUGCUUCAGAUGGCAGUCCUCUUUUUCCAAAUGUUCAUUUGUACCGAAGUACAAUGGGUAUGCUUCAAUAUAUAUGUAUUACACAACCCGAUUUGUUGUUCUGUGUAAACAAGCUUAGCCAGUACAUAAGUUCCCCCAGUGUCACUCAUUGGAAAGCUGUCAAACGUGUUUUAAGGUAUCUGGCUGGCACCAUAGAUCAUGGUUUGUAUUUUGCAGCAGGUCCAUUAGAGCUGGUGUGUUACUCUGAUACUGACUGGGCCUCAUCCAUUGAAGAUCGACGGUCUACGUCGGGAUAUGUGGUAUACUUAGGAUCAAAUCCUGUUACCUGGUGCUCAAAGAAACAGUCGGUGGUAUCCAGGUCGUCUGCUGAAGCAGAGUAUCGUAGCCUAGCCAACUGUGUGUCUGAACUGCUGUGGAUUCAACAGCUGCUAAAUGAAGUUGGAGUACCUCUGUCUAAGUUGCCAAUCGUCUGGUGCGACAAUUCUUCUGCAGUUUCAGUAGCUGAAAAUCCCACGCAUCAUUCUAGGAUGAAGCAUGUGGAAAUAAAUCACCAUUUUGUUCGUGAGAAAGUUCUUGCUGGAAUCCUACAGGUCAAUUUUGUUCCCUCUGAUCAACAGAUUACAGAUGUCCUCACUAAACCAGUUACUCCUAAGCUGUUUUCAUCAUUUCGACAUGCUCUUCGAGUCUUGACGUUAAGUGAACUUAAUGAUAAAAAAUCAAACAUGCUAAGGGAAUGUUAGAGUUAUUAAUAAAAUAGUCAAAGCUGUUACUAAGUCAGUUAGCAGUUAAGCUGUUACUAAGUCAGUUAGCAGUUAGAAAGUUAGCUACAACGUUAGUCAGCUUUAGCUUACGUGCUUGUAUAAAUACAUGUGAGGUCUGCAUGUUUUAAGUGAUCUAAUGAAAACAAUUCUCUUCUUGAUUCUUUCAUUUUCUUAGUUUCUUGUAGUUUUACACCAACCCAGUAAGGUCUAGAGCUGUGACUCUACGGUGCUUGGAUCCACAACUUACACCAAACCAAUAGCAAACGGGGGAAGAGGCUGACCAAUUAGUUGUCAAGACAUUUUCAGGAUCAUGAUGAAUAACAUGAUCUCUUAGUGCUAGAAGAGUUGAUUGAUCUGUAAGUAUGGUGGUUAAUUUCAUAGAGAAAUUAGUAGGCAUAGAAAAAUGGAAGAUGAUAAGAAGAGCUAAGUUGAGGAAAGUAUUCCCCAUUUGAUUUUAGGUGCUUAUCGAGCUACCAACAAAGCCAGAACUGAAUGUUGUAAUUUAUUCUUGCAACAUUGCAAAUUCUUUGAAUGUGAUUUAGGUAGAAACUAUAGAAUUUAUUAUAGGAUGUGAUAAUAUGAUUAUGUAAUUAUUGCUUAAAAAACUUCUUUCUAAAUUUCAUAUAGUUGCACUAGUGCUAAGAUUACAACUUUUUUUAUUAAAUUAUUCUAGAUUAGUGAAAUUAUUAGACAACGUGAUAAUUUCUUAUCAGAUAGGAAGUGACAAGUGAGCAGUCACUUCCAAGAAUAUAAACAACUCAAUCACUCUCUUAACUAACGGUAUCAAACACUAAUUGUUGUUUCUAUUGACUAAAAGAAUUUUCAACCAAAAAUAUGUUGACUUAAAAUUAAAAUAAACCAUCAAAUUUCUUAGAACAUUCAAUGAGGUUGAAAGAUUUUAUUUUUAAUUUUUGUUAUUUUGGAAUAAUUUUUUUUCUUUAUAAUUUUACCAAAAAAUAUAUUUUAACUUUUUAUUUUUUUAGUCAUUAAAUUUACAUUGUUUGUCAAAUUAUCCUAAAAUAAAUGGAAAAAAUCAACGUUUGUUAACUUUGCUAAUGUGCCACAUGUGGAUUGUCACGGGAAUGUCAAGUUAGAAAUUAAUUCAUUUUUAAAAAUUUAAAAAUUUAGAAAAUAUUAUUAAUUUAUUUUUAAAAUACUAAAUUUAUUUAAAAAGUAUAAAAGUAUAAAAUUAUAAAAAUAUUUUUAUUUUUAAAAAUUAAUUAAUUGCUAACGUUGUACAUUAACUUUUUCAUUCAUUUUAGAUGAUUUGAAAAACAAUACGAGUUUAAAAGUUAAAAGUGAUAGAAAAUUAAAUAAAAGGCUAAAAUGAAUUUUUUUUAAAAAUAAAUUUGAAACGCCAAAAAAUUCAUCAUCCUUUUUUUUUUUGUCCUAUCAAUACACUUAACAACAUGCCACCAUAAUUUUGAUUUUCUCUGGUAAGUCUGUAUGCCAUAGGUUUUUUAGGAAAGCUUUGUUUGUAAUUUCAUUAGUAUCAUCAUCUAGACUAGAGGUCUCUUUCAGUAGCCUUCUGUAACCACUCCUCACAAUAUACUCUCUUGUUACCCCCCCCCCAUUCCAUACCCUAUUUUCCUCUCGUGGAUGUCUCGCUAGAGGAAUUUGCAAGAUAGUUUGUACCUCUUCCCCUGUAAACAAAGAGGUAACAAGAUCCUCCUUCCUUUGUCUCAGAUUAGAUUCACUCAGCUCUUCCACCUUAAUUAUAUUGUGAUCUCAAACUAACUCCUGGAUUUUUUUAUCCUUCAACCCAAGGAUCCGAGCAUCCUGCCACUCUCCAAGCCAUUCCAUCCUAUAGUAGUUGCUUCAUCGCCCAUACGCUCCUCCAAGUAUAAAAAGGAUAAUUACCUAACUUUGGUUGCAUGAACUCGACAUUGGGGAAUAUUUAGCUUUUAAAGUUCUAGCUAAUAACGAAUCAUGAUAAUUCAUUAAACUCCAACCCUGAUUUGCAAAGGCUAAAUUCAUCUUGGAUAAAUUUUUAAACCUUAUUCCCCCAUCUUCAUUUAGUUCACACAAUUUAUUCCAAUUGCAUCAAUGAAUCCCCCUCUUUCCUUUUUGUUUCUGCCACCAAAAUCGAUUUAUAGCCUGUUCCAUGUCAUGACAUAAAGAAUUCAGUGGUAAAAAACAAAACGUAGCAUAAGUCGGAAUUGAUUGCAGUACACUCUUAAUAAGAAAACUUCCUUCCCUCCCUAGGGAAGUAUUUUAACACACCAAUUAUUUGUUCGUUUUGCAAUCCUAUCUUUCAAGCCCUGAAAGGUCCUUCAUUUUUACCUCCCCACAACAUUCAAGAGCCCCAAAGACUUCUCUGGAUCCAUCAAACAACGCACCCUUAAUAAUUGAGCUACUGAGUCCUUUGCAUAUGUAGAAUUAUUUGAACUAAAAAAUAGUGUUGAUUUCUCUAAGUUGAUACUUUGCCCUGAAUAUUCUUCAUACUUCUGCAAAAUCCUUCUAAUCUCAUUUGCUCGCUUUUCUGUAUCUUCACCAAACAAGAUAUAGUCAUUCGCAAAAAGCAAAUGAGUAAUCUCAAGACCCUUUCUACAUACCUUGACACCUUUUGUUCUCCCCUCCCCUUUCACCAUCCUCAUCAAUGUCAAUAACCCCUCUCCACAAAUCAAGAAUAGAUAAGGACUUAGCGGAUCCUCUUGUCUAAGGUUAUAAUCUCCCUAACUUGGACUAGACGUUAUGACCAUAUUAAAAAGGCUACAUUAGACUCCAAAAUGACUAAACAGACUAUUUGACCUUUGAAAAUCCUUAACACACAACUAAUUUUAAAGAAAAUUGGUAUUGGUGAUCCAAGUUAGAUAAAACAUUUGUUUAUUGGGUUUUCUUACAAAAAAAAAAACCCCUAAUUUUUUUUCUAACUUUAGAAAAGUCAUCACCCUUGAAAUUAAUUAACAUUAAAACAUUCAUUCAAUUAGGCCAUCUUUACUUAGAUUCUAUUUUAUUAUUGUUGUCAUGUUUUAGAAAACUAAUUGUUUUGAUAUUUUGUUUCACAAAAAUCAAAUCUUUAAAAUGUAGUGGAAAACUAUUAUUCAUAUCAUUUUGGAAAUCCAACUGCCUUAUUGAUUUGUUUUUCAAAGCAGUUAAUUUGUAACACAAUGAAAAAUUGGUGAUCAAUGUCAAUUUUACUUAAGCCAUAUAUCAUGCAAUUAUUAGUUAUUAAACUUCAGUAAUAUAUGCAUGCACAAAAUCCCCCUCCCCCAAAAAAUAAUCAAGCCAUAGACUAGAGGAGUUCAUGGGCCGGGCCGGGCUCAAAAAAAUUUUGGCCUGCCCUAAAAUAUGCGCUUAAAAUUUUAUCCAGGUCCAACCUGAGAAAAAAUUUUUAAGCUCGGCCCGACUCAUUUUUUAAUAAACACCAAAAAAUUAUUUAAAAAAUAAAAAGUAUUUUAAAAUUUUUAAAAAUAUAUAUAUAUUUACUAUAUUCGGGCCAGGCCGGGCCCGAGCUUGGGCCAAAAAAGUGGUACCCAAGGCCCAAUCUAUUUUCUAAACCAGCCUUCUUUUUUGUCUAAACUCAUAUUUUAGAUCUAUAUAUUUACUUGAAUUCUCUCAUAUUUCGGGCGGACCGUCCUGACAGGAGCACCUCUAGCUUUUAAGGACUUGAUUUUCAAUUUUUAACUUUUCCUUUGUUUUUCUUUCGUUCUGUUUAUAUGUCAGGUCUCCAAGAUGCCCUCCUUAUUUGGCUCUAACCCUUCAUCCUCCGAUCCUGCAAACGACACCGUGCCUUCCCCUUCCUCUUCUUGUUCCUCCUCCUCCUCUCCGGACAUGUGGAAUUACUUUUUUAUCCCUAUCCUCCUCCACCUCACCAAAAAACUCUCCCUUGCUAAAGCUCAAACCUCAACUGGACUCCUCCUCCCGAGUCAACGCGGCGACGGCUCGGCCGAUGAUUCACUAAUUUCCUUUUCGAGGUGCGCGAAUGCUGACCCGAAGCUAUAUUAUCGGCCUGUGAUUGGGAUACUGAGUCAUCCAGUAGGCGGCGCGUCGGGGGGCCGUUCCUACAUAGUUGCGUCGUACGUGAAGUUCGUGGAAGCGGCCGGGGGUCGAGUCAUUCCUCUUAUUUAUAAUGAGCCGGAAGAGAUUCUUUUCCAGGUAAUAAUCAUGAUGUUCAUUUCCUUGUAAAAAUGCUGAAUUUUGACUUUGAAUAUUUGCGUGUGUGUGUGUUUUUUAAAAUUCGGUUAAAAAAAUGGACAGUCGUGAAUCUAUUUUUGGAAAGAAAAAUUCCUGAUUUAGAAUCUUAAAUAACUUUGAUACUGUGAAAUUUGAUACUGUGAAUUUUUAAUAUUUUGUUUCAUAAUAAGUUUUUCCUCUUAAUUAAAUGUAAGAAUAUAAAAAUGCUUGCUAUUCCCGCAUUUCAAAAAAUUCUCUCGUUUUUGUUAAAUCAUAAAAUUAGGAUACUACCAGUUGUUGCAAUCUCCUUACUGUCUAUGCAAAGGAUAGAAUUUUAGCUUAGUUGCAUUUUUGUGGAUAUUCUUUAGUACCUUAAUAUUUGAAAUGAUAUUUUGAUUGCAUAUGCAUAUGCAUAUGCCUUUCAUUCCCUUGCUUUUGAUUUGCUACGAUUAGACAGUGGUAUGAUGCUAUGAUACCCGCUUUAGCAUAGUUGUUGCCUUCCUUUGCCAAAAGCCUGUCACCUUGCUAAGUGUCUUCUCCACCUUCGUAUUGCAGCAAGCUUGAAUUGGUUAAUGGCGUGCUUUUACCAGGAGGGCGGUCUAAAUCCGGCUUGUACUAUGAUAUUGCUGAAAAGAUUUUCAAGGUAAUUUAUAUUUAUAUUUGUUUGUUUCUUGAUUUUAUGAAAUUCACAUGAAACUAACAAAAAAAUAUAGGCAAGAGAUUGGUGUUAGCAUGCAAGUCUUUUGUUUCUUCAACUUAUGCUUCAAAUGUUUUUAUAUUUCCAAUUUUCCAUGGGUUGCAUAGAAAACUUUUAUUCUUUGUGUUUUUGCAGAAAGUUAUAGAGAAGAACGAUAGGGGAGAUCAUUUCCCGUUAUAUGCCAUUUGUUUGGGUUUUGAACUUUUAACAAUGAUUAUCAGCGAAGUAAGCACCUCACAUUAUCUGACAUUUUUUUCUGUUUCCUUUUUAAAAAAAAAAAAGAAAAAAGAAAAACAAUUUAAUUUUCUUCAGGCUUUUAUCUGUUUAUAUGGCUUUUUUAUAUGGCUUUUCUUGAUGUAGUUAACUUUUGUUCACUAUUGUGGACUUUCUCUACUAAUAUUCAUUCAUGCGUCAUGGCAGAAUGACCAAAUGAGACGUUUUUAAAUUUCUUGAUUUAAGGAACUCUAUAAUUUCCAUUUGUGAGAGAUUACUGUUGGCCUAACAUGGCUAAAUAAUGGCAAUUCCUGCAUGUUCACCGUAUUGUGGAAACUGCAGUAUUUGAUCCGUUAGGAUGGCAUGGUUACCUUGUUUGUGGCAUCCAAACCAAUGGUUGACCUUGCUGGAAAACAUUUUCUAAUGGAUUUGAAAUCUCAAAAUCUUAUCUACUGAUUCUUUAGAAAUCACUUCAUUUCAAGUUAGCUUAAAUCUACCCAUGUCUACUGUAUCCAAUAACUUAUUUUACUUAAGGAUUUUCUUUGUUGAAUUAUAAAAAAUUUAACAAAAUCUUAUUUUAAUGAAUACAUACUUUUUUUCUUCUUGCUGAUAGGACAAAAAAAUUCUUGAACGAUUUUCUGCAUUAAAUCGGGCCUCUAGUCUCCAAUUUGUGGAAAAUGUUAAUAUUGAAGGAACAGUAUUUCAAAGGUGCAAAACCUUUAUUACCUUUCAUGGUACAUUAGUAUUGUUUGAUUUUGGUGCCAUUUUUCUAUUGAUGCUUUUGCUCAGAUUUUACAUUAUUAUCCUUGGAGGAUUAAGUAUUUUAUAUUUCAAAUAUGUUUUGCUGGUCAGGCAUUAGAUGAUUUAUAGGAAAGUUCACAACAGUUAACGUGUUGAAGUAACGAAAGCCUCUCUGUAUGCGCUGCUAAUAAGGGAAAGAGUCUUGUAAUACAUAUGCAGUUUAUGUUCUGUCAGACUGAUCUCUCCAUUUCACUAUUUGAAUAAGAACUUUGUUGCAUGAGGAUAGAGAAAAGGAAGUCAACUAGUUGCUUGAGAUUUCCUGAAGUUGUUCUUCAGGUUAAAUGAUGACCAUAGCAUAAUAUUUGGUGUGAAACUUUGGUACUAUGGGCUUACCACUUUUCUUGUUAGCUUUUGCUUGCACCAUAGGCACAUGGCAAUGAAUUGGUAUGGUAACCAGACUUCACAUGAAGCUUUUAGUGUAGACCAUAAACAAGUUUAACACUUAAAUAGGAAGAGAAUAGAUGUGUGCUUGUUUAGCUUCCUGAUUAGUGUCAUUGAAUUUGUUCUUAGUUGAUUGAGGAGAGUGUAAUAAACCCUUCUCUGAACUUCAGAGUUACACCUUUGAUAAAUAGCAAUAGCUGAGCACAGCAAUAAACAUUAAUUGCCUGUUUGCUUUAUCAUCAAAAGGCUUUAUGAAUGUUGUAGGUAUAUCCAUUUAUAAUAUCUAACCUUUCAAUCAGUAGUAAAAAUGAGGUGAUUUUAAGCUGAUAAUUUGUAGUUUGGUCCAAGUUAGUAGCAGAACAAUAUUGUCAUAAACUUUCUACUUAGCCCAACCUGGUUGACAUCUUUUAUUCGAGAGCUUUUCUUAUAGUCAGUGUAAUUAUAUGUUCAUUGCUCCAGUCAGUGCCACACUUCUACAGCUUGAUAGUUAUUCCCUUUUGCCAGAUUUCCUCCAAAUUUGCUGCAAAAGCUUGGCACAGAUCUCCUAGUCAUGCAAAACCAUUGUGUGAGUUUCAUGGCUCCUUUCAUUUAUAUUUUAAAUUAGUUGCACGUGUAAGUGUUUGUCUUUUGCUUCUCUAGUAUGUCCGCUUUGGAUCAUUCCUAAAACCUUGAACUGAUAAUGAAGGAUCUAAAUUCUGAUUUAUUCAAUGUUUUCAUUUUUUUUAUCAAUUUUUGUUGCCACUGGUUGCCUGUUUCCUCUAUUUGGCACUUUUAACAGCUUCCUACUUGUUAGCUUGUGCAGAUUAUUAUUUGAGAGAUGAAAUGUAUUUUAAUGCACAGUAAAUUGUUCCUGCGUUCUGUUCUCCUAAUAUGUAAUUUGAUUUCCUUGAACCUCAUUCUUGGUCUCUAAAAGCCUAACUUAGAAGAAAACUCAACAGGCAAGAUGUCGUGCUAAGAGUAGAGACCUGUCAAAGAAGAAAAAUGCUAAUAUUUCUUCAGAGUUAAGGAUAAUAUAUCCCUAUUCAAAAGUUAUCUUUCUUUCAUGUGCGUAUUAAGAGAAUCCUUGCCGCCCUCCUUUGUGGCACAUUGUCUGUGUUAUGUUUCUAUGUACAAGCUAAUUAGCAUUGCCUAAAAUCAAUGUCUAAUUGUAACAGUGGGGCAUUUCACCAGAGAAGCUUCAAAAUACUCCAAAUCUGUCCAGAUUCUUCAAGAUCUUAACAACAAGCACAGAUAAAAAUAACAAGGUUCUGAAUCUUACCAUCCCUAUGCCAUAGGAAGUGUCUUAACUUGAUUUAUCUCAUUACAUUUUAUGGCUGCUGUAAAUGUCCUUAUUUCUAUUUAAGUGUUAAUAACAGGUAUAUGUCUCCACUGCACAAGCACAUCGCUAUCCUGUCACUGCCUUCCAGUGGCAUCCAGAGGUACCUCUUUUAGUGCUUUCUGAUCAUCGUCAUGUUUAUGCCUCAGUACAGUUUGGCAUGGCAAUUUUAAUUUUUCUUGUUAAAUAAUAAUCAUAUCAAUGACCACUACAAGGAAUUGGUGUCCUUUUUUUCCCUAUUAACUUCUUUGUGUAUCUCUGCUUCUGUUUCUCUUACUCCUUUUAAUUUUGUUUGCAAAACUGUAGUGUUAUUCUAUGAUCCACUAAUACACUCCAUUUCAUUAUGAAUAGUCUGACCAUAUAUUUUGCAGAAAAAUGCUUUUGAAUCGGGCUUGUCUAUGAUUCCACACUCAGACGACGCCAUUGAAGUGACACAACAUGUUGCAAACUUUUUCAUCAGGUUAGGAAUGUUAAGUAAGGAAGUUAUUAAUAGUUCUCUAUAUUCUUACAAUUUAGUCAACAACAAACUGAGCGAAUGUUAUAUUCGAGUGAGACACAAUCUUGCUCUUCAGCAUAUUAUUUGGGUUUUGGGCAGCUGUUCCUAUGUGGAUAUGCUUUGCUUCGUCCUAGAGCAUAUGUAAGGAAGAAAUGUUUAAAGGAACUUAGAUAAAUUUUAGGAUAUAAACAAUAUAAGAAUAUAAAUAGUUUAGCAUGAAAGGAGAAGGAAAGGAAAUAGGCAAAAUUCAUUUUCAGCAUGCUAUACUACAAGUAGUUUUUCUGGCUGAGAAUGAAAUGCCCGUGGUUUUAUGAAUAUAAGAAAGAGGAAAGGAAAGAAAAUGCGUAUUUCUAAUUAUGUGACAGACUAGAGGUGAGGUAUUUGUGUUCGCGGCAUAAGAAUUUGAGUUCAAACCCUAACAUUGUUUCGCCCUACCAAAUUAUAAAAAAUAAAUACCAUCUCUUUCCUUCGUCUGUUUGGAAGAUGAGGUAAUUUAACUUUUCUUUUUUCUGGUACAGAGAGGCUAGGAGAUCACUGAAUAGGCCAGCUGCUCAAAAAGUGCGUGACAGCCUUAUUUAUAAUUACAGGCCCAAGUAUUAUGGGAAAGCUGGGUAAGCUGAUAUCAAUCCUUUUGAGUUUUGACACUAUUAGGACACCAUCCUCUUGAAUGUAAGCUGAUUGACAUGGUUGUGAAUUUGAAUGCUGUAGGAAGGGUUUCGAUCAGGUCUACAUCUUUACACAACGUCAAGCUCGAAAUUGAUAGAGUUGCUGCCGUGUACAUAGUUAAAGAUGUAUGUGGUUGGAUGUAUGUAUAUUGUUGACGCUGUAUUUGCAUUGUGAUUUGAAUCUGAUUGCUCUCUUCAUUUAUAUAAGCUACGGACUGGAUGCUUGCCAAUGAGGUGUAUGAGUAGUUAUUGUUGAUGAACAAAGUUUGCAAUGCUUAUUCUUAUUAGCUCAAAUUCUAAAAAUGAUAAUGAUUAAAUUAUAAUCUGUUACUUGUGUUAUAAAUAAGCUUGAAUACUUUACCAUAGAAAUAGGGUUUAAGCUUAAAAAUACAUUCUUUUUGUGUGAGAUAAAUAUAAAAAGAACUGGAUUUGUAUUUGAUGCGGUUUAUGACAUGCUAUUGAAAAUAAGUGUGAAUUACAUAAAUGUCAAUUGACUAUUAUAAUUUUUGUUAGAUUAUUCCAAUUUAAAAAGUUUCAAAAUAAUUAAAUUUCAUUUAAUUUAUUAAAUUUAUUAUAUCCAAAACUGUUAUAAAUUAGUAACAGUCGAAUGGUGUGUUGUUAACUUAAUGAUAUGUUUUUUUAACCCAUUAACUUUUUUUCACAUUAUUUCCAUGUCAUAUUAUAAUUUAAAAAAAAAACUAAUUUAAACUCCAAAAUUCCAAUAUGACAUGGAAAUGUGGAAUAAAAUUAAUGAUUAAAAAGACAUAUCGUUAACAGCCACGUCAGCAGAUUAUUAGUAAUUUAGCAGUUUUGAACUUAAAAAAAAAUGAUUUUGAUAGUCUGAUAAUCAUUUUAUAAUUUUUAAAAAUCAAAUAAUUUAAAUAAAAAAUAUAUAUAUAUAAUAAUCGGAUAGCCAUUUAUUAUGUAGUUUGCCAAAGUAUUUUAUCAAUUGGAAGAUGAAGCAGUAAACCAAUAAAUAUGUUGAAUAGUCUCCAAUUGAACCAUUUAAGAUAUAAAUCCCAAUAAGCUCAAUUAAUGGCUCUAAUCAACUUUACAAGAAAUAGUUCUUGACAAUUUGAAGGGUGAAUAAUGAAUUUCCAGAACUCUUUGAAGAAAAUCGAGAAGAAAAUUACUUUUAAGAAUCAGAAGAAAAAAAUCUUACACAAAAAAACUAACUCUAAACACCUAAAGUACAUCUAAAUAAAACUCUAAUUAAUCUAAAUAGGGGUGAAGCCAUAAAUUUUUUAGGGAGCCAAAAUUAAAUUGUAAUUUCUACAAUAGUAAAAAUGUAAUUUCACCAUUUUAAUAACUUAUAUCUUUAUAAUUUUUAAAGGGUUAAAUCAAAUUUUUAUUAUUUUUAGGGGUCAUAAAGUGUAAUUUUACAUUUAUUAAUUUAAAUUUUUUAAAAUUUUAAAGGGUCUAAAUGAAUUUUUUUUCAUUUUAAGGGAGUCAAUGCCUUGUCAUCCCCUAGCUAGCGUUUGAAUCUAAAUAAAAAAUAGUUUUAAACUAAAUUUUCUUAUUUAACUCAAAAUACUUGGCCUGCAAUAAUUUUUCUUGACAAAAAGAUCCUCCAAAUAUUAUUUAUAAAUUUGUAUUUGAUACGUUGAUAGUGUUUUUUUUAUUCUAUAAAUAGUUUUAAAAUUUUAUCAUAUAUCUAUUUUUUUAAAAAUUUAUUUAGUUUUAAUAUUUUAUUGUACACCUAUGAUAACACUUGUCAACCCUUAAUCCUAUUUAUAAAAUCUAAAAAUUUAGUAACAAUUAACCAAAUAUUUCUAAUUAUUUAUUAAACUUAAUUAAAUAAUAGGUUAUCUAGUAUUUUUGAGUUAGCUAUCUAUUUUCUUAACCAAAUAUUUAAAUUACCAUUAUGGACCUAUGUAGUUUUUUUUUUAUAUAGGUAGACAACACCAUAAAGUAAUUACAUUCUUAAAGUACUAUUAACAUAGAGAAAUGAUAUUACGCUCAACUAUCAGUAUAUUUCUCACUGGAAUCUCUCAAAAUAAUUGUACAUUACCUAAUCCAUGUGAAGCUAUCUUGGUUAUAUGAUCAGCAAUUUUAUUUUUAGAAUCUCUCAAUUUGCUAUUAGCCAUUCCACCAAUUAAAAUUAAUUCUACUAGAAGCGCAUUGUCGCAUUUAGUAUUUUUAAUUAUAAAAAAUAAAUUUAAUGUUAAAUAAAAUUACUAUUUAAUAUUAUAUUUCCUCUCUCCUCAUAUACAUGUUCUUCCUUUCCGAUUCCGUCAUUUUCAUCCCUUUUCUCAUUCAUCUUCAUUCAUGCAGGUUGAAAGGUUUUUUCUUUUUCUCGUUAAGCCAAUGACAUGAAAUUUGGGUUUUUAUAUUGAUGGAGGAGAACCGUUUCUGGGUUGAAAACUAUAAAUUUUGGACUUCUAAACUUGAAAAACCUAUGGCUACGCUUUGAUAGCACCAUUUGUGGAUGAGGUGUUGAAGCAAAAAUCCUUUAUUAAAAAAAGUUUGGGACUUUGAUUUUUUUUUCAAAAGAGUUCUUUUUAUUUUCUUUAAUUGUAAAAAAACAAAGAAACUGUGUUGGGGCAAGAAAAAGAAAAGCUGGAGAAGAUUGAAAGGGUCUUUGUUUAUAUGCAGAAUAUUCAAAGAAAUAAUUUGAAUCAUUUCCCAUCCAAUUUUAUAAAAAUAAUUAUUUUAACCUUCUAUUUAUUAUUUUAAUCACUUUUUAAUUUUUAAAUUUAUAAUAUUUAUCAAAUUAUUCUAAAAUAAAUAAAAAAUUUAACAUCGGUUACUUUUGCUAAAAUGGUAUACGCGCCACUUAAAUAUCACAUCAUCAAUUAAUUUUUUUUAAAAAUUUAAAUUUCAAAAUUUAUUAAAAGUGUUUUAAAAUAUUAAAAAUAAAAAAAUAUUUUUUAAUAUUAAAAAAUUAAUUAAUUACUAAUGUGACAAUUAUAAAUGCACACGUUGAUUACCACAUUAACAAUGUUACAAAAGCUCAAUGGAGGGCUAAAAUGCAAGUCUAGUGUUACUAAUCUCACAUUGCUAAUAUAUAUAAAGUACAAAGAAUUUGAAUAGACAAUUCAUUAUAACUUGAGUAAUUGAGUUGGGUGCAAUUAGAUAGUUAACUUAUUGAAUUUUACGUAUAUUUGUUAUAAUGACAACUGGGCUUAAAUUUGGUGGUGUAAAUAAUUUUUAUAUAUAAUUAUUAUUUUUAUUUUUUAAAAUAAUAAAUUUUUAUUCGCAUUUGAACGAAUUUAUUCAAAUAAUCUAUGUUAAAAUUUACAGUAUCAAAUUUUACCUAACAAAAGGAAAAGAUUAUUUAUGACCAUAUAAGUUAUUUAAGAUUCUAAAUCAGGAAUUUUUCUUUCCAAAAAUAGAUUCACGACUGUCUAUUUUUUUUAACCGAAUUUUAAAACACACACACACCCAAGUAUUUUUAAUUAAAUAUAUAUAUAUUUAAUAUUAUAUUUCCUCUCUCCUCAUAUUCAUAUUCUUCCUUUCCUAUUCCUUCAUUUUCAUCCCUUUUCUCAUUCAUCUUCAUUCAUGCAGGUUGAAGGUCUUCUUUUUCUCAUUAAGCAAAUGACAUGAAAUUUGGGUUUUUGUUUUGAUGGAGGAGAACCGUUUCUGGGUUGAAAACUGUGAAUUUUUGGACUUCUAAACUUGAAAAACCUAUGGCUACGCUUUGACAGCACCAUUUGCGGAGGAGGUGUUGAAGCAAAAAUCUUUUAUAAAAAAAUGAUAGGGACUUUGAUAUUUUUCAAAAGAGUUAUUUUUUAAAAUUAUAAAAAAACAAAGAAAACUGUGUUGGGGCAAGAAAAAGAACAAGAGACCUGAAGCUGGAGAAGAUUGAAAGGUUCUUUGCUUAUUAUAUGCACAUUAAUGUUAAAAAAAAAGGUUUCAUAAAAUUAGUACAAAUGAUCAUCAAAUUUCAGCUCAACUUCGUUUCAUACAUGCUCGAUUUUUGUUUGAAGAAAAUGCUCAUUAAGUAAUGAUUAAUAUAGAUACCCAUUAACUUUAUUAUAACUAAUUCUUCUUUUAAAAAAGUAUUCACAAAAUGCGGAAAUAACUAGUAAUAAACCUUAGGUGUAUAAAUAUUUAUCAAAGACAUUGCUAGAAAGCAAACCUCAUGUUUAUUUUAGUCAAUUCAACAACUGCCUCUUCAUCGAACUCGUUCCAUAUCCCUUAAUAACGUCACUUUGAUCUUCUUUAACUUUGUAACAAUCUCUUUCAUAUGAAGCCUCUCAUUUGGUAACUCUACACAACAUUCUAAGCCAACUUGCAAAAUGGAUAAGGCACAAUUCUUGACUUUUAAAUCUUCCCUUCCAAUGGUGCUCAACAACUUGGGAUCUACAACUUGAUUUCGCGAAGAUGAUAUCGACUCUAUCACCCAACUCUUCAAGCUUCUUUCUCCUGCAAACAUUUCAUCUGUGGGCUUUUUUCUUGUGAUGAUUUCCAUCAAAAGAAUACCAAAACUAUACACAUCACCUUUUGUCGAAACAAUUCCUUCCAUUCCAUAUUCUGUAUGAAUAUAAAACAACAUUAUGAAUAUUCAAAGAUAUCUUGAUAAUGAAAAUUUCCUAUAAAAUAUCUCAAACAUUAUAUGCUUGCCUGUUAUAAUUGAACUAGGAUUUACUCUAGUUGCUUCCUUAAAAAGUCACAUUCAAUGUGUUUGAAACUCAAAUGUUAACAGAUAUAUAUGAUCCCUUUUGUUAUGCACAUUCUACACUUCCAUUGAAAAUGGAAAAAUAAAUAUGGAGUUUGAUUAGAAGUAUCACCUGGUGCCAUAUAUCCAAAUGUUGCCAUUGUCAUGGUUUGUAUCAUUGAAACCUCUUCACAUAAGAGUUUCGCGAUGCCAAAAUCACUCAAAUGCGCAACCAUAUCUUCAUCUAAUAGAACAUUGUUGGGUUUUAAAUCACAGUGAAUCACGGGUGUUGCAUUGCCGUGAUGGAGAUAUUCCAAUGCAGAUGCAACAUCUAUCAUUAUGUUCAACCUUUGUAGGGUAUCCAAAUAUUGGUUGUUGGAAUACAGCCAUUUAUCAAGACUCCCAUUAGGCAUGAACUCAAGCACCAACGCUUUGAAAUUAAGAUCAUUAGAGCAACUGCUUAUUACUUUGACUAAAUUUCUGUGACGAGUGUUGCGGAGAACAUCACAUUCAACAUCAAAGCUCUUAAAAGCUCCUUCUAACUCAAACUUGAAGACCUUUACCGCAAUGAUCGUCCCAUCCGGGAGAGUCCCUUGGAAUACUGCACCAUAACUUCCAUUACCAAGCAACCUACUAUCAUUGAAUCCAUCAGUAGCUUGACGAAGCUCGUGGUAUGAAAAUCGUCUCCACGUUCCUAAAGGUAUCAUGUCUUCUUGAGUUGGCAAUUUGUCUUUCCUCCUCCUAUUUUGCAAGAUAAUGAUAAUCAGAGCCACAACCAAAAUUGUGGAGGCAAUUGGCAGAGCUACAUAUAGUAUGAGCUUAGUUUUUGCCUUGGAAUUUCUAAGAGGUCUAGUUUUGCAGUUUGGAACAUGAAGCCGAGCUGCACCACACAAGGCUUCAUUCCCCUUAAAUGAUUCGAUUGUGUAGUUUUCAAAUGAUCCUCCUUCAGGAAUUUCACCUUCAAGCCUAUUAAAAGAGACAUUGAAAUAUUUGAGAUAACGGAGUUUCUCUAAGGAUUUGGGAAUCUCUCCAAAUAGAUUAUUUCUUGACAAGUCCAAGAAUUCCAAACUCAACGAUUCAUCAAAAGACUCAGGAAUAGAACCCGUGAUUCUAUUAUUGGAUAAGGAAAAAUGAGUGAGGUCCUUGAGAUCUGCAACUCCAGUUGGGAUAUCACCUGAGAACUGAUUGUUCGACAAAUCCAAACUACUCAAAACUUUCCAUUUUCCAAUGUCAAUUGGCAGUGGACCACUCAGAGAAUUUGAAGACAAGUAUAGGAUGAGGAGAUAGUUAAGCCUUGUCAACGUUGACGGUAUUGAAGAGGAAAACAUAUUGGAGUCUAGAAAUAGUUGCCUUAAUGAAGUGAGAUCACCUAAGCAAGUAGGUAUUGGCCCAGACAAUUUGUUAUUGGUUAAGAACAAGAAAGCCAAUUUGUUUAGAUGACAUAACUCAGUUGGGAUGGAUCCCUCUAACUUAUUGUCCUUAAGAGAAAGACUUUGCAACUCUUCCAAUCCUCCAACUGUAGUAGGAAUCUGUCCUAUCAAUUUAUUGCCUCCUAGCUCAAGGCUUAUCAAGUGACUUAAGUUUCCAAUUUCACUGGGGAUGCUACCCCUGAUGUUGCAUGCAGAAGCAGAGAACUCUUCAAGAGAACUUGAGAGAUUUCCUACCACUCUUGGAAGUUCACCACUAAUAAAUGAGUUGAUCUCGAAAAAAAGGCUCUCCAAGACUCUACAGUUUGUCAAAGAAAAGAGAAAGCUCAUUCCUGAGGAAGUUAAAUUAUUAUUCGCCAGGUUGAGAAUCUUUAAAUUUCUUAGAUUUCCCAGAUUAUCAGGAAUGGACCCUGAAAAGUAAUUACUAGACAUGUCAAGAAGAGUAAGCUGAGAGGCAUUGGAAAUAUACAUUGGGAUCGAGCCGGCAAGGUGAUUGAAACCAAGAUAUAGUUCCUCCAUGUUUGGAAGGAAAAGGCCCAUGUUUGAUGGAAGAUGGCCAGAGAGCUGAUUUGUAGCCAAAGAAAUCAUCCUUAGAGUUGAAAUAUUGAACAGUUGUGGAGGAAUAGAACCAGCAAUAUUGUUAAAUUGUAAAUUCAACCAAUUUAGAUUCUUUAGGUUGCCAAUCUCUUGUGGUAUUAUACCUGCCAUAAAUUUUAUCAAACAAAAAUAUUAGACAAAUAUGAGGAAGAAAAUAGUUUAUAUAUAUGAAACAUUUGCUUAUAUUUUUUAUAAUGUGUACAAUUAUAGACAAUUAGAAUCAACAAUAUUUACAAAAAAAAAAUUAAUUCACAAUAAGUUUAAAUUGAAUAUUUUAGGUUUAAAGUUGGAAUAAGUUCAAAAUGAGAAGGGAUUGUAUGAAAUUGUGAUUCCACGUCAUGAUCAGAUUUUUCCUCCUAUUUUUAGCUUUUUCUUCUUGAAAAAAUUAAAAUCUAACUAAAAAAGUUGAAAAUUAGGAGGAAAAAUCUGAUUUAUCAUUCUCCUAUUGGAAAGGAAUAAAAAUGACGUGAAAUUACAGUUUUAUACAAUCACUUCUCGUUCAAGAUAUAGAAAAUAAUGAUGAAAUAAAUGAUAAAGAACAAACAUUCAUAAGUCAAAUAAAAUAAUUAAGAACAUAAAAAUAAAUCAAAUAUGAUUUUUGGUUCCUUGAAGUUUUGUUUGGCCUCAACAGGGAUAAACGUAAAUAAUGGACUUAAAAAAAAAAGAAAUAUACUAAUUGCAAUAACUAUGAAAAAUUUUAUAAUUAUUGUAGAAUAAUCAAAACACAGAAAGCGGUUGAGCAAAAACAAAGUUCAAAUUAAUAAAAAACUAUCGGUAAAAGUUGCAAAUUAAUAAAAAUAAUUUAGCUCUUUCUUAUACAUUCACCUGUAAAAUUGCUAUGGGAACAAUCAAACUCCAUAAGAAGAGUUAAAUUCACAAUUUGUUUAGGAAUUUCACCUGCAAUUAUAAAAUUCACAUUUCAAAUUCAAAAUUCAUCUCCUAGCAACGAUUAUAAGAAUAAAAUUAAGGUAUAAUGACUUGUUUAGCUCUUCAAUUUUAUUAAAAAGAAUCAUUUUAGUCUUUCAUUUAAUUUUUCAUCUCUUUUAGCUCUUAAACUUGCGAUGUUUGUCAAAUCAUCCCAAAAUGAAUUGAAAAUUCCAUGUGCUUGCCACAUCAACAAUUAGUUUUUUAAAUUUUAAAAAAUUCUAUUUUAUUGCUAACGUGUCAGCAAAGUAAACAAACAUUAACUUUUUCAUACAUUUUUUUGGGCUGAUAUAACAAAUAAUACAAGUUCAAGAGCUAAAAGAAAAGGAAAAUUAAAUAAAGAGUUAGAAUGACUUUUUUUUAUAAAGUUGAAGGGCUAAAUAAAUAAUUAUUCCUAAAGUAAAUAAAGCACGUUAGCAAGGUAUUUCACACAUACACACUUCCAAGCCAAGUUGGAACUAAAAGUAUAUUUCUCUCAUCAUUUUCAUGUAGUUUAUUCUUCAAUGUUCUUUUGAAAAAUUUCAACUAUGUAUUCGUUUAAUAAAUAAAUUUAUAUUUUCAAUCUCAAUAGAAGAUUGAUCUAAAUUAUUAUAGUCAUUACCUUAAUUUCAUUAAAAAAAAAUCGUUCCUUGCAUCUCAAAGUACUUAAAAAAAAAGUAAACACUUCAAAAGGUUUUAAAAAUGGUUAGCAUAUGUUACCAUCAAAGUGGUUCCGACCAAUAUAGAUGUAUUGAAGCAUACUCAAAUUCCCAAUUUCUAUUGGUAGGCUCCCCUCCAUUUGGUUAUACGCUAAAGAUAACAUUUGUAACUCUUUGCACUUGAAUAGACUGGCAGGAAUUCUACCAGAAAGCAGGUUACGACUCCAGUACAAUCCUUUCAAAUUUGGAAGAUGAUCAAACAUAUCUUUUGGGAUAUGACCAGUGAGAUUAUUGGAGGAGAAAUGGAUGACUUCUAGCAAAAGCAAAUCACGUGGAACAGAGGGUAUGGAACCAGAAAGCAUAUUGUAGCUUAGAUAUAUUUCUUGCAACGAAGAGAUAUUGAAGAUGGUGGAGGGAAUUGAACCUGAAAUCUGGUUUCCAGACAAAUACAAGACCUCUAGCUUUGACAAAUAGGCUAAAGAGAAUGGAAUAACACCUUUGAAGUUGUUUUGGUCCAAAAACAACCUUCGAAGUUCAGUUAAUGAUCCCAACCAUGAUGGGAUUUCUCCACUGAAGGAGUUGUUACCAAAGCUUACAUAUUUCAGCCGUCGCAAAUUGGAUAACUGGACAGGUAAUCCGCCAUAGAAACUAUUGUUUGUGACAUGAAGAAGAGAAAGGAAUGACAAAUUUCCCAAGUGAGGUGGAAGGGUGCCUACGAGUCCCAACCUAGUAAGGUUUAGAGCUGUGACUCUACGGUGCUUGGAUCCACAACUUACACCAAACCAAUUGCAAACAGGGGCAGAGGCUGACCAGUUAGUCGUCAAGACAUUUUCAGGAUCCUGAAUAACAUGAUCUUUUAGUGCUAGAAGAGCUGACUGAUCUGUAAGUAUGGUUGUUAAUUUCAUAGAGAAAGUAGGCAUAGAGAAAUGGAAGAUGAUAAGAAGAGCUAAGUUGAGGAAAGUAUUCCCCAUUUGAAUUUGGGUGUUUAUGAAGCUACCAACAAAGGCAGAACGGAGAUUGCUAGACAGAUAAUUGAAUGAUCACUAACCGUAUGACCACACAACUUUUACAUAAUACGUGUAUGUAUAUAUAAAGGGAGUUUAUGUUGUAAUUUCUUCAUGCAAGAUUGCAAAUUAAUAUGAUUUACGUAGAAAUUACGGAAUUUAUUAUAAGACGUGAUAAUAUAAUUAUGUAAUUAUUGCUUAAAAUUUUUCUUUCUAAAUUUCAUAUUUCUUAAGAAAUUACAGUAAUAAAUUUUACAUAGAAAUAACAUUAACAUUAUUGUCAGUACAGGAGAAUGUGAAUUUAAAUGCAUUGAAACACAUUUAUCUUCUUAUAUAAGUAUUAGCAAAAAAAAUUAUGGAUAGUUCUAGACAUGUUAUAAAAAGAAUUUGAUAUAACAAGAUUUAGAAAAUAAUUUGCAUUAUUUAUUUUAGGAAAUUAUUGAAUAAAGAGAUCAAGAAUUUUAAAUUUAAAAAAUUUUAAAUUUAAAUCAUAACAGGAGAAGGAGUUUAGUUACUUUACAAUUAUCCAAGAUGGAUUAAAUUUGGUUUUAUAUCUAAGAUAUCAAAACCGUAAUUAGGUUAUGAUAAGCAUUAAACUAAAUUAUUGGAAUAAAAAUAUAGGUGAAAUUAUUAAUAAAAGCUGUUUUUUUUCAAAAUUUACUGAAAUGGGCUGAUUUUUUGAUUAUUUACCGGAAUGGUCUAUUUUCCGGGAAAUCGCGUCCACGUCAGAGCGAUGUCAGGGUACGUGUCAGGACAUUGCGUCCACGUCAGCGCGACCUGCUUACGUGGAAGGAAAUCGUGUCCUUGAGGGAGCGAUUUCCUUCCACGUCAGCAGGUCACGCUAACGUGGACGCGAUGUCGGCCGCGUGUGAACAGUACCCCAACGGUCAAAAAUUUGACCGUUGCCCCCCCCAACGGUAAAAAAAAACUAUAAAUACCCCCACCCCUUUUUUUUUUCACAAACAAAUCCUAUCUUCAAUUUCCUUCCAAAAUUCUCUCAAUUUCCUUCCAAAAUUCUCUCAAACCCAUAUUUAAUUUCAAUUUCCUCUCAAUUUCCUUCCAAAAUUCUCUCAAAUCCAUAUUUAAUUUCAAUUACCCCUCAAUUUUAUUUUUUAAAAUAAUUUUUAUAUUUUUAUAUUUUUUAAAAAUAAUUUUAAAUUUUUUUAUAAUUUCAUCAAUGGCCGGAUCAUUGAUUCGUCUUGAUAGGAUUCACAUAUCGGUGGAGCAAAUGAAAAUGGUAAGUAUUAAAUUUAAUUUUUAAAUAUUAUUUAAGAUUUUUUUAUUUAUGUAUUUUUAGAUAAUUAUUAAUUUAUUAUUUGUUAUCAAAGUCUGCAGAUCAGAUAUUGGAAUGCAAUAUCCGGAAUAUGCAUGCUCCUCCAUCACCGUUAGUAGAGAACUACCUGUGGGAAGCGGGUUUUUGGCACGUGGCGACGGUAGUCCGGGGAUGCAAGUUGGACCCGAAACUGAUUAGUGCGUUGAUCGAGAGGUGGAGACCCGAGACGCACACAUUCCAUCUUCCAUGUGGAGAGUGCACUAUCACUCUAGAAGAUGUCAGUCUGCAGUUGGGAUUCCUGGUGGACGGGCACCCAGUCACCGGGUCUGCCCAAUCUAGUAAUUGGGAGGCAGUGUGCUACGAGCUUUUGGGCGCUAUUCCGGAUAAAAUGGAUGGAGGUAAGGUCGAGAUGGGCUGGUUACGUGCCACCUUCCCCGAUCCGAAUGCAAAUUCAACUGAAAUUGAAAGAAUCUGAUAUGCUCGAUCAUACAUUUUUCAAAUAAUUGGAGGUUAUCUGAUGCCCGACACAUCACAGAGCCGUGUACAUCUAAGGUGGCUGCUAAAACUCGUUGAUUUUAGAGGAGCUGGUGAAUUUAGUUGGGGGUCUGCCGUCUUGACAACAUUAUAUCGGGAGAUGUGCGAGGUGACGCGACCGAGGAGAGCAAACAUCGGAGGUUGCCUGUCACUACUGCAAUCAUGGGCACGGUUUCGCUUUCCAUUUCUACAUCCUCGAGUGAACCACCCAUAUACAUUCCCACUCGUAACGAGGUAAAUUUUAUAUUACAUUUUGGAAUUAUUAUGUAUAUUUUGUAAGAAUAAAACUAUGCUAAAUAUUUAUUUAAUUAGGUGGAACCAUCAGGCAAGUUAUCGAGGAUUACCGUCUGAACUUGAAGAUAUACGGCUUCUAUUGGAGCAACGGUCGGAAGCAGAAGUAAGUAUUAUUGCAAAUAGAUAUUUCCAUACAUUCGCUAGUCGAUUGAUAUUUAGUAUUUAGUAUUUAGUAUUAUGUAUAUAACUAAUAUUUCUAUCAUGUUCAUAUAGUUUCAAUGGACACCAUACGAGGAUCCGGCAAUUCGAGUAGUAAUCCAGGAAGAGUUUUUACAAAAUCCGAACGCUUGGCACGCGAAAGUGGUGUUGAUCAACUAUGCAACCGUGGAGCCCCACCAGACAGAUAGAGUGCUACGACAGUUUGGAUGUAGACAACCGAUUCCUGCGGACCUUGAGGUGUUUGACGAUCACCACAAAAUCGACCUUCGGCUAUUAGGUAUGGAUUGGCCUAGAUACUGGUCCGAGUACACACAAAUGUGGGAAAAUCGGCUUGAAUAUCUACCUACUCGGGAAGAAAUCAUCGUUCCGGAGUUAGCGUGCGUUCCAGAAUACAUGCCAUAGUUUAGGAUCCAUGGCAAGCCGUAUUUACUUAAGCCAGAGGAUAGGCAGCGGCAAAUACGUGUCGGCAAGGAAAGGCGUGGGCCUCUAAAUCCAAGACAAGAAUACUACGAAGGCAGCCCCUCAACAAGGCCCAGACAGUCACCGGCUCAUCAUCAGCGGCCAUGCAAUCACCUUCCCCAAUGAGAGCAUCGACGCAGUCACCUGGCGCAACAAUUCAACAGAUGAUACCCACGCAACCGCCUUUCCCUAUGAUGCCAGGUGUGUUUCCUAGCCCUUAUAUGUACCCUAACCCUUACAUGUAUCCUUUUCCGAAUCCUAUGGCAGGUUGGAGCCAAAUGCCCGGUUCAGCUCCAUUUCCUGUUAUGCCGAGCGGACCGCCGAUAUCUAGGCCAGCGGCGCAGGAGGGAUCGCAAGGGGGGCCGUCGGGAAGCUCUCCUUUUUACCAAUCGCCACCAACGUAUGGCUUUCAAACACCGUCGUCGUUCAUGAUGCAAACACCUCCACAUACACUAUUCUUUGAAGGUGGAUCAUCGUCCCAAGUCCGACAACCAGAUGCCAAACCGGAAGAACCACAAUCACCACCGGAGGAAGAACAACCGCCGCCGGAAGCUAGAGGAAGGAGGAAUCUAGCGCGUAACCGUCGACGACCGCCAUGUGCAACUGAAUCCCCCGGGCAUAGACAUUGAUUGCCGUAUUUAAAUUUAUUAUUUGAUGUAAUAAAAUAGAAGUUUAUUUGAUGUAAUACGCAUAGAAAUUUUUUCGAGUUAUUUUGAUAUUAUUUGAUGUAAUAAAAUAGAAGUUUAUUUGAUAUAAUAGGCAUAGAAAUUUUUUCGAGUUAUUUUGAUAUUAUUUGAUAUAAUAAAAUAGAAGUUCUAUUUGAUGUAAUAAAAACCAUAAUUUAAUUAAAAACCCUAACCAUAACCUAACUUAAUUAAAAACCCUAACCCUAACCUAACUUAAUUAAAACCCUAACCCUAACCUAACUUAAUUAAAAACCCUAACCCUAACCAAACUUAAUUAAAAACCCUAACCCUAACCUAACUUAAUUAAAAACCCUAGCCCUAACCUAAUUUUACAUAAUUUGAUAAUUUUACUAACCAUUAACACAAUUUUUGGACUUAAUAAUUUUACAUAAUUUGAUAAUUUUACUAACCAUUAACACAAUUUUUGGACUUAAUAAUUUUACAUAAUUUGAUAAUUUUACUAACCAUUAACAAAAAAAUUUUUGGCUUAAUAAUUUUACAUAAAUUUACAUAAUGUUAGAUUUGGUAAAAUAUUUUGACUGGUACUAACAAUUAAGAAAUUAAACUAAUUUGAUAAUUUUACUAACAAUUAAUACAAUUAUCAAUUAAUAAUUGAAUAAAAUAUAUUUUUUUCUAAAAUUACAUUCAACUAUUGCGAUUAGGGCAUGAUCGACUUGUAUGGCCUGGGUUCCUACACCAUCUGCACAACUUCUGUUGACUGGCUGUUUCUCGGAUAUCCAUAUUGUUCCGUAUUCUAGUGGAGCACGGUCGACCCUUUAGUUUGCGACGCAAUUCUCUAUCCGGUAACAGCUUAAAAGGAGCAAGAGAUACGGGCGGCCACUUACGUUCAUCUGGGACCGGUGGGAAAACGUGUCUCCAUACGUUGUACAUGUUUUCUAAUUUGUACACUUCGUCCACAUAACUCAUCGGAUCCAGACGGAGUUUCUGACAAGCUGCAAUAACAUGAGCGCAUGGAUAGCGAAGUGCAUCAAACUUCCCACAGUCACAAGUCCUGUUUUGCAAGUGUACACUAUAUUGUCCGCCAACAACACCUUGGUGCGGUCUGUCAAACUCUGUCACACGAAACCAUAAAUUGUCUCGAUCGUGACACACUGUGUGCAUGAUGUUUGCCCUCGCCUUCGCCUUGUUAAUUUCUUGAACUACCUUACUGCACCAUACAUGGCCACCCUGCAUCUGGCCUGCAUAAGUUGCUGCUCGCUUUGGAAAUAGCGCCGCCAAACGGAAAUAUGUCUCUCGCACAACUGAUGUUAUCAGUAGAUGGCACGUUCCUUUAAUAACAGAAUUUAUGCAUUCUGCCAGGUUUGACGUCAUAUGGCCAUAUCGCAGGCCUCCGUCGUAUGCUUGUACCCACUGUUCGAAACGUAUGUUACAAAGGUAGUCUGCCCCUUCUCCGUUUUGGGAUCGUAAAAUUACCAACAUCUCGUGAAAACGAUCUUUAUUUAUUUCAUACCCCGCCAAUAUAAGAUUAUAGCGAAUAUUUUAUACCAUUUCUACCAAUAAAACUAAUUCAAAUUGACAAACGAAAUAAUAUAGUUAUAGACUAAAUACCCAUAUUGGUCACUUGUCGUCGUUCGCUCUUAGAUGGAUAUUGCCUGUAGUAGUUCGAAGCAACGUAUCUUAGGCAAUAUCUAUGGUGUGUGCGCUGCCACAAGCUUCCCUAUCGAUCAAAUGCAGCUAGUAUACCGGCGCCCCGAUCUGAAAUAACAUAGAUAUCAGGUUGGGGGCACACAUGCCUCCUUAACCUAGAGAGAAAGAAAUCCCAGUCAUCAGACAACUCCCCCGGUGUUAUUGCAAAUGCAAUUGGAAGAAUUUUCCCACCGCCGUCCUGUGCCAAUUUGUACAUGAAGGUACCGUCAAUUUGUACCAAUGGCUUGCAGUAUGGAAAUGCGUCUCGGCAUUGCUUAAAGGUCCAAAAUAGGCGUUUGAACACUUGACAUCCACGUAGCAAUCGGCCGUUGUAGUACGCAUGUUCCGUUUCAAGGUCUGUGAUGGCACUUGGGACGUAUCUCUCUAGCACCUGACACCACUGUCAUAUUUCAUUAUAUGAGGCGUCCCACCCACUAUGCAUCUUCUCCAACGCCUUUUGCUUAGUUAUCCAAGCCUUGCGGUAAGAGGGCGUGUACCCCAUUUGGCUAUGGAUAUUGGCAAUUAUCACCGACACUGAAGUCCUAGGAUCUGCUUUUAUCAUGGGCAGUAUCAAGCUAUCUAACAUAGCUGAAUCCAUUUUGGGAUGAUCUUGUGAAACACCUACAGAGGGAGUACAUUAAAUAAUGCAACAUUGCAAAAUAAAAUAAUUAUUUAGAUACAUUAAAUCAUGUACCUGCAGCACAUGUAUGUGGACCUUUGUACUUUUUUAUCUCCCACAACCUUGUCCUUUUCCUUAACGAGACGACGAUUUUCCAUGAACAUGUGCCGUCUUACACCGCACACUUCGCCUCAAACUUAUCAGAUUUUGAUUUAAAGACGUGGUCAUUAACGCCGUUUUUGAUGCUAUGCUGUUUCAAAGCACCAAUAAAACUAUCCUUGUUGGUAAACUGAUUACCAACGUCAAGUUCACCGAAAUUUACCCCCGAACUUGUACGAUCGCACAACCGGUGUGGUAGAUCUGGAAACUCUAACGCAUCAUCUGCUGACAGAUCGACAUUAUGCAUGUGGGCUGGAGGUGAGUAUGCUUUGAAUCGUGGAUUUUCUUCAUCAUCUGAACUCCUUUCAGCAUCUUCACCUUCUAUUGGAAUAGGCUCCGGUUCAGAAAAUAAUCUCACUUCUGCACCAUCCGGCCCGGGCUCUCGAGGUGGAUCCACAUCGGAGUCAUCUUUUAACCCACAAUCAUCUGCAGCGUACGACGUCCCUUCACCGGUUGACGUCGUAGGUAGUACGCCAUCCCUUCUUCUGGGUAUUUGAUAACGUUUCCAAUUAGAUGUAGAUUGCCAUCCAUUAGAACUUGAUGCAGUUCCCCAGUACGUAUUUCCAGCAUCAAACGUCGAGCCACCGACGUAUAUGUCCCAUCCACCGACAGAGUGUCUUGCGGGGGAUGCAUUCGACAGCGCUACCGAACAUGGGCUGUUCUAUAUUUUGUAACCCGCUAACCGAGUGUCGGCCAGGGGUCGUGUAUACAUCUCAAACACCAGACGGAAGUACAUCAGUUGGCAACGUAAAUUGUACAUAUAACUCAAUAUAAGUUGCUCCACUAGCAAGAUGAGUCUCCACCAUUGCCUCCAAGCUACGAGCACAUUUUCUGUCGAACGAGUCAUAUGUCACCGGAUCAACACAAGAACAAAAUCAAUACGUGAUUGACAAAACUUUCAUUGGCAUCGUUCCGAAGAUUUUACGCCUAAUUCUUUUACGAAGUUCUGUCAAAUCUAUGUUCUGGUUAAAUGACAGUCACACCGUAUUCUCCGACUAAAGAACAACACCAUUCUCGGUGUGGCAAACCUCACCAUCCUAGUAAAUAACAGCACUAAUACGUUCACUCAUUUUGAAACUCUAACUUUCUUAGCCUCUCUAAAUUGUUUCUGCUAUGACUUAUGCAUUCUAAGAACAUUUUCUGCCUAGUUUAUAGCCUCAGCUCAAACUUGCUACUGCAGCAAAAUCGCGUCCACGAGGGCGCGAUUUCACAAUUUCUUCUCAAAUAACAUCCUGGUACAAGCGAUUUUAUACUAUUUGCUCAGAAACGUCAAAAAAAUUUAUUUCUUACAUGACCUACUGUAGCAAAAUCGCGUCCACGAAGGCGCGAUUUCACAAUUUCUUCUCAAAUAGCAUCCUGGUACAAGCGAUUUUAUACUAUUUGCUCAGAAACGUAAAAAAAAUUAUUUCUUACAUGACCUACUAUAGCAAAAUCGCGUCCACGAGGGCGCGAUUUCACAAUUUCUUCUCAAAUAGCAUCCUGGUAGAAGCGAUUUUAUACUAUUUGACCAGAAACGUCAACUCGAAAUAAUUUAUUCCUGGACCUAAAAAUCCUAAAAAGCCUGAACCUUAAACCCUAAAAGCCAAAAAAACCAAACGUGAAAAAAAAGUCAAAAUCACGUCCCCCGGAAUGCGCUACGUGGCAGGACAUCGCGUCCACGUCAGCGCGACCUACUGACGUGGAAGGAAAUCACUCCCUCAAGGACGCGAUUUCCUUCCAUGUCAGCAGGUCGCGCUGACGUGGACGCGAUGUCCUGACACGUACCCUGACAUCGCUCUGACGUGGACGCGAUUUCCCGAAAAAUGGAUCAUUCCGGUAAAUAAUCAAAAAAUCGGUCUAUUUCGGUAAAUUUUGAAAAAAAAACGGCUUUUUUUGGUAAAUUACCCAAAAAUAUAAGCAAUUUUACAAUAUUCGUGGUGGGAACAUAUCCCAUCACCAACUUUUCAUAACUUCUUUUUCCCAUUUUAUAAAAUGUCUAUAGAUUAAGUACUGGCUCUUCAAUUUUCUAAGUAUUCAUUGUCUUACCCCUUUCUUGGGUUUGGUUUGGGAAGGUUGCUUGACUUCGUUGUGCAAUUUAAAGUCUUUCCAAUUUGUCGUUUUAGAAGUGAUCGGAAAAUUUGCACUUCUUCAUGUGCUGGAAGAAAAGUGAUUGGGUUCAAAGAAUAAAAACAGGGAUAGAUUAUUUACAUAGUUUAGUUUUUCUAUUCCUACAGAGCCUACGUUAUGAGGAAUAGUUUAGUUUAUGUUGUAAUUUCUUCCUGCAAGAUUACAAAUUUUUUUAAUGUGAUUUACGUAGAAACUACGAAAUUUAUUAUAGGAUGUGAUAAUAUAAUUCUAUAAUUAUUGCUUAAAAUUUUUCUUUCUAAAUUUCAUAUUUCUUAAGAAAUUACAGUAAUAAAUUUUACAUAGAAAUAAUAUGUAGUAUUGAAAUUAAAUUGCAGUUGUACAAAGGUUACAACUUUUUUAUUAAAUUAUUAAAAUUAUUAGAGAACAUGAUAAAAUUAAAUGAGAACCUUUUUAUCAAAGUGACAAGUGAGCAGUCACUUUGAAGAAUAUAAAUAACCCUACCGCUUGCUUAAUUUGUGUUUCUAUUGACUAAAAAAAUUUUGAACAAAAAGGAUAUUGACUAAAAAUUAAAAUAACCAUGAAAUCUUUUACAACAUUCAAUGAGGUUGAAAGAUUUUAUUUUUAAUUUUUUUUAAAUAAUAACUUAUUUGGCUUCUAAUUUUAUAAAAAAAUUAUUUUUUAUUCCUUAAAACUUAUAUUAUUUAUCAACAUUGGCUUACUCCUUCGUUGGGUUUGGUUUGGGACGGCUGCUUGACUUCGUUGUGCAAUCUAAAGUCUUUCCACUUUGUCGUUUUAAAAGUCUGCAUAUCGGAGAAUAUCACAAUUGAGAAAGAAUUAUAUAUUGCUGUGAAACUGAACGUAGUUGCUAAUAUAUACGUUAAGUGAUUAAAAACUUGGCACUUCUUCAAGUGCGGGAAGAAGUGAUUGCGAAGUUGACACUUUUUCAAGUUAUUAAAAAAAAAAAUAGGAGACACAUAUUGUUUACGUAGUUUGGUUUCUUACGUUUGCAGAUCUUAGUUUAGUGAGAAAUAUCUACUAUCUCCAACAUUUAUAAUAAGUGAUCUUAAAUCUAUCACAACCCACUACAAUUUCCUCACUUUUGUACUUUUGAAAAUCGGUACUCUCACCACUAAAUUCACUCCUGUGAACUUAAUUUAUAAAAUCACAACACACAAGUUUUACAAUCAAAUGCACUCUUACAAACAAUAUUCUUCGCUUAAACAGACUAAGUGCUCUCAAUUCUCUAUACAAUCACCUAUACAAGUCUCUCAAUUAUAAAUAGAUUUCGAGAUUUACUAACAUAAUGAAAAUCUAUAUCAAUCUCUAUUAAACAACAACUAAACUAGUUGAAUAAAUUAUAAUAAUAAAUAAGGUAAACAAGGAUUGUUGUCAGCUAAGUCUUCUACGUUCCAAUUCGAUUCAACUUCCUCGAUCCAAGCGAUUAGAUAGACAUGGUCCGAUCCAAUCCGAUCCCUUAAACAUGUUUCCUGAAGUGAUAUGAUCUGUAACACCCCAAACCCAGCCUAACGUUAUAUAUGGUCUAACAUAUAAUAAAAUUUAUUAUUUAUAAAAUAAACUAAAAAUAAAAAGAGAGAAAAGUUUGAAUAUGGUUUAAAUAUUGUUUGUGAGGUUUUUUUAAAAAAUAUUUUAUUUAUAAAAAUAUUAUUUUAAGAAAUAAAUGUUAUGUUAGAAAGAAGAGAAAAUGGGUAUUCAUGUGUAUUUAUAAUUGUGUUAUGUAUUGUUAUAAAAACUUAUGUGUUUUUAUAAAAAAAAAACUUUUACAUAUUUUGAAUUUUUAAGAAGUAAAACUACAUUGACAAAAUGUAUAAAAUUGAGAGCUAAAUUUGUUGAUUUUUUAGAGUUAAAGCUAAAUUGAUAGAAUCUGUCAACAUUGAAGGGUUAAAUUUGUUAUUAUAUUAAUAAAAAAUGCCACCGUUAAUGAUUUAACAUAGGAACAACAAAAAUAUUAAAUUUUGAUAAUGUUAAUGAAUGAAAUAAAAAAUUUUAAACUUAAAUGACCAAAAUAGAAACACACUAAUAAUUAGAUAAACUAUUUUUUUUACUUUGCCCUAGAUUUAAUAAUGUUACCCGAUUUUCCAUGAUUCCUCCAUUUUCUUACCCCUUUCUUGGGGUUGGGACCCGGCUUCACUUUAUUUGUGCAAUCUAAAGGCCUUUCAACUAUGUCAACAAUUGCUUAUGAACUUAUAAUGUGAAACCUUAAGCAAUUGGACAACGAAGCUAUCACUUUUCUUCUUCAAGGAUAAUUAAGAUGGGUCUGGCAUGGUCACUAAAUUUCCAUCACUUUUUGGCCAUUUUCUUUUCAAUGUUUUGCACAUUUUAAAAUCUCUAUACAUUCAAUAAUGCUCCCCAAUUGAAGGUUCUUCUUUUUCAAACCUCGUCUUUUCCUCGACUUUGUUGUGCAAUUUAAAGUCUUUCAGCUUUGUCGUUUGGGUAACUUAUAAAAAUAGUCACUUAAUUUUAGUUAAAUUUAUUUUCUCACUGAAUUAUAAAAAAAUUACAUUUUAGUCACUAACAGUAUCGAGUUAUAACGUUUUGGUCACUCAUCCAUUAACCGCCAUUUUAUCCUUAAGGAAAAGUGCCGUUAACUCAAGGGUUAAUAUUUAAUUUGACCUUUGAACUAUAGUUAAAACAUUCAACUUGGUCAUAAUUUAUUAAAAAAUAUUAAAAAUAAAAAAUUUAAAAUUUAUUUAUUGUUUGAUACUAUAAAAAAUAUAUAUUUUGAAAUUGUAAUUAUGUAAUGUUUUAAAAAACCAUAGAAUCCUUUAAAUUUAAAUUAUAUUAGAAAUCCUAUCACAGUUGUGCACAUGUGGCAAUCAUGAAUUUAGAACAUAGAUUUGUGUUUAAAAAUGAAAUCCAAUAAAUAAUGAAAUCGUAUAGUUUGAAACUAAUUAAUCAUAAUAACACAUGAAAUAUGUAUGAUAUUAAAGUUAAAAAAUUAGAUUAAAUUGUGAGUAAAACUAAACUUAAACAUAUAAAUACAUUAAAUUAACAAUACUAAACCAACUCAACUAAUAACAUUAUUAAUAUAUACAAUGGAUGAAGUGUGCAUAAUAAAAUUAAAUUGUAUAUGAAAAAAUCAAAAUAAAACUUUGGUUGAGUGGUUAAUUUAGGGUUUUGCUAAUGUGAUUGACGUAGAUAUUAUAAUAUGUAUAUUUUUUUUAUUUUUUUAAGAAAGUAAAAGAUUAAAGUACCCCCGAAUAAUAUAAUUUAUUUAAUUACAAAAGAACAUUUCCAUAAUUUCUCUAACCGAGUUGAUGCUCGUCUGACUCGUAAUAUCAACUCAAUCAAAGACUUAAAAUAAUGGUACAGAUAAAAAUGUAGAUUGAGUCAUGGUUAUCUGAACCUAUUGAACUGGCAAUGAUACCAGUCUGGAGAGAGGCAUUAGAUCAGUUCACUCGCAAACCAGUACAGACCAAUAUUAGAACUAGACUAAAAAACUGAUUGAAUCGUUUUUUUAAUAUUUUAAUAAUUUGUAAUCCAACUAUACAAACCAAUAUUUCAACCACCAUUUUAGUUCUAAAAACUUUGCUUAAAGUAUAUUUAAUUUUUAAUUAUUUACUUUAUAAUUCUACACAAAUACAUAAUUACCGCAGCUUCAGAACAGACGAGGACUAAGAAAAAGAAUCAGCUAAUUUUACUGAUUGCAAUUCUAUGAGUAACGCAGCAAACUUAGCUUUCUUUAAUUUCGUCUCACACUAAUAAUUUGUAUCUAUGAUUUAACUUGGACAAGAUCUUUAUCAAGUUGUUUUUUAUGCAAUUGACUAAUAAAAUUCCAUAUUGAGCCAUCGAAUUUACGAGAAAUGGAUACAACAAUGACUUCAAAAUAAAUUGGACUUUUUAUUUUGCAAUUCACUUUUAUAGUUUCAAUAAUGGCCAACCAAUUUUCCAUGACUUUUAUAGCUUGACUUAAGUUGUGCAAUCUAAAGUCUUUUUCUAAACCGUGAGAACAGAAGAAAACAUAUGAGCAGCCAUUGUUGAAGUCCCAUGUUCGGCCAACCUUCUCAUUUUACACGGUGAGUAAUUUUAAUCUUGUUUUUCAUGAAUUUUAUAUUUUUGAGAUUAUUGUAAUUUUAAUCUAGUUUAGCUAACUCGAGUGUUAAUUUUUGAAACUGUUAAAAUUUCUAAAUGUUACUAUUGAUGAAUGAUUGAUGAAAUUAGUAUUAAUUGAUUAGAUUUUUCUGCUUAGAUAUGAAAAAGGCUUAAUUAUCAAUUAUCAAUUCCAAAUAAAAAAUAUUAUUGAUAUUUUCUAUUAUGAAAACCCAUUCUCAAUGUGUUGAAUCGUUGAACAAGUAAUUUUUACUUCUAUUGUGGCAAAUUCAAUGGAGGGAGUUAUCUUCUUAUUUCUACCAUAAAAAGUUUCUCAAUAAAUUUCAUUGGGUGAAAAUUUUGAGUUAGAUUAGAGUGCUUCAAAAUCUCAUGGCAAUUAACAAAUUACGUGAAUGUGUGUGAAAAUAGGAAGGAUAUUAGUAGUUCACCUCUAAUUGCUUAGGCAUGAUACUCGUUGUGAAAAUAGGAAGUUUCUCAACAAUUCCCAUGAUACUCGUUGGAUAACUCGAUCAUUUUUUUUACAGGAUGUAAACUUUUCUAAAUGAUAAGGAAAGGAAAAGAAAACUUAGGCAAUUCAAUUUAAGUAGUUCACAUUUAAUUGCCUACCUCCACUUAGUAUCCUUUAAUCAAAUAAUUUCUCAAAUUACUAUAAGAAUUUGUACCUUUCGAGGAGAAGGUAUAACAUUUACAACACUAUCUUUUUCUUAAAGCUUAGAUAUAACCUUUCCCUCUAGCUUUUAUAGUUGUUGUAUAGUCGUCGUUGGCAAGUCAUGUCUCGAGACAAUUUAUCAAUUGUCUUUAGACACACUGCACUAUAUCUCAAGACAAGCAGCUCCUAUCAAUUGGUACAAGCCAGUAUGAACUAGUAUAAGUUAGUAUUGACUGAAACGAGCUUAAACAUACUGGAAUUGUCAAAACACAUCAAAAUCUUAACCAUAAUGAAACCUAUACUAUUUAGUAUUGGUUGAAGACCAAAAAGAUACGCAUCGAGUGUGUUAAAUGUUGAUGUCCUUUUUAUGUACUGUUUAUAUUUUUGUUCUUUUAAUAAUAUUUGUUUGGCUUAUAAAAAUUAUUUUUAUUAAAAUAAAAUAAAUGAAAAGCUUAUGCAAAGACUGAAAAAAGAUAUCAAAAUUUGCUAUGUUUUGAUAUUGGGCAUUUAAUAAUUUGUACCUAUAUUUAAAAAAAAUUUGUACCAAUACAAUUUCAUAAAAUUAGUACAAAUGGUCAUCAAAAUUCAGCGUAACUUCCUAAAUAUAUUGCUAAUUGAUAUAAUUGAGAACGGUUAUGCGGUUGAUAAUAAUCUUUUUGAACUUCGUUUAGUACAUGAUUUAUGCAAGUAAUAUUGGCAACUUAAGUUUCGGCAUGUCCUGCGAGAACAUAAGAGACUGACAGAUUGCAUGACCAAAGUUGUUCCUAGUAAUCUUAAUAGGUUAACAACUUUUGAAGACCCAGCUAAUCAUGCUCGAUCUUUGUUAGAAGAAGAUGCUCAUCGAGCAAUGAUUAAUAUAGACUCUCAUCAACCUAAUUGUAGCUAAUUCCUUGAACUUGUUUCUUUUUUAAAAAAAUUCACAAAAUGCAGAAAUAACUAUUAAUAAACUUUAUAGGAAAACAGAGCAUCUGUAUAAAUAUUUAUCAAAGACAUUGCUAGAAAGCAAAGCUUAUGUUUAUUUUAGUCAAUUUAACAAUGGCCACUUCAUCGAACGCGUUGCAUAUCCCUUGAUAACUUUACUUUGAUCUUCUUUAACUUUGUAACAACCUCUUUCAUAUGAAGCCUCUCAUUUGGUAACUCUGCAGAACAUUCUAAGCCAACUUGCAAAAUGGAUAAGGCACAAUUCUUGACUUUUAAAUGUUCCCUUCCAAUGGUGCUCAACAACUUGGGAUCUACAACUUGAUUUCGCGAAGAUGAUAUCGACUCUAUCACCCAACUAUUCAAGCUUCUUUCUNNNNNNNNNNNNNNNNNNNNNNNNNNNNNNNNNNNNNNNNNNNNNNNNNNNNNNNNNNNNNNNNNNNNNNNNNNNNNNNNNNNNNNNNNNNNNNNNNNNNACAUUUUAUCUGUGGGCUUUUUUCUUGUGAUGAUUUCCAUCAAAAGAAUACCAAAGCUAUACACAUCACCUUUUGUCGAAACAAUUCCUUCGAUUCCAUAUUCUGUGUAUGAAUAUAAAAACAACAUUAUGAAUAUUCAAAGAUAUCUUGAUAAUGAAAAAUCCGUAUAAAAUGUACGAAACAUUAUAUGCUUGCAUGUUAUAAUUGAACUGGGAUUUAAUCUAGUUGCUUCCUUAAAAAGUCACAUUUAAUAUGUUUGAAACUCAAAUCUUAACAUAUAUGAUCCCUUUUGUUAUGCACAUGCUACGCUUACAUUGAAAAUGGAAAAAUAAACAUGGAGUUUGAUUAGAAGUAUCACCUGGUGCCAUAUAUCCGAAUGUUGCCAUUGUCAUGGUUUGUAUCAUUGAAACCUCUUCACGUAAGAGUUUCGCGAUGCCAAAAUCACUCAAAUGAGCAACCAUAUCUUCAUCUAAUAGAACAUUGUUGGGUUUUAAAUCACAGUGAACCACGGGUGUUGCAUUACCAUGGUGGAGAUAUUCCAAUGCAGAUGCAACAUCUAUCAUUAUGUUCAACCUUUGUAGGAUAUCCAAAUAUUGGUUGUUGGAAUACAACCAUUUAUCAAGACUCCCAUUAGGCAUGAACUCAAGCACCAACGCUUUGAAAUUAAGAUCAUUAGAGCAACUGCUUAUUACUUUGACUAAAUUUCUGUGACGAGUGUUGCAGAGAACAUCACAUUCAACAUCAAAGCUCUUAAAAGCUCCUUCUAACUCUAACUUGAAGACCUUUACCGCAAUUACCGUCCCAUCCUGGAGAGUCCCUUGGAAUAGUGAACCAUAACUUCCAUUACCAAGCAACCUACUACCAUUGAAUCCAUCAGUAGCUUGACGAAGCUCGUGGUAUGAAAACCGUCUCCACGUUCCUAAAGGUAUCAUGUCUUCUUGAGUUGGCAAUUUGUCUUUCCUCCUAUUUUGCAAGAUAAUGAUUAUCAGAGCCACAACCAAAAUUGUGGAGGCAAUUGGCAGAGCUACAUAUAUUAUGAGCUUCAGCUUAGUUUUUGCCUUGGAAUUUCUAAGAGGUCUUGUUUUGCAGUUUGGAACAUGAAGUCGAGUUGCACCACACAAGGCUUCAUUACCCUUAAAUGAUUCGAUUGUGUAGUUUCCAAAUGAUCCUCCUUCAGGAAUUUUUCCUUCAAGUCUAUUAAAAGAGACAUUGAAAUAUUUGAGAUAACGGAGUUUCUUUAAGGAUUUGGGAAUCUCUCCAGAUAGAUUAUUUCUUGACAAGUCCAAGAAUUCCAAACUCAACAAUUCAUCAAAAGACUCAGGAAUAGAACCCAUGAUUCUAUUAUUGGACAAGGAAAAAUGAGUGAGGUCCUUGAGAUCUGCAACUCCAGUUGGGAUAUCACCUGAGAACUGAUUGUUCGACAAAUCCAAACUAGUCAAAACUUUCCAUUUUCCAAUGUCAGUUGGCAGUGGACCACUUAGAGAAUUUGAAGACAAGUAUAGGAUGAGGAGAUAGUUAAGCCUUGUCAACGUGGAAGGUAUUGAGGAGGAAAACUUAUUGGAGUCUAGAAAUAGUUGCCUUAAUGAAGUGAGAUCACCUAAGCAAGCAGGUAUUGGUCCAGACAAUUUGUUAUUGGUCAAGAACAAGAAAGCCAAUUUGUUUAGAUGACAUAACUGAGAUGGGAUGGAUCCUUCUAACUUAUUGUCUUUAAGAGAAAGACUUUGCAACUCUUCCAAUCCACCAAUUGUAGUAGGAAUCUGUCCUAUCAAUUUAUUGCCUCCGAGAUCAAUGCUUAUCAAGUGACUUAAGUUUCCAAUUUCAUUGGGGAUGCUACCCCUGAUGUUGCAUGAAUAAGCAGAGAACUCUUCAAGAGAACUUGAGACAUUUCCUACCACUCUUGGAAGUUCACCACUAAUAAAUGGGUUGCUAUCGAAAAGAAAGUUCGAGCCGACAAGGUGAUUGCUAGCAAGAUAUAAUUGCUCCAUGUUUGGAAGUAAAAGGCCCAUGUUUGAUGGAAGAUGGCCAGAGAGCUGAUUUAUAUCCAAAGCAAUCAUCCUUAAAGUUGAAAUAUUAAAUACAUGUGGAGGGAUAGAACCAGUAAGAUUGUUAAAGUCUAAAUCCAACCAAUUUAGAUUCUUUAGGUUGCCAAUCUCACGUGGUAUUAUACCUGCCACAAAUUUUAUCAAACAAAAAUAUUAGACAAAUAUGAGGAAGAAAAUAGUUUAUAUAUAUGAAACAUUUGCUUAUAUUUUUUAUAAUGUGUACAACCAUAGACAAUUAGUGUAUCAAAUAUGAAUCAACAAUAUUUACAAAAAAAAUUAAUUCACAAUAAAAUUGUUUUUAUAGAGCGCUUGCAAAUAUUAAAGUACUUCAAGUAAUUUUAAAUUGAAUUUUUUAGGUUUAAAGUUGGAAUAAGUUCAAAAUGAGAAGGGAUUGUAUGAAAUUACAAUUCUAUGUCAUCUUUAUCCCUUAUAGGAGAAUAACAACUCAGAUUUUUCCUCCUAAUUUUUAGCUUUUUCUUCUUGAAAAAAUUUAAAAUCCAACUAAAAAAGUUAAAAAUUAAGAGGAAAAAUCUGAUUUAUCAUUCUCUUAUUGGAAAGGGAUAGAGAUUACGUAGAAUCACAGUUUCAUACAAUCACUUCUCAUUCAAGUUAUAGAAAAUAAUGAUGAAAUAAAUGAUAAAGAACAAACAUUUAUAAGUCAAAUAAAAUAAUUAAGAACAUAAUGGUGAAUUAAAUUUGUUUUCCUUUUAUCUGAUUUGAUAAAUUUAAAAUUUUUAAGAACAUAAAAAUAAAUCAAAUAUGAUUUUUGGUCCCUUGGAGUUUUGUUUGGCCUCAACAGGGGUAAAUGUAAAUAAUGGACUUAAAAAAAAAAGAAAUAUACUAAUUGCAAUGACUAUGAAAAAUUUUAUAAUUAUUGUAGAAUAAUCAAAACACAGAAAGCGGUUGAGCAAAAUAAAGUUCAAAUUAAUAAAAACUAUCAGUAAAAGUUGCAAAUUAAUAAAAAUAAUUUGGAAAUAAUUUAACUCUUUCUUAUACAUUCACCUGUAAAAUUGCUAUGGGAACAAUCAAACGACAUAAGAAGAGUUAAAUUCACAAUUUGUUUAGGAAUUUCACCUGCAAUUAUAAAAUUCACAUAUCAAAUUAAAAAUUCAUCUCCUAGCAAGGAUUAUAAUAAUAAAAUUAAGGUAUAAUGGCUUAUUUAGCUCUUCAAUUUUAUUAAAAAGAAUCAUUUUAGUCUUUCAUUUAAUUUUUCAUCUCUUUUAGCCCUUAAACUUGCAAUGUUUGUCAAAUCAUCCCAAAAUGAAUUGAAAAUUCCAUGUGUAUGCCACAUCAACAAUUAAUUUUUAAAAUUUUAAAAAAAUUCUAUUUUAUUACUAACGUGUCAGCAAAGUAAACAAACAUUAACUUUUCCAUACAUUUUUUGGGCUGAUAUAACAAACAAUACAAGUUCAAGAGCUAAAAGAAACGGAAAAUUAAAUAAAAAAUUAAAAUGAUUUUUUUUAUAAAGUUGAAGGGCUAAAUAAAUAAUUAUUUCUAAAGUAAACAAAGCACGUUAGCAAGGUAUUUCACAUCAUAUUAGGUGUCAUACACACUUCCAAGUCAAGUUGGAACUAAAAGAAUAUUUCUCUCAUCAUUUUGUCGUAGUUUAUUCUUCAAUCUUCUUUUGAAAAAUUUCAACUAUGUAUUCGUUUAAUAAAUAAAUUUAUAUUUUCAAUCUCAAUAUCUAAAUUAUUAUAUUCAUUACCUUAAUUUCUUUUCAAAAAAACAAAAAAAAAAAUCGUUCCUUGCAUCUCAAUGUACUUAAAAAAAAAAGUAAACACUUCAAAAGGUUUUAAAAAUGGUUAGCAUAUAUUACCUUCAAAGUGGUUCCGACCAAUAGCGAUGUCUUGAAGCAGGCUCAAAUUCCCAAUUUCUAUUGGUAGGCUCCCCUCCAUUUGGUUAUACGAUAAAGCUAACACUUGUAACUCUUUGCACUUGAAUAGACUGGCAGGAAUUCUACCAGAAAGCAGGUUAAGACUCCAGUACAAUCCUUUCAAAUUUGGAAGAUGAUCAAACAUAUCUUUUGGGAUAUGACCAGUGAGAUUAUUGGAGGUGAAAUCGAUGACUUCUAGCAAAAGCAAAUCACGUGGAACAGAGGGUAUAGAACCAGAGAAUAUAUUAAUAUUAUUGUCAGUAUAGGAGGAUGUGAAUUUAAAUGCAUUGAAACAUAUUUAUCUUCUUAUAUAAUUAUUAGCAAAAAAAAAUUAUGGAUAGUUCUAGACAUUUUAUAAAAAGAAUUUGAUAUAGCAAGAUUUAGAAAAUAAUUUGCAUUAUUUAUUUUAGGAAAUUAUUGAAUAAAGAGAUCAAGAAUUUUCAAUUUAAAAACUUUUAAAUUUAAAUCAUAACAGGAGGAGUUUAGUUACUUUACAAUUAUCCAAGAUGGAUUAAAUUUUGAACAAAAAGGAUAUUGACCAAAAAUUAAAAUAACCAUGAAAUCUUUUACAACAUUCAAUGAGGUUGAAAGAUUUUAUUUUUAAUUUUUUGAUUUUUGUUGAAUUAAUAACUUAUUUGGCUUCUAAUUUUUUUUAAAAAGACUUUUUUUUAGUCUUUAAACUUAUAUUGUUUAUCAAAUUAUUUCAAAAUGAAUGAAAAAAUUAAUGUUUAUUAACAUUGUCGAUGUAAAUAAUAUUAAAUUUAUUUAAAAAGUAUAAAAAUAUUUUUUUAAAAAUUAAUUAAUUGCUAACAUAACAUAUACGUGGUAAUCUAUAUGUAUGCCACAUCAGCAAAGUUAACAAAUGUUAUUUUUUUCAUCCAUUAUAAGUUAUUUGACAAAUAAUGUAGUUUCAAGAGUUAAAACUGACGAAAAAUUAAAUAAAUGGCUAAAAUUACUUCUUCUUCUUUUUUAUAAAGUUGGAGGGUGGAAAAAUUGUUAUACAUUUUUUUUUCUUGUCUUAUCAGUACCCUCGACAACACACCACCAUAAAGUAAGAAUAUAAAGCAUGGUUCAUUUAACUAGAUUUUUAGCAAGAAAAUUGAUAUUGUUGUCUGUAUAUAUAAAAAGACACAGGUUUAAACUUAUUGAAAUAUAUUUAUCCUUUUAUAUAAGGAUUAGCAAAAAAUUAUAGAUAUAUAAUUCUAAGCAUUUUAUAAAAAAAAAAAGUUAUAUAAUAUGACAUAGAAAAUAAUUCACUUUUUAUUUUAGGACAUUAUUGAAUAAAGAAAUCAAGAAUUUUUAAUUUAAAAAUCUUAAAUUUAAAUCAUAACAGCAGAAGGAGUUUAGUUUACAAUUAACCAAGAUGGAUCAAAUUUGGCUUUAUAUCUAAGAUAUGAACACUGUAAAUAGAUUAAUGAUAAGCAUUAAACUAAAUUAUUGGAAUAAAAAGAUAAGCAAUUUUACAAUAUUGGUGCUGGGAACAUAUCUCUAUAGAUUCAGUAAUGGCGCGCUCUCCAAUUUUCUAAGUAUUCAGUGGCUUACCCCUUCGUUGGGUUUGGUUUGGGACGGCUGCUUAACUUAGUUGUGCAAUCUAAAGUCUUUCCACUUUGUCGUUUUAAAAGUAUGCAUAUCUGAGUGCGGGAAGAAGUGAUUGCGAAGUUGACACUUUUUCAACUUAUUACAAAAUAAAAAAUAAAAAAAGGAGACACAAAUUGUUUACGUAGUUCGGUUUUUUUACGCUUGCGGAUCUUAGUUUAGUGAGAAAUAUCUACUAUCACCAACAUUUAUAAUAAGUGAUCUUAAAUCUAUCACAACCCACUGGCAAUUUCCUCACUUUUGUACCUUUGAAGACUAGUACUCUCACCACUAAAUUCACCUCUGUGAACUUAAUUUAUAAAAUCACAAUACACAAGUUUUACAAUCAAAUGCACUCUUACAAACAAUAUUCUUCGCUUAAAUAGACUAAGUGCUCUCAAUUCUCUACACAAUCACCUAUACAAGUCUCUCAAUUAUAUAUAGAUUUCGAGAUUUACUAACAUAAUGAAAAUCUAUAUCAAUCUCUAUUAAACAACAACUAAACUAGUUGAAUAAAUUAUAAUAAUGAAUAAGGUAAACAAUGAUUGUUGGCAGCUAAGUCUUCAACGUUCCAAUUCGAUUCAACUUCCUCGAUCCAAGCGAUUAGAUAGACAUGGUCUGAUCCAAUCCGAUCCCUUAAACAUGUUUCCUGAAGUGAUAUGAUCUGUAACACCCCAAACCCGGCCUAGACAUUAUGGCCAAAUUUGGGAGUGUUACGAAGAAGGGUUUUAAAAUCAAUCUUAUUAUUAUUUUCGUUAAGGGAAAUAUUGUUAAUUUGAUCUUUCAGAAAACUUAUUUUGCAGCGGAAGUUUGAUAUUGUUAAAGUUGAAAAUCGAGUUUGUGUUUUCAGAAAAUAUUUGCUUGCGUAAAACCGUAGUUUUGUCAAAUCUCACAGUAUAAAAGUCAAAAAACACAUACAAAACCAAAAUUAAAACAAAUAGUCCAGAGAGUCCCAAAAUUACAAAACUCUCAACAACAAUUCAAAUUUUUAAAAACAUCGUUAAUCAAAAUAGUUCGCGAACUAGUGGUCACCACUGAGACUCUGUCGCACCGACCCGCCUAUGUCUGAGGACUACCUUAACAAAACAGAUAACAUAUGUGAGUUUUCAUAAACUCAGUGUGUAACCCAACAGAGAUAGACAUACAAAUAUACUCAGAAUUUCCAUAUGCAAAAUAGAUAUACAUACAAACAUAAGUCCUUAACAGAACCAGAUAGUUAGAACACAGAUAUGCAAAAUCUUACCCCCAUCCUCUACACACCAUCUCCGACCAUCCUAUCACACCAUGUGGGGUAUAAAACACCCACCCAUCCCUACAUACCACAUAGUGUCUGCACGACACUUAUCAGAAUAAUUUGCAGCUAUGCUGCUAGAGUAAGGGCAAAAUAUGGCCUCACAGAACAUUCCUCCAAUAAAUAGAUCCCACCCCAUAUAUAUAUAAAUAGCAGAUAAUAGAUAUAAUAAAAUUAUCAAGUCUUGCAUGCUUAUAUAUAUAUAUAGGUAGCAUACAUGUUAUUACGAACUAGUCAAACCAUACAUAUCAAUUUCUAAAUGCUCAAAUCAGACUAUCAGAAUACAUGUAUCAUGCAUUAGGGUAUGUUUUGCCCUUACCGACCCGACCGAAGGCCCACAGUCGAUUGAAUCGACUUAUGUGACCAUAGAGAAGAUUUCAGAAUUUUGGGCUUACAUGCUUGUGUGGGCCUACACGCCCAAAUUGGCCUUGCUCGUGUGGCCCACACGACUUGGCCCCAAAUUGGCCUAUCCCGUGUGUCGCACACGCCCAUGUGGCGUGAUAGACCACUUUUUUGGAUUUUACCGAACCUUAUUUUUCUGUGUUUUUGUUACACACCUGGUUCAUUUUUUAUGCUACAACAAUCCCGAGACCACCAGAACCUAACAAUCACAAUACACGCUCCCAAAAUCAGUCUUACUCCUCAAUUAAACCAAAUUACAGAAAUUGACUACAGUGGAAAUCGAGUGUUCAUCACUUACCCAACUUCCCGAAUGAUCUCUAUUCUACGAUUCCACAAGAGGAGAGCUCCGUUCCUCACAAUUCGCUGUUGCCAACAACUCAAAAAAUCAAUACUAACGAAAAAGACAACAUCGUUAAAAAGAAAAACCGCUUUCAAAUAAAUCUCCCCUAACCCAUGCUAAACCUUUCAACCACUACUUACCAAGCCGUACGAAAACAGGAAGACCGAAACACCUUGAUUUGAAAGGGAGGUUAUGACAGAAAUCAAAAAGAAAAGAAAAAGAAAAUUUUGACAAUAGGAGAAUAGAAAAACGUCAUAAGGGAAAAAAAAUUGGGAAAAGAAAAUAAAAAUAAAAUAAUAUUUAAAUAAAAUAUCCCUUCAACUCCCACUAAUCCACAUCCAACCAGCUUAGAAUUUCAGCUCCACCCAAACUCUAUCAGACUACCAAGACAAAAAUUAUCAUCCUUGCUCCCGCAGGGACUCGAACACAAGACCUUUAGGCAAGUUAACUCCUUACCACUCGAACCAGCAAGCUCAUUCUAAUACAAGUGUACCGGAAGUAUAACAUAAGCCCACCCAACAGGGAUAAGACUAGGAUAAAAAAUAUCAUAUUUUUCAAAAGUGAGACUUGAACUCAAGACCUCAAACACACAAUCAGAAUACUCAGCCACUGAAGCAAAUACAUAUUUAUGACAUAAUUCACAGAAACAAGGUUAAAUAAUCAAGGCGUUACAUGAUCUUUAUUGAUGGGCUAGAUAAAAUCCACAAUAUCAGCACAACCAAAAAAUUCGGUUCAAUAAAUUGUCAAUCACCUAGAUAUGAAAACAGUUUAACCAAUUGCAGUGCUUCAGGAAGUGACACUUCCUCAAGUAUAUCUUAGUCAUUCCAUAGUUUUCAACAAUCUUCCCUUUUGACAAUUUGUUGAACAAAACAUAAACAACAAUUGGAGCUAUAUCAUCAGGUAACUUUAUCUCCCCCUUAGCAUUUCCCAUUAUUUCCAAAACUAUCUUAGAAAAUAAUUAAGUAAAUUAACCAUAUGUUGGUGUGGAACUUUGGUGAGGAAAAUUUCAAACACAUAAAAGGAGCUCAAACGGACCAUGAACAACAACUCGAAUAGAAAAACAAAGCAAUAAAACAAGGUUCCAAGGCGUGUAUCAAACAUCUAUCUUUAAGGUUCUAUUUGCUCUACCUAUACUCGGUGUGGAAAUGAGUUUCAAGCAAAUGAACCUCAAAGAUACAAUGAAGCUCGGUGACUAUUUGCGACUUGUAUUGAUGAAAUAGUUCACUAAGCACAAAACAGAGUAUAACAAAAAAAAUAAAUUUCUAUAAAGAAUUUCGGUAGUAAUUCUUUAUAGAAUAAUCUAAUAAUAGUAGAAGAUGGAGGAAUGAUAGAAAAAUCUUUUGAGAAUUUUUUGUAUUUUUUCAACUGAAAUCUCACUCCCAUUUAUAGGAAUACUUAUGUCUCUUAAUAGGGACACAACUUUCGAUAGGUGUCUUUUCUGAAUAAUCCCUUUUUAAAAGAGACAUAAUUAUGCAACUAAUAUCUUAUAAUUAUUCAAGUAAUAUUACUAGUAUAGUUAUAAUUCUUUGUCAAAAAUCAAGUGAUAUAACUCUUGACCAAUAACCAAAAUACAUUAUAUCCUUUUCCUGUUAUAUGGCUCAGAAGAGCUUCCCGUUUACAUGCUUAUAUAAGCAUACAAGUACAUGAAUUGAUGGGUUAUAGAUUUGUACACUUCGUGUGUACUACCCGUGUAUCCAACGAUAUUUUAAAUCGUUCAACGGGCAAAGUUCUGAUAAGAAACAAUAUGAGUUUGAAAUGAACAAUUAUGGGUGUAUACUUGAAUUACAUGGAAAUGAUAUUGAUGAUAAUGAAACAUGAAAUGGGAUGAUACAUGUAUAUGGAACUUGCUUGGUGAUUAUGUUCACCCAUGUUUAUGGAAUAUUACAUGAGAUUCACAUGACUAACAUGUUGAGGAUAUGUGUAUAGGCUUUUGGCUAAAUUGGUUUGGAUAUGUUAUGAAUGCUUACCUUAAAUGUGAAUAAAUGGUAAGUUAAAUUCCAUGUUAUACAAACUUACUAAGCUUAAAUGCUUACUCUAUUUUAUUUUCCACGUUUUAUAGUAAUUCAGAAGCUCGAUUUGGUUGGAAGUUGGUCGGAGCUACUUCACACUAUCCAUCAGCUUUUUUGGUACAUAUAGUAAACUAAUUUUGGUUAUAAUGGCAUGUAUAGGUUAAUUUGGCCAAUGAUGGUAUACCAAUAUUUUAUUGAAAUUAGCCAUUUGUAUGGCUUGUAUUUGGUAUAUUUUGAUGUAUAUAUACUUGUGGCCUUAUCAUGUUUGAUGUGUGCUUGAUGUGGUUGAAUAUGGGAUAAUUUAUAAGCAUAUUGAUGAUUGGUAUGAGAGAGUGUAUAUUUGGUAAAAAUAUUCAUAUAUGUGUAUUUGGUCAAUUUGGCAAGUUUGAAUACUUGGAUAUAUGUGUUGAUAUGUUAUGUAUAAAACUUUUUUUUAGCUUGAUUUGAAUGCCUUGUUAUGACUUGAUGUUGUGUAAGUGUUGUGUUAGGUUGAUGAUAAAUGAGGUAAGAAAUGUGGCUUGGAAAUGACCUAUUUUUGGCCACACAGGCAGAACGGGUGUGUGUCCCCUGUAUAUUAAAUUUGCACAAAAUAGAAUGCUUACACGGCCUAGCACACGUGUGUGUGGAUUGGCCGUGUGACAAGUCAUAGAGCUCAUAAGUUUGGACAUGGGUUGGGAAACGGCCGUGUGUCCCUAUUUUGAAUACCCACAUGGCCUGAGACACGGGCAUGUCUCUUGACUGUGUGAGACACAUGGCCUAGCCAUACGGGUGUGUGUCUCAUGCACCUUUGAAAAUUUUUAAUAUUUUCUGAAAAAUUCUUUGAGUACCUGAUUUAGUCCCGACUUGUUUUUAAUGUGUAUGUUGGGCCUCGAGGGCUCACAUAAGGAACAUUAUGCUUGAUUACGACUGUUUUCGGAUAUGAAUGCUAUAUGAUAUGAAAUAUCUGUUUAUUUGUUUUGUAAAUUCUGGUAAUGCUCUGUAACCCUAUUUCAGCGACGAACACGAGUUAGGGGUGUUACAACAACCUAAUGUCGAAAAGGGUGAGAAUCAAUGUCUUUAGGUUAUUGCCUAGAAUGAGUUUGUUAUGUAUGAGGUUAUGCUUGAGGGCGUGCAUGAUUAAGGAUAUAUAGGCGAGAAUAAGGUCUUGAUGACCCAAGAGGUGGAAGACCAUGUCGAGAACUCUACAACCAAUUCCUAGUUUGAUGGUGCAAUAAAGGAGGAUGUGAAAAUUGAUGAGCUCAAAGUAAAGGGUAUUGGUGCUGAUGGUGUGGGCAAAGGCGAUGCCCAAUGCUUGACAAAUUUGACAAGGAGUAAAGUCAGACAUAUAAUAAAAUUUAUUAUUUAUAAAAUAAACUAAAAAAAGAUAGAGAGAAAAGUUUGAAUAUGAUUUAAGUCUUGUUUGUGAGGGUUUUUUUAAAUAUUUUAUUUAUAAAAGUAUUAUUUUAAUAAAUAAAUUUUAUGUUAGAAAUAAGAGAAAAUGGGUAUUCAUUUAGUAUGCAUAUUUAUCAAAAAAUAAACUUUUAAAUAUUUUUAUUUUUGAAUUUUCAAGAAGUAAAAUUAAAUUGACAGAAUGUGUAAAGUUGAGAGCUAAAUUUGUUGGUUUUUUAGAUUUAAGGCUAAAUUGAUAGAAUCUAUCAACAUUGGAGGGUUAAACUUGUUAUCCAAUAAAAAAGGCCACUGUUAGUGAUUUAACAAAGGAGAGAUCAAAAUAUUAAAUUUCAAUAAUGAUAAUGACUAAAAUAGAAAAUUUUAAACUUGAGUGACCAAAAUAGAAACACACUAAUAAUUGGGUGACUAUUUUUAUACUUUGCCCUAGAUUGAAUAAUGGUUACCAAUUUUCGACCCCUUUGUUGGGUGACUAAUAAUUGGCUUGACUUACUUUUGAGCAAUCUAAAGUCUUUCCACUAUGUCGUUUAAAAACAUCAACAAGUGCUUAUCACCUUAUAAUAUAAUAGUCUAAUUUGAGAGAAACUUCAGUAUUGGGAUAAUUUUAUAAUCAAUUGGACAACGAAGCUAUCAGUUUUGUUCUUCAAGGAUAAUUAAGGUCUGGUAUGGAAACAUAACCGAUCCCUAAAUUUCCUGGACUUUGUUGUGCAUUUUAAAGUCUUUCUUUGGGUAAAUUGUAAAAAUAGUCACUCAAUUUUGGUUAAAUUUAUUUUUUUAUCAUUGAAUUACAAGAAGUUACGUUUUAGUUACUAACAGUAUCGAGUUAUAACGUAUUGGUCACUUGUCCAUUAACCGUCGUUGCAUCUUUGAAAGUGAUGUGGCACGUUAACUCAAGGGUUAAUAUCUAAAUUGACUCUAAAUUAUAGUUAAAAUAUUCUAUUUGGUCUUUUUACAACUUUUUAAUGAUGAUUCUAAAAUUAUUCAUUAAAAAUACAAGAAAAUGAAAAUUUUCAAAAAUUAUUUAUUUAUUUUUUAAAACAAUAAAAAUAUUUAUUAGAAAUUAUUUAUUUAUUCAUUAAAAAUGCAUUCUUUCAUGAAUCUUUUUACUGUAGCUUUUUAGAAAAUGUCGCGGAUAAUAUUGUUUUUCGUGAUGUUUUCUAAAAAGGUUACAAAAAAAACAUAGUUUUUAUGAUGUUUUUGCAAAUAGACACAAAAUAGAAGUCCCGAAAAUUAGAAUUCUCAUAGCGAUGACUCAAUCCCUUACCUUUAUUGUUUUAAAAAUAAUUUUUUAAAGAAAUAGGAUCUCAUGCAUAAUUGUUGAUGCACAUUAUAUUUAUGUUAUACCUCUCACAUUCUCAAUGUGUUGUAUUGUUGAACAAGUAAUCUUGUUACUUCUAUUGUGGCAAAUUCAAUGGAGGGAGUUGUCUUCUUAUUUCUACCACAAAAAGUUUCUCAAUUUAUUUCAUUGGGUGAAAAUCUAAUGGCAAUCAACAAAUUAGAUAACAAUUCCCAUGGUACUCGUUGGAUAACCCGGCCAUCUUUUUUUACGGGAUGUAAACUUUUCUAAAUAAUAAGAAAAGAAAAGAAAAGUUUGGGCAUUUCAAUUUAAGUAGCUCACCUCUAAUUGCUUACCUCCAUUAUUUUAGUAUACCUCAAUUAAUGAUUUCCCAAAUCAUUAUAAGAAUUAAUACCUUUCAAGACGAAUGUGUAACAUUUAUAACACUAUACUUUUCUUAAGACUUAGAUAUAAACUUUCCCCCUAGCUUUUAUAGUUGUUAUAUAGUCGUUGACAAGUCAUGUCUUGAGGCAAUCUAUCAAUUGUCUCUAGACACACUGCACAAUGUCUCAAGAAAGGCCGAUAUGAAUCAGUAUAAGUCAAUAUUGACUGAAACAAGCUAAAACAUACUAGAAUGGUCGAUACGCAUCAAAAUCUUAACCAAUACAUCGUAUUGGUUGAAGACCAGAAAGAUACGUAUCAAGCGUGUUCUAUGUUGAUAUCUCUUUUAUGUGCUGCUUUAUAUUUUUGUUCUUCUAAUAAGAUUUGUUUGGCUUAUAAAAAACUAUUUUUAUUAAAAUAAAAUAAAUGAAAACCUUAUGCAAAGAUUGAAAAAUGAGAUCAAAAUUUUCUAUGUUUUGAUAUUGAGCAUUUAAUAAUUUGUAGCUAUAUUCUACAAAGAAAAAAAAUUGCACCAAUACAAUUUCAUAAAAUUAUUACAAAUGAUCAUAAAAAUUUAGCGAAAUUUAAUAUUUCUAAUUGAUAUAAUUGGGAAUGGUUAUGCGAUUAAUAAUAAUCUUUUUGAACUUUGUUUAAUACAUGAUUUAUGCAAAACAAUAUUGGCAACUUAAAUUUCUGCAUGUCUUUUUAGAGCAUAAUAGAUUGGCGGAUUGUAUAGCCAAAGUUGUUCCUAGUAAUCUUAACAGGUUAUCAACUUUUGAAAACCAAGUUGAUCAUGCUCAAUCUUUGUUAGAAGAAAAUACUCAUCCAACAAUGAUUAAUAUAGAUUCCCAUCAACUUUAUUGUAACUAAUUGCUUGAACUUAUUUCUUUUUUUAAAAAAUUCACAAAAUACAAAAAUAACUAUUAAUAAACUUUAUAGCAAAACAAAGCAUCAGUAUAAAUAUUUAUCAAAGACAUUUCUAGAAAGCAAAGCUUAUGUUUAUUUUAGUCAACUUGAUAGCUACCACUUCAUCGAACUCAUUCUAUAUCUCUUAAUAACUUCACUUUGAUCUUCUUUAACUUUGUAACAAUCUCUUUCAUAUGAAGCCUCUCAUUUGGUAACUCAAAACAACAUUCUAAGCCCAGUUGCAAAAUGGAUAAGGCACAAUUCUGGACUUUUAAAUCUUCCCUUCCAAUGGUGCUCAACAACUUGGGAUCUACAGCUUGAUUUAGCGAAGAUGAUUUCGACUCUAUCACCCAACUCUUUAAGCUUCUUUCUCCUUCAAACAUUUCAUCUGUGGGCUUUUUUCUUGUGAUGAUUUCCAUCAAAAGAAUACCAAAGCUAUACACAUCACCUUUUGUCGAAACAAUUCCUUCGAUUCCAUAUUCUGUGUAUGAAUAUAAAAACAACAUUAUGAAUAUUCAAAGAUAUCUUGAUAAUGAAAAAUCCGUAUAAAAUAUACGAAACAUUAUAUGCUUGCAUGUUAUAAUUGAACUGGGAUUUAAUCUAGUUGCUUCCUUAAAAAGUCACAUUUAAUAUGUUUGAAACUCAAAUCUUAACAUAUAUGAUCCCUUUUGUUAUGCACAUGCUACGCUUACAUUGAAAAUGGAAAAAUAAACAUGGAGUCUGGUUAGAAGUAUCACCUGGUGCCAUAUAUCCAAAUGUUGCAAUUGUCAUGGUUUGUAUCAUUGAAACCUCUUCACAUAAGAGUUUGGUGAUGCCAAAAUCACUCAAAUGCGCAACCAUAUCUUUAUCUAAUAGAACAUUGUUGGGUUUUAAAUCACAGUGAACCACGGGUGUUGCAUUGUCGUGAUGGAGAUAUUCCAAUGCAGAUGCAACAUAUAUCAUUAUGUUCAACCUUUGUAGGAUAUCCAAAUAUUGGUUGUUGGAAUGCAACCAUUUAUCAAGACUCCCAUUAGGCAUGAACUCAAGAACCAACGCUUUGAAAUUAAGAUCAUUUGAGCAACUGCUUAUUACUUUGACUAAAUUUCUGUGACGAAUGUUGCGGAGAACAUCACAUUCAACAUCAAAGCUCUUAAAAGCUCAUUCUAACUCUAACUUGAAGAUCUUUACCGUAAUGAUCAUCCCAUCUGGGAGAGUCGCGUGAAAUAUUGAACAAUAACUUCUAUUACCAAGCAACCUACUAUCACUGAAUUUGUUGAAGUUAGCCUGCAAGCUGACAAGAAGCAACAGGAGCUUCCCAAGCCUAGUAGUUCCAGCUGAGGUUCAUGCUGCUGAUUUAUUUUGCUACUUUUGAAUGAUAUUUUGUAACUAGUUAGAUUAAAACUACAUUUUUGAUGUACUUGAUGUAAUUUGUUGAUGUUUGGGCUGAUAAAUCAGCUUUGCAAAGUGUACAAGUUAAGUUUGACAAGUUUCAAUGUACUUAAUGGUAGUAGGUAGUGUUUAGGUAAUUAUUUUAUUUCUCUUUGACCAACUUAUGUCUGGUAUAUGUAUUGGCAUUAUGCCAUUCUUCAAGUUAAUGAAAUAUUCAUCAAAGAAUUCAUCAUUCAAUGCUCUCAUGAUUCAUUUCUUUUCUUUUGUUCUUUAAGCAAAAUUCUAUUUUGUUUACACAGGAAGCAUCAAGCCUUCUAGCUCAAGAAAUUACUUGUUUCAUUCAUUUGUUCCAACAAUUGGUAUCAAGAGCUUAUUUCUUAGUGGACCUGUUAUUUUUAAAAUUUAAAAAAAAAUCAUUUAUUCAUCUGGUUUCUCUCCAACUCCACCACCAGUGUUUAAUGGUGAAGGCUACCACAUUUGGGCAGUGAAAUUGAAGACCUACCUGUAGGCAUUCGACUUGUGAGAGGUUGUUAACUUUGAUGUUGAACCAGCACCUCUAAGAGUCAAUCCCACAGUGGCUCAGAUCAGGCAGCAUAUAAAUGAAAGAACCAAAAGACACAAGGCCAUGUCUUACAUCCAAAAUAGUAUGUUUGAUGUGAUUUUCACAAGGAUCAUGGCUUGUGAGUCACCAAAGUAGGCUUGGGAUAGGUUGAAUGAGGAGUUUCAAGGGACUAAGAGAACAAGAUAGCAACAACUCCUGAAUUUGAGAAGUGACUUCGAAAAUUUAAAGAUAAAGGAGGAGGAAACUGUAAAGUAAUAUUUAGACAGAAUUAUGGCCGUUGUGAACAGCAUCAGAUUGCUUGGGGACCAGUUUAGUGAACCAAGAAUUGUAGAGAAGGUUAUCUCAACUUUUCCUGAGAGAUAUGAAGCCAAGAUUUCUUCCCUUGAAGACUCGAGAGAUCUGACUAGUAUCUUUUUGACUAAGUUGAUCAAUGCUCUUUAUGCACAAGAGCAAAGAAGGGUCAGCAAGCAGGAGGAGCAUCAAGAAGGUGCCUUCCAAGCCAAAAGUAGACCUGCCUCGACCUCCUCUGGCUACAAAGGGAGAAAGGCCUGGUCUGAUAAGCCAAGAAGAGAUGGAGCAAGAAGAAGAUAUCCACCUUACCCACAUUGUAGAAACCUCAGUCAUCUAGGAGAAAAUUAUUAGUUUAGGCCUGAUGUGCAGUGCAAAGUCUGCAAAAAGAUGUGCCAUGUUGAGAAAGUCUGUAGAAAUAAAGGCAAGCUGAGACAAAACCAACCUCAACAGCCAAAAGAAAGAGCAAGUCUUUGCAGUCUCUUACUCAGAUGCCAAAAGAAAAGGCAGAAAAUAAUGGCUGAUAGACAGUGGUUGCACAAACUACAUGACUCCUAAUGUUGUUAUAUUCAAGAACAUUGACAAAAGCUUUUAAACAAUGAGAUAUUGUUGGAUUUACUUCUUGAAGCACAAAUCAAAAGUAACCCCAGUAUUUUGAAAGUUUAAGGCUGCAGUAGAAACAUAAACAAGUUGCAAGUUGAAGACAUUGAGGUCAGAUAAUAGGACAGAGUACACCUCAGCAAUGUUUCAGAGUUUCUGUGAUGAAGAAGGCAUCAAGCACCAACUUACCAACACCUAGACACCUCAACAGAAUGGUGUUAGUGAAAGAAAUAAUAGAAGCUUAAUGGAUAUGGCAAGAUGUCUAUUGUUUGAGAGAAAUUUUCCCAAAACCUUAAGGGCUGAAGCUAUUAACACUGUUAUUUAUCUUCAAAAUAGGCUACCAACUAAGGCUUUGGUUCAUAAAACUCCAUUUGAUGCUUGGUUUGGGUACAAACCAUCACUUGCUCACCUAAAGGUCUUUGGCUGCAUUUGUUAUACACAUGUUCCUACUGUCAAGAGGGACAAGUUAGCCAAAAAGGCACAACAUGGUAUCCUAGUGGGCUACAGUAGUGUGAAGAAAGGCUAUAGGAUUCUGGAUCCUUCAACCAACAAAGUCUUUGUGAGCAGAGAUGUUGUGUUUAAUGUGAAUUCAGGCUGGAACAAGAAUAAAAAUAAACCAGAAAUAGUUGCUAAAGAUCUAAUGAUAGAUCAGACUGAAGCUGAUUGAAAUGAUCUUGAAAUAGACAUUGACCAUGAGCCAGUUAGGGGAACCAGACCUUUGAGUAAGAUAUAUGAAAGGGCGGAAGUGGCUACUGUUGAACCAAGAUACUUUGAAGAAGCUGAAGCUCAACAAGGAUGGAAACAGGCUAUGCUCAAUGAAAUGAGCAUGAUUUCCAAGAACCAAACCUAAGAGCUAGUUGCUAGACCAGCCAACAGGAAGAUCAUAGGAGUGAAACGGUUGUUUCGAGCCAAGCAAAUUGCUGAUGGAACUUUGAACAAGCUAAAGGCAAGACUGGUAGUGAAGGGAUUUAGUCAGAAGUAUGGCAUUGACUACUAUGAGACAUUUGCACCAAUAGCCAGGCUUGACACAAUUAGGCUGCUAGUUGCUUUGGCUGUACAGAAGCAGUGGAAAAUUCAUCAACUUGAUGUAAAGUCAAUCUUCCUCAAUGGUUUUCUUAAUGAGGAAAUCUAUGUUGAACAGCCUAAAGGUUUCAAAGUUUUUAGUGAAGAGGACAAAGUGGAUAAACUGAAGAAGGCCUCGUAUGGCUUGAAACAAGCAUCAAGAGCCUGGUAUGACAGAAUCAAUAGCUACCUAGCUAGCUCGGGGUUCGAAAGAAGUAUCAGUGAACCAACCUUGUAUGUAAAGAAAAAUGGCAAUGAAACACAGCUCAUAGUGUCUCUAUAUAUUGAUGACCUGCUGGUGACAGAAGAAAGUUAUAAAAUGCUGGCUAAUAUCAAAGAUAAAAUGAAGAAAAGUUUGAGAUGUCUGAUUUGGGAUAAAUGUCCUACUUCCUGGGAAUGGAAGUGUUUUAAACUCAGCAUGGGGUCUUUCUAAGUCAGAAGGCAUUUUUCUUGAAGAUUUUGAACAAGUUCUCCAUGUUGAAUUGUAAAGCAAUAAGUACUCCAGUUGCUGUUGGAGAGAAGCUGUCAAGCCAAGGUGAUUUUGAGAAGGUAGAUAACACAACCUACAGAAGUUUGGUUGGAUGUUUACUCUAUUUGACAGCCACUAGACUAGAUAUCAUGUUUGUUGUAAGUCUGCUAUCUAGAUUCAUGCACUGCUGCAAUGAGAAGCAUUUUCAACCUGCCAAAAAAGUUCUCAGAUACAUCAAAGGUACACUGAGUUUUGGAAUGAUGUUCACCAAGACUGAAAGCUUGAAGCUGCUUGGAUAUGUUGAUAGUGAUUGGGCUGGAUCGAUAGAUGAUAUGAAAAGCACAUCAGGGUAUCUGUUUACCCUUGGUUCAGUAAUUUUUUGUUGGAGUUCAAAGAAGCAAACUGUUGUUGCUCAAUCAACUGCUAAAGCAGAGAAUGUAGCAGCUGCUAGUGCAGCUAACCAAGCCAUUUGGCUAAGAAAGAUCAUGACAGACCUGAAUCUACACCAAAGGGAAGCAACAGAGAUCAAAUGUGACAAUUAAUCUGCUGUUGCAAUUGCAAAGAAUCCAGUGUUCCAUAGGAGAACAAAGCACUUCAAGAUUAAGUUUCAUUUUGUUAGGGAAAUGGAACAAACUCAAGAGGUGAAACUGAUUCAUUGCAGUUCUGAGGAUCAAUUGGUUGAUAUCUUGACAAAGCCCCUUAAUGUAACAAGGUUUGAGCAUUUUAGAGUCAAAUUGAAAGUUUGCAGCAUGCAAGCCAAGGAGGAGUGCUGAAGUUGGCCUGCAUGCUGACAAGAAGCAAUAGGAGCUGCCCGAGCCUAACAGUUCCACCUGAAGUUCAUGCUGCUGAUUUAUUUUGCUACUUUUGAAUGAUAUUUUGUAACUUAGUUAGAUUAGAACUAAGUUGUUGAUGUACUUAAUGUAAUUUGGUUGAUGUUUGAGCUGAUAAAUUAGCUUUGCAAAGUGUACAAGUUAAGUUUAACAAGUUUCAAUAUACUUAGUGGUAGUAGGUAGUGUUUAGGUAAUUAUUUUAUAAUUUUAAAUUAUAUAUAUACAUACAUAUAUUUUUCAUAUUUUUAUAAUUUUAUGUAUAUACACAUACACAUAUAUAUUUUAUAAUUUUUAUUUAUUUCCUUUAUUGUUUCGUUGUUUCGCAUGAUGUUUACUUUUUUAUUUAUGUGCCCAUUUUAUUUCAAAGAUAUUUUAAUUUGACUUGUUUAUUUACUUAUUAUCUUACAUAAUUGAUUCGUCUUUUUAUUUAUCUUUUAUUUGCUAUUGCUCGUGCUAUUUAUGCUUGUAUCAUCGUAUUUAUUAUUGUUUUGUUAUGCAUACCAACAAUGUAAUUUAUUUUCGCAUUUUUUACUAUGACAUCGUGUUUCAUUUUUACUCGAUAUAUCAAAUUUUUUUUAAAUAAAUAGCUUUUCGUAUUUUCAGAUUCGAAAAAGUCGUACCCUAACUUACGGGGUUUUGAUUUUCCUUGAUAAAUUCAAAUAUACGAAUCUUUUCAAACAUAAGUUUUUUAAACGAUCUCGGGGAUUAACAAAUGAUCGUGUUCUAACUUACGGGACGUGAUCUCUUUUCUAAACUAGAGAUAGUUGAAUAUCUUUUUAAACAAGUAAAUUUUGGCAUUUAUUCUCGUAUCGAGAAUUCAAUACAUUGUGUCCUAACGCAUUGGAUAUGACAUGUUUUCUCGAGAUGAGGGUUUUUCUAAAAAACAAUAAAGGCAAUAUUCAAUGUUUGGAAUUUUGAGAAAUUGGGCCCGAACAUAUUGUGCUUCGAUUUCUUCAUCUGACUUAAACAAUUGAAUAUCCUUUUAAAUUUCAUUGCAUGAGUUUUUUUAAAGGACAACCUCAUUUUUGAGGAUGUGAAAUAUCAUGCCCUAACCCAUUGGGUGUGACAUUUUUUCUCUUCGAAAUGAGAGGGUCUUAACAUGUAAUUUGAUUUAUACAAGUUUUAAAUAAAAGGAUUAUAUUUUAAAUCUCUUCAAAAUCUUCAAUUUUCGACACCAAGACACUAAUUAAUCAACUAGGUACCAAUUUUGAGCGUUACAAGGGUGCUAAUCCUUCCUCGUACAUAAUAGACUCCCGAACCCAUUUUUCUAAAUUUCGUGGACCAAAAUCGUUGUUUUAAUAAAAUCAAAUCGUUUAUUAAAAACAACCACUUUUCGAGGUGACCCGAUCACACCUCAUUAAAAAAGAUUGGUGGCGACUCCCACGUUCAUUUUUCAUUUUCAAAACCCAAGUCGACCCCGUUUACAAAAAAAUGGUUUCGACAGCUUGGCCCAAAUACAUGUCUAAAAAAUCAAUAGUAUCAAUACCCUUAACAAAGUAUCGGUACCUUUCACAAAAGUAUUAAUACCACUUUAAGGUUCGAUGUUUUGAAAAUUAAAGAAAAAUUACCUGAAUGUUGAUACCAGCCCCAAGGAAUCAGUACCUCAUAGCAAGUAUCGAUACAUUUCUUAUGGUACAGAUACUUUAGGCUUUAAUAUGGGUUGAGUCAGUUCGAGCCUGAGUUUAACAUGAUGUGGGUUGGGUUUGGACAAAAAUUUAGGCCUAUUUUUUGGGCCGAGCUUAGGCCUAACAAUCAAGCCUAAAGUUUUGUUAGGGCCCAUCCCGAACUCGGCCCGACCCGGCCCAUGGAGAACUCCAAGUAUAAUGACUUGUAUAUAGAGGUGAUUAUGGGCCGGGCUGGGCCCAAAAAAAUUUUAUGCCUAUUUUCUAGGCCCGGUCUCAGCCCGACCCAAAAUAUGUGCCUAAAAAUUUGUCCAAGCCCGGCCCGAAAGAAAAUUGUUAAGCCCGAGCCCGGCCCAUCCCGACCCAUAUUUGAUUAAAAAUUAAAAAAUAUUUAAUAUAUAAUUUGGAUUAAAGUCCAAAAAAUAUAUAUAUUUAAUAAAAAGUAUAUUUUAUUAAAAAUAAAAAUAAAAAUAUAUAUUUAAUAUAUAAUUCGGGCUGGGCUGGGCCGGGCCAAAAAAGUCUUACCCGAGGCCUGACCCGUUUUCUAAAUGGGCUUCAUUUUUUGCCCAAACCCAUAUUUCAGGCCUAUUUUUUUACCCGAACCCUCCUAUUUUUUAGGCGGACCGUUGGGCCGGGCCGGGUAGCCCAACCCAUGAUCACCUCUACUUGUAUAGCUCUUCAGGUUUAUAAAAAAAAGGUCAUUUUAGCAUUCUAUUUAAUUUUUUAUAUCUUUUAGCCUUUAAACUUGUUAUGUUGGUCAAAUCACCUCAAAACGGAUUGAAAAGUCCACUUGUAUGUCACAUCAACAAAUUAAUUUUUUAAAAUUUAAAAAUUCAAAACAAUUAUAAAAAUUAUUUUAAAAAACUUUAAAAAUUAUUUUUUUUUAAAAAAUUGAAAUUUAUUUAAUUGCUAAUAUGGCAUACAUUUAUGCAUGUCACGUUAGCAAAGUUAACGAACAUUAAUUUUUCCAUCCAUUUUUGGAGUAAUUUCACAAACAAUGCAAGUUUAAGGGCUAAAAAAAGUGAAAAAUUAAAUAGUGAACUAAAAUGAUUUUUUUUAUAAAGUUGAAGGGAUAAAUAAAUCAUUAUGCCUAAAGUAAAUAAAGCACCAUUAACAAGAUAUUUAACAUUAUAUUAGGUGUCAUACACGCUUCCAAGUCGAGUUGGAAAUUAAAGAAUAGUUCUCUCAUCAUUUUCUGGUAGUUUAUUAGUUUAUUUUUCAAUAUUCUUUUGAAAAUUAAUAUAUUCAUUAACAAAUGGUUAGCAUAUAUUACCUUCAAAGUGGUCCCCACCAAUAUAGAUGUAUUGAAGCAUACUCAAAUUCCCAAUUUCUAUUGGUAGGCUCCCCUCCAUUUGGUUAUACGAUAAAGAUGACAUUUGUAACUCUUUGCACUUGAAUAGACUGGCAGGAAUUCUACCCGAGAGCAGGUUAAGACUCAAAGCAAAUUCUUUCUAAUUUGGAAGAUGAUCGAACAUAUCUUCUGGGAUAUGACAACUGAGAUUAUUGAAAUUGAAAUCGAUGCCUUCUAGCAAAAGAAAAUCUCUCGUGGAAUAGAGGGUAUGAAACCAGAGAGCAUAUUAUUGUUUAGAUCAAUCUUUUGCAACUAAGAUAUAUUAAAGAUGGAGGAGGGUAUUGAACCUGAAAUCCAGUUUUUAGACAAGACCAAGAUCUGUAGCUUUGACAAAUAGCCUAAAGAGAAUGGAAUAGCACCUUUGAAGUUGUUGUGGUACAAAAACAAUCUUCGAAGUGCAGUUAAAUGAUCUCAACCAUGAUGGGAUUUCUCCACUGAAGGAGUUGUUACCAAAGCUUAAAUAUUUCAGCCGAUGCAAUUUGGAUAACUAGACAAGUAAUCUGCCGUAGAAACUAUAUUACCUGUCCAGUUAUCCAANNNNNNNNNNNNNNNNNNNNNNNNNNNNNNNNNNNNNNNNNNNNNNNNNNNNNNNNNNNNNNNNNNNNNNNNNNNNNNNNNNNNNNNNNNNNNNNNNNNNCAUCGGCUGAAAUAUUUAAGCUUUGGUAACAACUCCAAUUUCCCAAGUGAGGUGGAAGGGUGCCUACGAGUCCCAACCCAAUAAGGUUUAGAGCUGUGACUCUACGGUGCUUGGAUCCACAACUUACAGGCACUAUAGCAAAACAGGUUUUUAGCCACACUUUUAGCGGCAUUUGGAUAAAAAAUGCCGCUAUAGAUCGAUUAUUAGCGGCGCUUUCUGAAAAACGCUGCUAUAGAUCGAGCAUUAGCGGCACAUUUUGAAAAACGACGCUAUAGGUCAAACAUUAGCGGCGCUUUUUGAUAACACCGCAAAAAAUUAAACACAACGCAGUCGUUUUGUGUUAAGCUUUUGUGGCAUUAACGGCACUUUUUGAAAAACGCCGCUACAUAUCGAGCAUUAGUGGCGUUUUUUGAAAAACGCCGCUAUAGAUCGAGCAUUAGCGGCGCUUUUUGAAAAACGCCGCAAAAAAAUUAAACACAACGCCGUCGUUUUGUGUUAACCUUUAGUGGCAUUAGAGGCGUUUUUUGGAAAAUACCGCUAUAUAUCGAGCAUUAGCGGUGCUUUUAGAAAAAUGCCGCAAAAAAUUUAAGCACAACACCAUCGUUUUAUGUUGAGUUUUAGUGGCAUUAGCGGCGCUUUUAGUAAAACGUCGCUAGAGAUGGAGCAUUAGCGGCGCGUUUUGAAAAACGCCGCUAUAGAUCGAGCUUUAGCGUCGCUUUAUCGAAAAUGUCGCAAAGAGCAUUUUAUCUGUUUUAACUGGUUUAUUUAUAUUAAUUAAAAUACAGUUUAUUUUUAAUUGAAUAUUUAAAUUCUUCAAAAAAAUAAUAACACGUAGAAAAAUUUUGAAAGUAAAAAUAUAGAAAAAUAUUUGUUAAAAAUAAAAAAUAAAAUACCAUUAUUUAAAAUAAUUUUAAAGUUUUUUGGUACAUGACUGAUUGUUUUUUAAUUUAUAUAUUAAAUAAUUUCUUAUAUAAUCGUAAAAGAGAUAGUAUUAUUUUUAAAAUAUUGAAUUAAUUAUCAUUGUAGUUUAGAGUUUAGGGUAUAAGGCUUAGGAUUUAAGGUUUAAGGUUUAGGAGUUAUUAUUUUAAGGUUUAUGGAUUAUGGGUGUAGGGAUUAUAGUUUAAGGUUUAGGGGUUGAGGUUUAAGGUUUAGGGGUUAAGGGUUAAGGGUUUAUGUUUUAUGUUUUAUGAUUUAGGGGUUAAGGGAUAGGGGUUUAAGGUUUGUAUUUAAAAAUAUUUAAUCUAAAUCAUUUGAUAUAUUUAAAUAUUAGAUUUAAAAAAGAACAUUGAUAAAUAAAUAAAUAAAAAUAACAUAUCUAUAUGAAUAGUUAACUAUCUAUUUUAGAUAGAACCAAAUUAUAACAAAUAAAAAUAAAAUAUAAAAACUAAAAUCAUUCCACAUCACUUUUUAUCCCAAAAUUUCCCCGGGAACCCCUAAUUUUUCCCUCCUAAAAUCCUUGAAGUGUUUCUCUCUGCCACCACAAUCUUCAUCAUCAUCUUCCCCUCUCUCCCUCUUUUUGCAUACAUCUCAGAAGAGGAAAAAGAAAAAAAGGUAAAGAGAAAAACAACGCAAAUGGAAGAACCUCAAAACGGAAACGGAAAGUUGAAUACUAUCGCAGAGGAAGAGGAGGAGCCGGUUAUAGGACCAGGACCCGCCCCUCGAGCUCAACCGAAGCGCCCGCUCCAGUUUGAACAAACAUAUCUCGAUUCCCUACCUUCAACUAACAUGUAACUUUCUUCUUCUUCUUCUUCUUCUUCUUCUUCUCACUUCAGUAAUUAUUUAUUUAUUGGAAUUUUGUCGCUUUCUCAUGGUUUCCGUAGGGUUUAAUGAAAUUAUCUUCUUUGCUUUGGAGUUUAGGGUUUUGAAUUCAAGCUUCAGCCUUUUUUCAUUUUGUUUUUUUAAGUGAAAAAAGAAGCAAGGAGCAAAGGAACCGACAAAAUAAACCUUAAUUUCUUUGUACUGAAGUUGCGAAUAAAGAGCUCCAAGAGCUCAUGAUGUAUGCCUCUUUUUUUUGUGUGUGUGAUUUCUAGGUAUGAGAAAAACUAUAUGCAUCGAGAUGUAGUUACUUAUGUUGCUGUAUCGUCUGCAGAUUUUUUUCAUCACUGGAAAUGUUGAUGGUAAGCUUUAUGAUGUCAAUAUUUAUAAAACAAUAUCUGAAAGUCCCAAUAUUGUAUUGAUAAAAGAAAGUGUCAUUAUCUAAAGUCUGCUUUAAGUGUAUAUAUGCUUCUUUUCUCAUUCGGGUUUUUCGUUUAAAUUUUAUCAGUAAUAUUUGAGGCUUUAACAGUGAAUGGGAUUUUGGUACUGGCUUAUAGAUUGCUUGUCUUCAUUUUAUUUAUUUAUUUUUACUAGGGCAUUUGAAAUUUUGGAAGAGGAAAGCAGUUCGGAUUGAGUUUGCAAAGCAUUUUAGAUCCCACCUGGAUCCCAUUGAAGGUCUCUCGGUGAGUUUUCCCUCCUUAUUUCCCAUAUGCAUAUUUUAUUGACUGCUAUGGAAGGCUUAAGUGAAAGUUGGUGUUAUUGCGAUAAUUAACACCAGCUAUUGUGAAUUACUUAGUUAAUUUCUGAUCUCCUGUCUAAUUACAUUUGUCACUGCUUCUUUUUAAUAGCGGAUUUUUAUUUCAUUGACAAUGAGCCCAUGAUUGCUUUAGAUUGCUAGUCCACCUAGAUCUUGCACAGGCUAUUUGUUAUCUUCUUUCAUCCAGUGAAAUUUUGUUUCUGUUGAUGUUCUGAUUUUUAUAUUCACCCCAUGCAAUCUAAGUUGCAAGAACAUCGUUGCUGUUGAUGUUUUUGUUUCUCUCGAUUAGUUGUUGCUGUGAAUCUGAUUUGAAAGGUAUGCAAAAGCUGUUAAGACUUAGGAUUGAUGACAGUGAUAUAAUUGUUUAUGAAAGAAACUUGGUGUGAUAUCCUUAACCGGUUCUAUCAUGAAAAUAAUAGUUAUCCUACUUGAUUUUGCUCAUGGCGAAAAGGUAGUUAUAUUGCAGCAGAGUCAUGAAACUUAGGCAGUAACAAGAUGAUCCAUAAAGAAUAAAGCAGAAUAGCACAUAUACAUUUUCAUUUAAUUGAACAUAGGUGCAAUGGUGCAGCUUUACAUGCAUGAUAAUAUAACACAAAUAUAAUAGAAGGUUGGGGUCAUAAUGGCACAAUGUUUGGAUUUCUGUUUAGUUUUUUUUACCAGAAAUUUUCGGUGUGAGAGUGACCUUAGCGUUGGAAAGGUAAAUAAUUGGAAAACUUAAGGUAAUUUUUGGGGUUUUUUAAUAAAAAAAGAAAAAGUAAGAGUGUAUGAGAAUAUGAUGUGAAGACAUUUUUAGGAUCAUGAAUAACAUGAUCUUUUAAUGCUAGAAGAGCUGAUUGAUCUGUAAGUAUGGUGGUUAAUUUCAUCAAGAAAGUAGGCAUAGAAAAAUGGAAGAUGAUAAGAAGAGCUAAGUUGAGGAAAGUAUUCCCCAUUUGAAUUUGGGUGUUUAUGAAGCUACCAACAAAGGCAGAACUAAGAUUGCUAGACAGAUAAUUGAAUGACCACACAACUUCUUUUACAUAAUAUGUGUGUAUAUAUAAAGGGAGUUUAUGUUGCAAUUUCUUUUUGCGAGAAUGCAAAUGCUUUUAAUGCGAUUUACGUAUAAACUAUGGAAUUUAUUAUAGGAUGUGAUAAUAUAAUUAUGUAAUUAUUGCUUAAGAAACUUCUUUCUAAAUUUCUUUUUAUUCUUAAGAAAAUUACAAUAUUAAACUUUACAUAGAAAAACUAAAUAGUAUUGUAGUUAAAUUGCACUUGUACAAAGGUUACAACUUUUUCAUUAAAUUAUUUUAGAUUACUGAAAUUAUUAGAUAAGAAUGAUAAAAUUAUAUAUCAAAUACAAAAGUAUAUAGAGUGACAACUGAACAGUCACUUCGAAGAAUAUACACAACCCUACCGCUUGCUUAACUAGCGGCAUCUAAACACUAAUAAAUUUUUGUUUCUAUUGACUAAAAAUUUUUUGAAUAAAAAAGAUAUUGACUAAAAAUUAAAAUAAACCAUGAAAUUUCUUUGAGGUUGAAAGAUUUUAUUUAAAAUUUUUUUUUGAAUAAUAAUUUAUUUGGUCUUUUAUUUAUUUUUUAUUUUUGUAAUCUUUAAAUUUACGUUAUUUGUCAAAUUACUCCAAAACAAAUGGAAAAGUUAACUUUUUUUAACUUUGCUAAUGUGGCAUACACGUGGAUUGUCACGUGAAUGCCAAGUUAGCAAUUUUUUUUAAAAUUUAAAAAGUAAAAAUUAUUAAAUUAUUUUAAAAUUUAUUAAAUUUUUUAGAAUAUGUAAAAAUAUAAUUAAUUGCUAAUGUGACAAUUCACAUGUAUGUCACAUCAAUAAAAUUAAUAAAUACUAAUUUUUUUAUCUAUUUUAGGUGAUUUGACAAACAAUACAAUUUCAAGAGUUAAAAAGAGAUAAAUAAUUAAAUAGAGAGCUAAAGUAUAAAGUCUUUCCACUUUGUUGCUUUAGAAAUGAUUGAAAAUUUUAUAUUAUUUAAAUAGAAAACAAACAAUCUUCUAAUUAUUAAUUAAAAUAUAAUUUAUUUAAAUCAUUUAAUUAAUUUUUAAUUAAAUAUUUUUCUUAAUCUAAUUUUAGUUUUGUUACAAUCACGACAAUUUCACCAUAAAAGAAUCUAUAAAAAAAUAUAUUUAAUUUUUUUAUUCCGGAUAAGUAAUGAUUAAUUAAUUUAAUCUCAAUUUUAAAAUUUAAUUAUUUAAUUAUAAUUAAUUAAAUAAUAAUUUUAAAAAUCUUAAAAUAAUUCUCAAGUCAUUUCUAUUCAUUUUUGUUCAUUUCUAUCCAUUUAAUUUUAUAUACAAUUUAUUUUUUAUUUCAACCAGCUAACUAUUUAAUAACUGUAAAAUACAACGUAGAGAUCAAUAUAUGGAAAUAUAAAUUUUAAAUUUUAAAUAUUUUUUGUUAUAUAAAUUAUUAUUUGAAGUAUGAAAUGUUAUUUUCUUAGCAAAGAGACUAGUGUUGGGAACAUAUCCACUCACUAAUUUUUCGUGACUGUUAUAAAUUGAAGGGACAACUAUAAAAAUAGUCACUCAGUUAUCAUAUUUCUAUUUUGGUCACUCGAGUUUAAAAUUUUCUAUUUUAGUCACUAAUGUUAUCAAAAUUUAAUAUUUUGGUCAUUCUUCCAUUAAAUCACUAAUAGUGGUCUUUUUUUAUUGGAAUAAUAACAAAUUUAACCCUCUAAUAUUUAUAGAUUCCAUCAAUUUAGCCCUAAAUCUAAAAAAUUCAACAUUCAUAUUAAUAUUUAUAGAUUCUAUCAAUAUUAGUAAAUCAUUUUUAAUGAAUUUUACAUUUUUGAAAUUAUUUUAAUUUUAAUCUAGUUUAGCUAACUCGAGUGUUAAUUUUUGAAACUGUUAAAAUUUCUAAAUGUUACUAUUAUUGAUGAAUAAUUGAUGAAAUAAGUAUUACUUGAUUAGAUUUUUCUACUUAGAUAUGAAAAAGGAUUAAUUGUCAAUUAUCAAUUCCAAAUAAAAAAAUUAUUGAUAUUUUCUAUUAUGAAAAACCAUUCUCAAUGUGUUGUAUCGUUGAACAAGUAAUUUUUACUUCUAUUGUGGCAAAUUCAACGGAGGGAGUUAUCUUCUUAUUUCUACCGUAAAAAGUUUCUCAAUAUAUUCCAUUGGGUGAAAAUUUUGAGUUAGAUAAUUAGAGUGCUUCAAAAUCUCAUGGCAAUCAACAAAUUAUGUGAACGUGUGUGAAAAUAGGAAGGAUAUUAGUCUUAAGCAAACAAAAGUUUAGAUGACAAUUCCCAUGAUACUCGUUGGAUAAUUCAGUCAUCUUUUUUAUGGAAUGUAAACUUUUCUAAAUGAAAGGAAAGAAAAGCUUGGGCAAUUCAAUUUAAGUAGUUCACUUCUAAUUGCCUAUCUCCACUACUUUAGUAUACUUCAAUCAAUAAUUUCUCAAAUUACUAUAAGAAUUAAUACCUUUCAAGGAGAGGGUAUAACAUUUACAACACUAUCUUUUUCUUAAGGCUUAGAUAUAACCUUUCCCUCUAGCUUUUAUAGUUGUUAUAUAGUCGUUGGCAAGUCAUGUCUCGAGACAAUCUAUCAAUUGUCUCUAGACACACUGCAUAAUAUCUCAAGACAAGCAGCUCCUAUCAAUCGGUACAAGCUAGUACGAACUAGUAUAAGUUAGUAUUGACUGAAACGAGCUAAAACAUACCGGAAUGGUCGAAACACAUCAAAAUCUUAAUUGUCGAAACCUUUUUAUUUUUGUAAAAGGAUCGACUUGGAUUUUGAAAAACGAAAACGAAUAUGUGAGUCACCACCAAUCCUUUUUGAUGAGGUGUGAUCAGAUCACCUUGAAAAGUGGUUGUUUUUAAUAAACGAUUUGAUUUAUCAAAACAACGAUUUUGGUCCACAAAAUUUAGAAAGAUGGGUUUGGGAGUCGGUUACGUACGAGGAAAGAUUAGCAUCCUCGUAAUGCCCAAAAUUGAUACCUAAUUUAUUACUUAGUGUCUUAGUGUCGAAAAUUAAUAAUUUUGAAGAGAUUUAAAAUACGAUCCUUUGUUAAAAAUUAAAUUUUUUCGAGAAAGGGGCAUAUUUCACGUUAAUCAAGAUAGAGAAUUACGUCCCGUAAGUUAGGACACAAUGUCUUAAACCCCGAUACGAGAAUGAAUGCUGAAAAAUUUACUUAUUUGAAAGAUAUUCAAUUAUCUCGAUUUUAGAAAAGGAAUUAUGUUCGGUAAGUUAGAAUACGAUUUUUUUAUUAAUUCUCGAGAUUGUUAAAAAACUUUAUGUUAAAAAAGGGUUAUUACAUUUGGAUUUAUCGAGAAAAUCAAAACCUCGUAAGUUAAGGAACAACUUUUCGAAUUCCAAAAUGCGAAAUAUUGCUUAUUACAAAAUAUGUAUUGGGUAAUGAUUAAUGUAAUAUGAAUUGGUAGAAAUAAAGUACGGUGUUAAUACGCAUAACAAAAUAAUAAGUGCGUUAAUGUGAAUGACAAUAUGGAGAAUAAAAUAAAAUAAACAAGUCAAAAAAAAUAAGGAUAACGAACUAAAAAUUUAAAGCUAAAGACCUAAUAUUAUAGAAAUAAAUAAAUAUUGUAUAAAAAUUUAAGAAUAAUAAUAUUAAUAAUAAUGAUAAUGAUAAUAAUAAUAAAAUUUAAAGUUUUUCUAAAUUAUAUAAAAAGACAUAAAUAAAUUGAUGAUAAAAUAAAUGUAUAUAAAAUAUUUAGGUAAAUAAAUAUAUAAAAAAAAUAUAAUAGAAAUAAUAAUGCAAAACUCAUUAAUUUAAUAAUAUGGUAAUAAUGACGAGUAAAUAAAUAAAAUGGGGAAAAUAAUAAUAGUAAUAAUAUUAAAUUAAUUAAAUAAUAAAAUAGCAAAAAAAACAAAAAAUGACUAAAUCGAAGCUUAAAACAAAAAUUUGGGACAAAUCAAAAAUAAAUAAGAAAGAAAAGGACCAAGUUGAAUGCGCGAAUAAUAAGGAUGAACCAAAUGAGAAAUAAUCCCCACCCUCCAAAAUGGCGGCCAGAAGGCCAAAAAAUUCUCUUUUUCGUGCAAUCAGAAAAAGAUAAACCUUCUUUGUGUUCUUUUUUUAUGUGUAUAUAUGUAAAAAUAGCUUCGAAAAAAAAGGAAGAAAAUAAAAUAAAAAUAAUGAAAAAAAAAACAAAAAGGAAGAAACACCUUAAUCCUGAUUCAGUUUGCUUUGUAUUUCUUGUUUUUUAUUUUUUCUUGUUUGAAUCAGUUUUUUUUUUUUUUUUUGAAAAAAUCCCCUGCCUGUAGCCAAUAUACAAAUUGUUCUUAUUACUUUGCGUGUUUGCUUCACUUUUGUAGGGUAGUUGAUGGGCGGUGGAGCAAGUGGUCGCAGUGGAUGGGCGAUGGAGGCAAGUGGCUGUCAGAGGUGGCAGAGGCUAGGUGCGACAUAACAGGGUUAGGGGCGAGGGUUUCUGCUAAAGAGUUCAGGUUUUGGGCCAUUAGGGCUUUUUGUAAUUUGGGCUUGUUGGAUGUAAUUUGGGCUUGUAGGGCUUUGGGUGUUGAAUUCUGUAAAAAAUUAGACUUUUUUUUAUUUUUUUGGUAUUAUUUAUUUGAUUUUGGAUCCAGGCAAAUUGGGCCUGCUACAUUUACCAUAAUGAAACCUAUACUACUUCAUAUUGGUUGAAGACCAGAGAGAUACGUAUCGAGUGUGUCAAAUGUUGAUGUCCCUUUUAUGUACUGUUUUAUAUUUUUGUUCUUUUAAUAAGGUUUGUUUGGCUUAUAAAAAGUAUUUUUAUUAAACUAAAAUUUGCUAUGUUUUGAAAUUGGGCAUUUAAUGAUCUGUACCUAUAUUCUUUAAAAAAAAUAUAUUGUACCAAUACAAUUUCAUAAAAUUAGUACAAAUGAUCAUAAAAAAUCAGCAUAACUUACUUGAACUUAAAUACAUUGCUAAUUGAUAUAAUUGGGAACGGUUAUGCGGUUGAUAAUAAUCUUUUUGAACUUCAUUUAAUACAUGAUUUAUACAAGUAAUAUUAGCAACUUAAGUUUCGAUAUGUCCUGCGAGAACAUAAUAGACCGACAGAUUGCAUGACCAAAGUUGUUCCUAAUAAUCUUAAUAGGUUAACAACUUUUGAAGACCCAGCUGAUCAUGCUCGAUCUUUGUUAGAAGAAGAUGCUCAUCGAGCAAUGAUUAAUAUAGACUAUCAUCAACCUAAUUGUAGCUAAUUCUUUGAACUUGUUUCUUUUUUAAAAAAAUUCACAAAAUGCAGAAAUAACUAUUAAUAAACUUUAUAGGAAAACAGAGCAUCUGUAUAAAUAUUUAUCAAAGACAUUGCUAGAAAGCAAAGCUUAUGUUUAUUUUAAUCAAUUUAACAAUGGCCUCUUCAACGAACGCGUUGCAUAUCCCUUGAUAACUUUACUUUGAUCUUCUUUAACUUUGUAACAACCUCUUUCAUAUGAAGCCUCUCAUUUGGUAACUCUGUAGAACAUUCUAAGCCAACUUGCAAAAUGGAUAAGGCACAAUUCUUGACUUUUAAAUCUUCCCUUCCAAUGGUGCUCAACAACUGGGGAUCUACAACUUGAUUUCGCGAAGAUGAUAUCGACUCUAUCACCCAACUCUUCAAGCUUCUUUCUCCUUCAAACAUUUCAUCUGUGGGCUUUUUUCUUGUGAUGAUUUCCAUCAAAAGAAUACCAAAGCUAUACACAUCACCUUUUGUCGAAACAAUUCCUUCGAUUCCAUAUUCUGUAUGAAUAUAAAAACAACAUUAUGAAUAUUCAAAGAUAUCUUGAUAAUGAAAAAUUUGUAUAAAAUAUCCGAAACAUUAUAUGCUUGCAUGUUAUAAUUGAACUGGGAUUUAAUCUAGUUGCUUCCUUAAAAAGUCACAUUUAAUAUGUUUGAAACUCAAAUCUUAACAUAUAUGAUCCCUUUUGUUAUGCACAUGCUACGCUUACAUUGAAAAUGGAAAAAUAAAAAUGGAGUUUGAUUAGAAGUAUCACCUGGUGCCAUAUAUCCAAAUGUUGCCAUUGUCAUGGUUUGUAUCAUUGAAACCUCUUCACGUAAGAGUUUCGCGAUGCCAAAAUCACUCAAAUGAGCAACCAUAUCUUCAUCUAAUAGAACAUUGUUGGGUUUUAAAUCACAGUGAACAACGGGUGUUGCAUUACCAUGGUGGAGAUAUUCCAAUGCAGAUGCAACAUCUAUCAUUAUGUUCAACCUUUGUAGGAUAUCCAAAUAUUGGUUGUUGGAAUACAACCAUUUAUCAAGACUCCCACUAGGCAUGAACUCAAGCACCAACGCUUUGAAAUUAAGAUCAUUAGAGCAACUGCUUAUUACUUUGACUAAAUUUCUGUGACGAGUGUUGCAGAGAACAUCACAUUCAACAUCAAAGCUCUUAAAAGCUCCUUCUAACUCUAACUUGAAGACCUUCACCGCAAUUACCGUCCCAUCCUGGAGAUUCCCUUGGAAUACUGAACCAUAACUUCCAUUACCAAGCAACCUACUAUCAUUGAAUCCAUCAGUAGCUUGACGAAGCUCGUGGUAUGAAAACCGUCUCCACGUUCCUAAAGGUAUCAUGUCUUCUUGAGUUGGCAAUUUGUCUUUCCUCCUGUAUUGCAAGAUAAUGAUUAUCAGAGCCACAACCAAAAUUGUGGAGGCAAUUGGCAGAGCUACAUAUAUUAGGAGUUUAGUUUUUGCCUUGGAAUUUCUAAGAGGUCUAGUUUUGCAGUUUGGAACAUGAAGUCGAGCUGCACCACACAAGGCUUCAUUCCCCUUAAAUGAUUCGAUUGUGUAGUUUUCAAAUGAUCCUCCAUCAGGAAUUUCUCCUUCAAGUCUAUUAAAAGAGACAUUGAAAUAUUUGAGAUAACGGAGUUUCACUAAGGAUUUGGGAAUCUCUCCAGAUAGAUUAUUUCUUGACAAGUCCAAGAAUUCCAAACUCAACAAUUCAUCAAAAGACUCAAGAAUAGAACCCAUGAUUCUAUUAUUGGAUAAGGAAAAAUGAGUGAGGUCCUUGAGAUCUGCAACUCCAGUUGGGAUAUCACCUGAGAACUGAUUGUUCGACAAAUCCAAACUAGUCAAAACUUGCCAUUUUCCAAUGUCGAUUGGCAGUGGACCACUUAGAGAAUUUGAAGACAAGUAUAGGAUGAGGAGAUAGUUGAGCUUUGUCAACGUUGAAGGUAUUGAGGAGGAAAACAUAUUGGAGUCUAGAAAUAGUUGCCUUAAUGAAGUGAGAUCACCAAAGCAAGCAGGUAUUGGCCCAGACAAUUUGUUAUUGGUCAAGAACAAGAAAGCCAAUUUGUUUAGAUGACAUAACUCAGGUGGGAUGGAUCCCUCUAACUUAUUGUCCUCAAGAGAAAGACUUUGCAACUCUUCCAAUCCUCCAACUGUAGUAGGAAUCUGUCCUAUCAAUUUAUUGCCUCCUAGCUCAAGGUUUAUCAAGUGACUUAAGUUUCCAAUUUCACUGGGGAUGCUACCCCUGAUGUUGCAUGCAGAAGCAGAGAACUCUUCAAGAGAACUUGAGAGAUUUCCUACCACUCUUGGAAGUUCACCACUAAUAAAUGAGUUGAUGCCGAAAAGAAGGUUCUCCAAGACUCUACAGUUUGUCAAAGAAAAGAGAAAGCUCAUUCUUGAGGAAGUUAAACUAUUAUUCGCCAGGGUGAGAAUCUUUAAGUUUCUUAGAUUGCCCAGAUUAUCAGGAAUGGACCCUGAAAAGUAAUUAUUAGACAUGUCAAGAAGAGUAAGCUGAGAAGCAUUGGAAAUAUACACUGGGAUCGAGCCGACAAGGUGAUUGAAAUUAAGAUAUAAUCUCUCCAUGUUUGGAAGGAAAAGGCCCAUGUUUGAUGGAAGAUGGCCAGAGAGCUGAUUUGUACUCAAAGAAAUCGUCCUUAGAGUCGAAAUAUUAAAUACUUGUGGAGGAAUAGAACCAGCAAUAUUGUUUAAUUCUAAAUUCAACACUUGUAGAUUCUUUAGGUUGCCAAUCUCAUUUGGUAUUAUACCUGCCAUAAAUUUUAUCAAACAAAAAUAUUAGACAAAUGUGGGAAAAAGAGAGUUUAUAUAUGAAACAUUUGCUUAUAUUUCUUAAACACUAUAAAAAUUUUAAAUUAAAUUAUAUAACGAUGUGUAAAUUUAUUGACAACUAGUGUAUCAAAUAUGAGUCUACAAUUUUUGGAGCUCUUGCAAAUAUCAAAUGUAGAAAAUACUGGUGAAUUAAAUCAUAAAGAACAAACAUUCAUAAGUUUAAGAAAAUGAAAAUAUAUCUUGUUUUCCUUUUAUCUGAUUUGAUAAAUUUAAAUUUUUUAUUCUUCUAAGAACAUAAAGAUAAAUCAAUUAUAAUUUUAGGCUCCUUAGGGUUUUGUGUGCCAAAUAAUGGACUUAAAAAAAAUACAUAUAUACUAAUUGCAAUGAGUAUGAAAAAAUUUAUAACUAUUUGUAAAAUAAUCAAAACACAGUAAGUCAUUGAGCAGAAUAAAGUUCAAAACAAAUAAUGCUACAUAUACUAAUAGAAGUUGCAAACUAAUAAAAAUAAUUUGGAAACAAUUUAAUUCUUUCUUAUACAUUCACCUGUAAAAUUGCUAUUGGAGCAAUCAAAGUCCACAAGAAGAGUUAAAUUCACAAUUUGUUUAGGAAUUUUACCUGCAAUUAUAAAAUUCACAUAUCAAACUCAAAAUUCAUCUCUUACCAAGGAUUAUAAGAAUGAAAUAAAAGUAUAAUGACUUAUUUAGUUUUCCAACUUUAAAAAGAAAAAGUCAUUUUAAAUAUAUGUAUAGAAACAAUCAAACACCAUAAGAAGCAAAAAAAAAAAUUAAAUAAAGGGUUAAAAUGAUUUUUUUAUAAAGUUGAAGGGCUAAAUAAAUAAAACACCAUUAGAAAGGUAUUUCACAUCAUAUUAGGUGUCAUACACACUUCCAAGUCCCGUUGGAAAUUAAAGAAUAUUUCUCUCAUCAUUUUCUUGUAGUUUAUUCUUCAAUCUUCUUUUGAAAAUGUUCAACUAUGAAUUCAUUUAAUAAGUAAAUUUAUAUUUUCAAUCUCAAUAGAAGAUUGAUCUAACUUGUUAUAUUCAUUAACUUAAUUUCUUUUCCAAAAAAAAAAAAAAAAUCCUUCCUUACAUUCUCAAAGUACUUACAAAAAAAAAAAGUAAACACUUCAAAAAGCUUUAACAAAUGGUUAGCAUACAUUACCUUCAAAGUGGUUCCGACCAAUAUAGAUGUAUUGAAGCAUACUCAAAUUCCCAAUUUCUAUUGGUAGGCUCCCCUCCAUUUGGUUAUACGCUAAAGAUAACAUUUGUAACUCUUUGCACUUGAAUAGACUGGCAGGAAUUCUACCAGAAAGCAGGUUAACACUUAAGUACAAUUCUUUCAAAUUUGGAAGAUAAUCAAACAUAUCUUUCGGGAUAUGACCACUGAGAUUAUUGGAGCUGAAAUCAAUCAAUUCUAGCGAAAGCAAAUCAUGUGGACCAGAGGGUAUGGAGCCAGAGAGCUUAUUAUAACUUAGAUAAAUAUUUUGCAACGUAGAUAUAUUGAAGAUGGAGGAGGGAAUUGAGCCUGAAAUCUGGUUUUCAAACAAAGUCAAGAACUCUAACUUCGACAAAUAGCCUAAAGAGAAGGGAAUAACACCUUUGAAGUUGUUUUGGUACAAAAACAGCCUUCGAAGUUCAGUUAAUGAUCCCAACCAUGAUGGGACUUCUCCACCGAAGUUGUUGUUACCAAAGCUUAAAUAUUUCAGCCGAUGCAAAUUGGAUAACUGGGCAGGUAAUCUGCCAUAGAAACUAUUGUUUGUGAUAUAAAGAAGAGAAAGGAAUGAUAAAUUUCCCAAGUGAGGUGGAAGGGUGCCUACGAGUCCCAACCCAGUAAGGUCUAGAGCUGUGACUCUACGGUGCCUGGAUCCACAACUUACACCAAACCAAUUGCAAACAGGGGCAGAGGCUGACCAGUUAGUUGUCAAGACAUUUUCAGGAUCAUGAAUAACAUGAUCUUUUAGUGCUAGAAGAGCUGAUUGAUCUGUAAGUAUGGUGGUUAAUUU